GUUUUGAAACAAAGGCAUUUACAGAGAUGCUCAAUCUUGAACUACUUCUGCUUGAUAAUGUAAAGUUGAGUGGAAGCUAUGAAGAUUUUCCAAAAAAUUUAAUAUGGCUAUCUUGGCGAGGAUUCUCUUUAAAAUCAAUACCAGCCAAUUUUUGUUUGGAAAAUCUAGUUGUUCUUGACUUACGGAAGAGCAGUCUGCAACAUGUUUGGAAAGGAACCAGGGUAUGAUCUCUCUCUCUCUCUCUCUCUCUCGCAAAAUACACACAAUCAAAAAUAAUUUUCAGCGAAAUUUAACUGUGUAUUCAUAGCAACUAAUGACAUCUCUUUGACACAGUUUCUUACAAGAUUGAAAAUUCUUAAUCUCAGUCAUUCGCAUGGCCUUAGGACAACAUCUGACUUGUCUGGACUCCCUAACCUUGAGAAACUAAUUCUUAAGGAUUGCAUUAAUUUGAUUUAUGUUGAUGAAUCCAUUGGAAACUUGGGGAAACUUAUUUUCUUGAAUCUAAAAGACUGCAAAAGUCUUAUGAAGCUUCCAAAAAGAAUGAACAUGUUGAGGUCUCUUGAGGAACUUAUUCUUACUGGUUGCUCAAAGCUUGUUCUUCAUGACAGUGCCACAGUUAUCAUUUACACUCUACAUCUAGGGAUAUGAAUAAACUUAGACUGUUAUCAAUUAUAUCAUGGACACCAAUCAGGUAUUGGUGGAUGUGGGCAUGGCCGGGAAAGACUCUUCAAUCAACGCGUUUCUCUCUGGCAAGUUUACCCCGUUCUUUGGGAAGCUUAAGUUUGUCUUACUGCAACGUGUCAGAGGUUCCCAAUGAUCUGUGUACACUAUCUUCGUUGAAGCAUUUGAAUCUAAUUGGUAACCCAAUUUUGUGCCUACCACAAAAAAUGAAGAGUCUUAUUAUGCUCGAGACUCUUUUGUUAGAUAAUUGCACAAACCUUGAAAUCAUUCCGGAGCUCCCACCAAGGUUGAAGAGGUUAGAAGCAAAAUAUUGUACAUCAUUGAAAAGAUUAACAAAUUUACCAAACUUAUUCAGAUCAUUGGAAUCACUUUUUUGGGGUUGUGAGCAUUUAGUUGAAGUUGAAAGCAUGUUGAAUAUAAAACCGCUAAGAAGCGCUGAAAUAGAAAUGACAAGAUAUAUGGGCAUGUUCAAUUUGAAAUCCAUAGCAAGCACUGAUGUCGAAAUGAUCAACUACUUGACCUUUACAACCAGGAAGGCUCCUGUCCAGGUCUGUCUCUGUCUCCUCUCUCAUGGAUAGUUGUUCUAAUUAUUAUAUCUAUGAACUAGUUGGGCUAACUGUUUGAAUAGUUAAAUUAGAAUUGUGGAUUCUUGAUGAAACAGGUACUCUAUGAAUGUGGCAUAUAUAGCAUUUUUUUUCAUGGAAGCAAGAUUCCAGAUGGAUUUAGCUUCACAACAAGAUACAGAUCUGUGCUGUCAGUUAUUGCACCUUCACAUCCUAAUCCCAAAAUCCGAGGCUUGAAUUCAUGUGUUUUAUAUGCAAGAGAACCAGGCUUGGUUAUUGAUGACUAUCUUGUUAGUGCUAUGCAUUUGAUUAAGGUCAGUAAUCAGACCAAGGGUCUUAUGUGGACCUAUUCUCCAGUCACAGUAGGGUUUCCAACUGAAGGAAGAUAUGCUAUGGCUAAGCCAUUUUCGAUUUGGAAACAAUGAAUUGGAUUAUGGGGAUGAAAUACGUGUUUCGGUGGAGAUGCAUGAUUUUCGGAUAAAGGAGUUCGGAAUCCAGCUUGUGUACGAGCGGGAAAGGUCUCCUUCUAGCCAGAAUAAUGUUGUUGCUGGAGAUGGGUCAAUGUCAACAUCAGAGUACCAAAUGUGGACAGGAAAAUACUUUCUCAGUAAUCAUAGGCACCGUACUCAUCAGGCUCAAUUCCGAAAGAGACAGGAGAAUCCAGCUCAUAUUGAAUUUUCAUUUGGGCCAGAGCGUCUAGGUCAUAAAUUAUUCAAGGCUCAAGGACCAUUGGAAAUAAUUGGGAGAGGAUGUUCAGCAGAUUCCCCAUCUGCUUCUCGUAACCUGUUUUGGGGAAAUAAAUGUUUUAGCUACAAUGUUAACUGAAGCAAUAACUGUAAGCGGACUGUAACAGUUGAGAAAUAUUCAAGUACCUAAAAGAGCAGGCAGCUAUAUCAGAAUAAUUAUGCUGGACUUAAGUUGGAUAACUUCUCAUCUGUUAUGGCCUUGGUCCUUUUAUGGCGGUAUAUUGGUGCACAAACUCCCUUUUUCUAUAUUUUCAGAAAGUCUGCAAAACUUAAAUCCUAUAGUUCUUUUUCUGCCUUUUUCUAAUAUUUUUUCUGCCAUUUUCUACUAUAGUACUACCCCUUCAGACAAUAAUCCUAGUGGCCAAAAUUAUAUCCUAACUUUAAAUCCCAAUUAAGGUGAUAUUUUUUUAUGUUUAUGCUCACUAGAAACCUGAUUGAUCUACAAUGAACCAACAACCCCCGUAGUGCCUAUGGUAUGUGUGGUGGUCUAGAUCACUCAUUUGAGCAAUACGUACAUGCGAACCAAAAAGCUAUUUAACUUUAAAAAGGGGAAAUUUAGCAUGCCCCCGAACUUUUAAAAUGUUGGUAGCAGCUCAGGUUUGAGUCCCAGCAAAGGCAUGCUUUCUUAAUUUUUGCACGACUUACAGCUGGUGCGAGGAACCUUCGCGCGUUAACUAUGUGCCAGUCUGGGUCCAUUUAGUGCGCGUUAACUUGGGGACGACCUAACGAGGGACCUGAGAUAGUCAACAACCCUUACCGAGUACCAGAAAAUGUGAAUUAUGUAAGUCGUAAGUAUUUGUGUAAACUUUUCUUAUUUUACAACGUAAAUCCAUUCAUAUUAGCAACCUUUUCUUAUUCUUUUAUGUCUUCAGAUUUGAAAGCGCGCGGUCAACAAAUUAUUGAAAACGUGUAUAUGACAAUAAUUUCGUAAGGAUUGCAAAAGCAACCAGAUUUGAAAAACUAAAAAUUAACUUUUAUUUUCUUAUAUUAUUCUCUCCGAUAACAUAUAUAUACAUCACAACCUUGAGGUGCAAGGAAUAUUAAAUGAAGAGUCUGUCCUUAAGCUAGGAAGGAAUCCCUUUAAACUAGGAAACCAAAUUAUAUUCUAUAGAAAACUGGAUUUUAAUCUCUAAAUAAGAUGAAAUUUAGAAAAAUGUCUUAUACAAGAUUAAAAAUUGAUUUUAGUCCCUAGACUCUAUUUAAUGCCAACAUAUGUAUUCAAUAUUUUUUUAUUUAUUUAUAAUCUUAUGAAUUUAAAUUUUAUGAAAAUAUUAUAAAUUUUAAUUCUCAUUAUGGUAGGCAUCUUAUAUAAGAAAAUAUUUUCGUAGAGAUUUUUCGGUACACUAAUGUUUUUGCAUAUUUUCUUAUCUGCCAUUAAUUCAUAACAAUAUAUUUAGGUACGAACAUUUCAAUACAAUGGAUUAGUAUAAUAUGUUUAGGUACGGACAUUUCGGUACACUAGUUUAGUAUAAUAUAUUUAGGUACCGACAUUUCGGUACACUAGUUUAGUAUCAUAUAGUUAGGUACGGAAUUUUGGUACACUUAUGUUUUUACAUAUUUUCUUAUCUGUCACUAAUUCACUAUAAUAUAUUUAGGUACGAGCAUUUCGGUACACUAAUUUAGUAAAAUAUAUUAUGAUCCGGACAUUUAGGUACACUAAUUAGAGAAAGUUAAAUAAAAUUGUAUAAUAAUAAAUUUAAAUUUAAUGUAAUAACAUUAAAUAAGUUAUCUAUUAAAUAUAAAAACAAAAAUAUAAUAUGAAUUUGAAUUAAGUACACAUUAAGGGUCUAAAAUUAAUAAUCAAUCUAACACCAAGUUUUUAUUAAAUUUUAAUCUUCUUGAAGGAUUAAAAUUCAAAAACCCCCAUAUUCUAAUACAAAUUGAUUUAUGACUCACACGUCAACACUCCCCCUCAAGUUGGUGCGUAGAUAUCUUCUAGACCCAACUUGUCAAGUGAGUCACCAAAUCUGCUAGCAGAGACUGCAUGUGUUAAGAUAUCCGCCAAUUGUUCCUCUGUCUUCAUGUAUGGAAUAUUGAUCAGCUUCACAUCUAGCUUUUCUUUGAUGAAAUGUCUGUCUACCUUAACAUGCUUGGUUCUAUCAUGUUGCAUAGGAUUGUUCGCUAUUUCCCUUGCUGCUUGAUUAUCACAAUACAACAUCAUAGACCCUUCCGGCUUAAUCCCUAUCCCAGUGAGAAGGAUGCGCAACCAUAGAAGCUCACAAAUUUCGUGAGCCAUUCCUCUGUACGCGGCCUCCACUGAAGAUCUCGCCACCACAUUUUGCUUUUUACUUCUCCAAGUCACAAGAUUUCCAGCUACGAACGUGAAAUAACCUGAUGUAGACCGCCGGUCAGUGAUAUUGCCUGCCCAAUCUGCAUAAGUGUAUCCUUUCACCUCCAUGUGGCCAUGUUUUUUAUACAUCAGUCCUUUCCCUGGAGCUCCCUUUAAGUAACUUAAGAUUCGCAUUACUGCUGCCAUGUGAUCUUCACUCGGAGCAUGCAUGAACUGACUGACUACGCUCACUGCAUAAGCAAUAUCUAGCCAAGUAAGAGAUAGAUAAAUUAAUCUUCCCACUAACCUUUGAUACAUCUCCUUAUUAGUCGGAAUUUGAUCCUGAUAUAUUGCUAGGUUAUGAUUUUGCACAAUCGGAGUAUCUCCCGAUUUACAAGCCAACAUCCAUGUCUCUGAUAAUAGAUCUAAUAUGUACUUGCAUUGUGACAAGUAAAUCCCUAGACCAGACCAGGCCACUUUAAUUCUAAGGAAAUACUUGAGUCCUCCUAAGUCAUUCAUCUCAAAUUCAGUAGACAAGUACCUUUGUAGUCUUUUAGUCUCCCUUGUAUCAUUACCUGUGACAAUCAUAUCAUCCACAUAUAUGAUGAGCAAGGUCACUUUACCAUCCUUACGAUUGAUGAAUAAAGUGUGAUCAGAAUUUCCCUGUCGAUACCCAUACUUUUUCAUUUCCUGAGUGAAUCUGCCAAACCACGCUUUAGGUGAUUGCUUCAGACCGUAUAGCGCCUUCCGAAGUCUGCACACCUUCCCACUAGAGUUUGCAGUGCCAUACCCUAACGAAAGGUCCAUGUAAACUUCCUCAUCUAAAUCUCCAUGUAAGAAAGCAUUUUUUACAUCAAACUGUCUUAGAGGCCAAUCAAAGUUUGUAGCCAAAGAUAACAGAACUCUAAUGGUAUUCAUCUUUGCGACUUGAGCAAAAGUUUCCUGAUAAUCAACACCAAAAGCUUGCGUGUAAUCCUUUGCCACCAAUCUUACCUUGUAUCUAUCUAUAGUUCCAUCUGCCUUGUGUUUAAUGGUGAACAUCCACUUACACCCUACUGGUUUUUUUCCUUUAGGGAGCGGCACCAAUGUUCAUGUAUUAUUUUUCUGUAAAGCCUCCAUUUCCACCUGCAUUGCCUCUGUCCAUUUCCGAUCCUUCAAGGUGUCUUCAACUCUUGUGGGUAUUUUUAUGUCUUCCAUUUGUUGGACAAAUGCGCAGUAACUUGGCGAGAGCCCAUGAGUAGAAACAUAGUGUGCAAUUGAAUAUCACACUUUACCUUCCGGAGAGUACAUGUCAUGAGGCUUUCUCGAUUUUCUCUAGAAGGCAACACAUAAAUAGGUUUAAUGUUUUCUGAGUUAGUACUUACCUCAGGAAUAUUCGGUUGAUCUUGGACAGGUACUUGAGAAACAAGAUAAUAAGGGUUGCAACAAAUUGUAUAAAUAGCUGGCCCACGCCUAUUUGGGUUAUUCAGGGAUGCUGUGGUGACUAGCCCACUUGGGUGUUCUUCAGUGGAUGCCGUAAUGGCUGGCCCACUUGGGUAGUCUUCAGUGGAACCAUCAAUAGGCCCAUUAACAAUCCCAACUGGGCUCUCGGCUAUGACUCUGUUUUCUUUCUUUUGCCUAUCGGCCAAUGGGUAUUCUUGGCCCACUUGUUCAUCAAUCAGCCUAAUUGUGUGUUCUUCAUGUGGUGCCAUGGCCGGCACAUCAAACAAACCAUCGUCCUCAUUAGUCGUUAUCUCCUCCUGAGGAGUAUGGCGGGGAGGAAAAAACAAUUCAUCCUUAGAGAAAGUGACGUCCAUUAUGACGUACAUAUGCCAAGUAGACGGAUGAUAACACCAGUAGCCUUUUUGUUGUGGAUUAAAGCCAAAAAAUGCACACCGAACUGCACAGGGAUCAAGUUUGCUUCGUUGGUUCUUGUGGAGAUGGACAUAAGCGACACACCCAAAAAUUCGUGGUUCCAAUGAAGAGUAGAGGGAAGCGUAACAUGGUCUGCAAGCACUGCCAAAUGAGUUUAAAAGGAGAGAACUCGAGAUGGCAUGCGAUUCAUAAGAUAAACGACAUAAGUUACGGCAUUCGUCUAAUAGGUCUUGGGUACACACCCACCGAUUAAGAGUGCUCUGGUGGUCUCAAUGAUAUGACAAUUCUUUCUUUCUGCAACUCCAUUUUGUUGUGGGGUCUGAGAACAAGUAGUUUCAUGGAGAAUACCAUGUUCUUUGAAAAAUUGAGAAAGAUCCUGAUUAACAUAUUCACAGCCAUUGUUGGAUCGCACAACCUUUACAGGAAGUGAAUAUUGGUUGCGAACCAUGGAAUGAAACGUCUUGAAGGUUUCACUCACAUCACUUUUGUUUUUCAUAAGAUACAACCAUGUCAUCUGGGUACAAUCAUCAACAAAUGUCACAAACCAGCGUAUACCAUGCUGAGUAGUAAUCGGAGAUGGUCCCCACACAUCAGAAUGAAUCAACUCAAAAGAUAUUAUGCUUUUAUUAAAACUUGGCGAAAAAGAAGCAUGAUGGCUUUUGGCUAAGGUGCAAGUAUUACACUUUAAGGAAGUGUCUGAAAUAUUAUUAAAUAAUGAUGGAAGUAAUUUUCUUAAAUAUCCAAAUAAAGCAUGACCUAGUCAACGAUGCCACAGUUAAACAGUUUUCAUCUGUCCACUGCUAUAACUUUGAACCUGAUGAACAUGUCUUGACACAACAUCAUCCACAUAGUACAACCCCUUUCUCUUAGUACCACGCCCAAUGAUCGCCCGAGUCCGAAUAUCUUGAAGUAGACAGAAAGUGGGAAACAUUAGCAAACAAUUUUGUCUACUUCAGGAUAUUCGGACUCGAGCCAAAAGUCACUGACCUAGUCAACGAUGCCACAACUGAACAAAAUUGUUUGCUUGUACCCUCACUCUCCAGUAAUUUAUUAUCUGUGGGCCAAGUCACUGAGCAAUUAAAUUGUUUCCUAUUUUUUGCCCACAUAUAAUAAAUUACUGGAGAGUGAGGGUACAAGCAAACAAUUUUGUAAAGAAAGAUUAGAGGUGAUUGCAAUAGAACCCGCCCCUAUAACUGGGGCAAUACCCCAUUUUCCGUGAUAAUGCUAUUAUUUGGUGGUGGUACCAUCGAGUUAAAGAGGGUUCGAUCAUAAGUCAUAUGAUCGAUGGCUCCUGAAUCAAUGAUCUAACCUGUAUCGUGAACAACAGAAGCAAUUAAAGCAGUGCUCAUAUUACUUGGGUCAUCAGAUUCAUUCGAGGAGAUCAUAUUUAAGAGGGACAAGUGCUGCCCAAUUUCAUCAUGAUCCACAACAUGCACCACUGGUUCCUUGGGCUGGUUUUGGGCCACAGUAGUGUGACCCAUAACUGUUUCUCGAAUGUCAUGCCCAUAAUGUGCUGCUGUCAUGGCAGAUUGAACUGCAGUCUCGUCAGGCCCAUCAUAACGAGCUGCCAUUGCAGCUAGGCCAGGAUUAGGAUCGACCUUCCUUGUUUGGUUGGGACGUUUUCCUAACUUCCCCUUGAUUUGUUUUCUUCGUUCUAUGAACCAUUCAGGGUAUCCAUAAAUUUUGAAACAAGUAUCUUUUGUAUAACGAGUGCCAUUGCAAUAAGUGUAUCGGAGCUUGUCUUUUUCAGCACUUUCCAAAUCCCGUAGUGAGCAUGAUAGACUUGGGAAUGGUUUACUAACCAUGGCCACGGAUGGACCAUUGUCAGUAUCCUUAUCGCUUAGCAUAGUGGUUUUUCAUUAUGAUUCUCACCGAAUGGUGUUGAAGCAUUCUUCUAUUCCAGGGACAUGUUUAAUCAAAGAAGCAUGCUUCGUACCACAUCCAAUGAGUCAUUGAGUCCUGCAAGAAAGUCGUACACCCUGUCUUUUUGAAGCUUUUCAUUCCUGCUUUUCAAGUCGGCUGCACACACCAUCUUAUUGGGACGUCGUUUGUCCAUCUCUUACCAUACAUUUUUUAGUUCCACAAAAUCGAUGUUCACUGGUCGUCCAUUCUGCUUUGUUCUUGUUGCCUUGCAUCGUAGUUCAUAAUAUUGGGACUCGUCUGCCCCGUCAUAGAACAUCUGACUGACGUUUUCCCAAAUAUCAUGUGUCGUUGGUAACUCAAUGAAUAGUCCUAACAGAUGUUUUUCCAUAGUUUUUAGCAGCCAUCCUCGGACAAUUGCAUCUUCAGGUGCUAGGUUUUGUUUCAUCCACUGUUAGAGUCUUCUCAUUGAGAUAACCCAUCUUAUUUAAUCCCUCUGCGUGAACUUCCAUCAUCUUCGACCAAAUUUUAUAGUUCAAAUCAUAAGUUUGAAUCCGAACGGUACGGCACUCAGAUUUGGAGAUUCGUUUGUACUAGGAGCUAAAGCCCCCACGAGAAUAAUUGCUCCUUCUGCAGCCAUCACAGUAGCGGAGUGUCUUGUUUUGUGUUUCUGAUUUGGGGUAUUCUGAAAGUGAGUCCCUUGUCUCGGGACACCACAUCACACACAGAUAGGAUAAUAGGUUUAGAAUUGGAGAAAGAUACCAAACCAAAAACUCUCGACUCUGAUGCCAAAUUAACUUUUAUUUUCUUAUAUUAUUCUCUCCAAUACGGAGGCAACAUAUAUAUACAUCACAACCUUGCGGUGCAAGGAAUAUUAAAUGAAGAGUCUGUCCUAAGCUAGGAAUGAAUCCCUUUAAACUAGCACGAUGACUUUUGGCCAAAAUGCAAAUUUCACAACGAAAAUCGGAUUCUUUGAAUUGGGAAAAAAAGUUUAGGAAAUAUAAGUUUAAGAUAACCAAAUGAAGGAUGUCCUAAUUGUCUAUGCCAUAACCAAAUCUUCUUCAUUUAGGUUGAUUUGUCUUUGCUUACAUGAUGCACUUGACUCAAUCUAUAGCUGCAUUCUUCCGUUAAGUCCAAAUAAUAUAGUUUGCCCCUUCUAGUACCAUAACCAAUCACGACCCUGGUGAGCAGAUCCUGGAAAAGACAACAUAGUGCCAAAAAGAAAUAGAGCAAUUAAGGGAGUCAAUAAUUUGAGAAACAGAUAAAAGAUUGUAAUCUAGGGAUGACAUAACUAAGACAAGAUCAAGAUUGAGUGAGGAAGUUAGUGAAAGAGAGCCUUCUCUGGUAACCGAAGAGAUUGAACCAUUGGCAUUGGUAAUAAACGUCUGGUUGGCUGUUUUUAGUGGGUGAAGAAUGUUAGCAUCAGAUGUGAUGUGAUAUGUGACACUUGUAUCAAUAAUCCACGAUCUAUUACAAGUAUUAGCGGAUGUAGAAUUAGAUAUACCUAAGGUGUUCAAGGCUUUUGGGACAUGGUCAAAUGAGCUAACAUCUUGAGAAGACUGAGAGGUGGUGAAUGAUGCUCUGCUGGAUUCCUUUUUUCGUCCUUUGUGAACCCAUCCUUCUGGAUAGCCAAUAAUCUCAUAAUAGCCUUGAAUAGUAUGAUUUUUCAAUCCGCAUUUAGUGCAUUGCAUAGAUGGUCGAUUACGAAUCGAUUAGCUGUUGAAGAGUUUAUGUUUUGAAGUCGAGGUCCUUGUGGAGAUCGAGAAUUUGUGUAAAGAGCACAAUAGCUUCAAGCAUGGUGGCACUUUCUGACAUGGUUCCUUGUCGGUUGCUAUCACGUUUGACAUGAGAGUAGGCUCCUUCAAGACCAAGUUUGGGCUCAAUCCUCAAAAUCUCACCAUGAAUUUGAUCCAACUUGCUGUCUAAUCCUGCAAGAAAAAUAUAGACUCGAAGUCGCCUUGAUGAGAUAUCAUCUGGGUCCUUCAUGUUAGUAGGACUAAGUUGAACAGGUUCUUGAAAAAUCUCGAUGAGAUUGUUGUAAAAGUUAGCAAUAUAGCUCCAUUUUGCUUCAUGGUGAAUGACCUUUUAUAAAGAUCAUAAAUUUUAGCUUCAUCAGAGCCAUUUGAGUAAGUCUUUUUUUUGGCAUCCCAUAUCUGCAUGGCGAUGUCGUAACGGAUGAACCACUUCAUAUGAUUGGGCGUCAUAGCAUCAAAUAACCAACUUUUGACUUGGCAAUUUUCAGCUUGCCACUUGUUAUACAGUGGGUAUGUAACUACAGGCUUCUUGGUAUCACCGGAAAGAUGCCCAUGUUUUUCUCGACCAACAAUUUUCAUCUCUAUGACUUGAUGCUACAAAGAAUAGUUGUUCUCAUCAAGUUUAAUUCCUACAGAGAAAUUGGAAUUAUCACCUUGAAUGGUGACCACUUGUGUGGUGGAGUUUGAUUUACUUGGUGUGAAAGACUAAUUUGGUGGGUCUGAUAUACUUCAUCACUAGCCAUUGUAUAGGCUUAAGAUCAGUGAAGAAAUAAAAGAUAAAAUUGAUAUGGGAAAAAAUGAAGAAUAACUUGCUUAUGAUUGUGAUCGAGAUAUGACUAUGGUAGAAGCAUUUAUUGGUUUUGAGGUUCAAGAGUCAGUUAUGAUCGACUGCUCUGAUACCAUCUCAGAAAUAAUGGGUUUGUGGGUCAAUUUUCUGUUUCAUUGUAUUACAUUGGCUCCGUAAGGAGCUCUUCAUAUUACAAACUAUACAAUUAAUAUCUAAUAUCAUUAACUACAUGUUCCUAACUCACUUGACAACAUUUAUUGUGAGGAGUAAUUAACAUUGACAAUUGCCAUGUCCAUGUUGACAGACAGCAACUUCUUUUGUUGACAAUAGCAGCUCUUGUUGACAAGAUCAUCCUGUAAUUUCUAGUGAAACGAAUCAAGGGCAAACAAUUUUAGGCUGCCCUUACCUAAUUUACAUGUGUUGCUGUAAAUUCCUACUUCUAAUGUUGGGACGAUGAAAAUAAAGUGCAGCAUGAAGAAAUAUCUAUUCCAGCAAUCUACAUGACAUCACAGACCCACCCAGGCGCAUCACCUUUUUGAAUAUACAAGACAAUAAGAUGUGAAACAUCUCAAAGCUAUGUGGUAGGUAUUGCACAGAGGGGAAACUAAAGCACAAGGCCCUCUAAGCAAACAAUAACAUAUAAGAAAUGAGGAGAAUCGUUAUAUACACAAUUGUUUUAAUUUUUGAAAUUUGCGUAUUUCCACAGUGAAACAUCGAGUACACAUAACAACUAGACGAACAAAUGGAUUACAAACUAUGAAUCUUAUUUGAUUAACGGAAAGAAAAAAAAAACAGGAUUUUCGAGACGACUACACUUAACUACAUAUCGACCUAUUAUCCGUACUAAACAAACUAUAUUUGUAUGCAGCAAAACCUAAGAAAUCCUAAUUUGAAUGGGGUAGGCCUAAAUCAUAAACUAACAAGCAAACCCAAAUAAUGAAAUAACUAAUUUUUCAACAUCCGUCAAACUCAUGACGGUACAUGACAUGAGUUUGCCAACAACCAGAUUCUAAUUUAGACAUAUUGAUGUUAAGAGUAUGAAAAGAAAGCAUAUGAUUGCUUCCCCUCACUAAACAAAUGAGAUUUCCAUAUCCCAAUUACAACAAUGAACGAAAAAAUCAACAUUAUCACUCAAAUAAUCACAAAUCCAAAUACUCAAGUAAAGGUAAAAAAAAUUCCCAAACAAGCCAACAACUCGCGUCGGCCUCAAAGACAUUAAAAAAAAAAGAAAAAGCCCAUGUCUUUUCCCCCUUUGCCUGUGUGGCCCAAAAUCUUGGAAUUGGAUCUGCUCCGGAACUUAGUGUCUGAAGUCUCCGAUUCAAGAAUCUAGGCCACACAAAUUUAGUCCAACGAUCUCCAUUAAUUUAUUUUUCUGGCCCACCACACACAACCAACAUCCCUGAUUUGACUUACACAUCAAUCAGUGCCCUAGAUUCCUUAAUUUGGAGAUUACGAACACUAAAAUCUGGAGCAUAUCCAAUUCUCAAAAUCUCAACCAAUUUCCAAUUUUUUCUUUUUUGUGUGGAUCUCAAACAUACCACCACUUUUUCAUCUUUUUCUUUUUCUCUCUUUUUCCUUUUUGUUUUAGGCAUAUCUUUUUCUUUCCGUGUGGACCUCAUCGAAAUCAAACAAAAAAAAAAGAAAAAUUAAACUCAUCAUUAACUUCCACAUGAAACUUUUUGAACCAAGUUGUGUGAGAUUUGUCCAUGAUUCGGGUGGGGGUAGGUGGGCUGGGGUCAGUUCUCAUUAUUUACUCACCCUUACGCAUCCGUGCAUCCACCCCAAUUUCGAUGUUUUGGGACCUUGGACUAGCAAUAAUUUUUCAAAUAACAGAGUGGAGAUUGGAGAGAGAUAGGAGGAGGGAGGAAGAGCGAGAGAGAAUAGUAUGGUUACAUUUUAGAAUUUUUAUGACAUAGAAUAUUAAUAAUGAUAAAAGUUAACUAGAGUUAUAUGAGAAGAUAUAUAUCAAGUUAAAAGUGUAUGAAUAGCAUACAUGGGUAAGUUCGAAGCAUUUUUACUCAUUGCUUUCAAGUGAUGGUGAUGCUCACAAUAUUUUUAUUACUGUUUGAUAAGUUUAAUUUUUGAAAUUUAUGUCUAUCCACAGUAGAAACGUAUUACAAAUAACAAACAUACGAACAUAUGAACAAACAAAUUACAAAUUACCGAAUAUAUUUGACUAACGAAACAACAAAGAAACAUGAUUGUCGAGACGACUACACUCAACUACAUACCAACUUAUUAUCCAUGCUAAACAAACUACAUUUGUGGGGAGCAAAAUCUAAGGAACCCUAAUUCAAAUGGGAUAGGCCUAAAUCAUAAACUAACACUAAUUUUUCAACACCAGUCAAAUUCAAGACGAUACAUAACAUGAGUUUGCCAACAAACAAAUUUUAAUUCAGACAUAAUGAUGUUGAGAGUAUAAAAAGAAAGCAAAUGAACGCUCCCCAACACUAAACAAAUGAGAUUUUCAUAUUUCAAUUACAACGAUGAACAAACAAAAACGACACUAUCACUCGAAUAUUCACAACUCCCGUACAAGCCAAUAACUCGCGUCAAUCAAUUUCCAAUUUUUUCUUUUCCGUGUGGACCUCAAACAUACCACCACUUUUUCUUCAUUUUCUUUUUCCAUCUUUUUUCCUUUUUUCUUUAUCCCUAUCUUUUCCUCACCCUCGUUUACCAAAAAGAAAAAGAAAAGAGAAAACAAAAGACUCGUCCUUCUUCUUGAGCUGCUGCUUUGGUAGCAUCUCCCACCUCUUCUUCUUCAUCAACUCUCAAGACCGACGCCCAUUCAGAUCCUUGGAAAUUUGAGCAUGGUGGAGAGGAACUAUAAUUAUCAACUUGAGGUUUUAAGUGAGCAAAAUUCGAUUUGUGAAAUGGUCCAUUUCACAGUGUCGUUUUGAAGAAACUAGUUGGGACUUUCAUCCAACAGCUUGCCGGAAGAAAGAAAACUCACAGCUCUGGUGUGUGCGAGGUACCUCCAAGCUCCCCUCUUGUGAAAACAUAAAUCUGCUUUAGCUUUCAAUUGAAAUCUUCGUGGCCGAUGAGUCAAAUGCAUUGACUAUGGAUCCUCUUGUUUUCUUAUCUUUAUUUUUCUUUUUAAUAUUUUCCUAUUAAAACUAAGAUCUAAAGUCUUUAAAUUCAUGGAAAUUAUUUUGUAAGACUUCAAUUUUUGUUUUUCAGAAACAUGAACUAAAUCCAUUUCAUGAAAAAGGAUCUAGUCCUUUUCGUUUUUUUCUUCUUAAAAUAAAUAUGAGUCAUUAUAUUAAUAAUUAAUUUAUUAAAAAUUGAUAGAAUAUAUUUUUGUAUAAAGUUUUAAUAUGAAUUUCUUUUAAGAUUACACAUAAUGUGUCGUUAGCUUUACCAAAUUUAUGAUAAUAUAAAUGUACCGAUAGUUUUUUAAAUAAAAUUUACAUAACAUACCAAAACUAAUUUGUACACAAAUUUAAAUUACAUAUCAUGCCAAUAACGUACCAAAUUAUUGACACGUUACAUUUAGUAAAUAAAAACAUUGAUAUAUAUAUAGAGAGAGAGAGAGGCCCUUUAAGGAAACAGAUCACAUUUAAAAAAAAAAUAGGGCACCCUCUUGAUCAUUAAAUUUGAUUUUAAUGAAAUUCUGUAAUUGAGAUUAAAUCACAGACCACAUAAUCUUAAUUACAGAAUUUCAUUAAAGCCAAAUCUAACGGUUAAGAAGGUGUUCUUAUUUUUUUUUUUAGGAAAAUAGGGAUCCAUCCCCUCUAUUUAUAUAUAUAUAUAUAUAUAUAUAUAUAUGUAAUAUCGUUUAGAAUUUUAAAGUACCAAGAAUUUUAAAGUACGUUGGUACUUUUAAAAUAGCACGUUUGAUUUUUUUUGUUUUUUGCACUCACAGUUUAACUUUAUUUUUUGAUAAAUAAUUCAACUUUUUUUUAUUUUUAUAGAACUUUUAUUGUUUUUUAUUCUUUUGAAAUAUAUUGAAAUAAAAAGAUAUAAAUUAACAAUAUAUUGAAAAAAACCUUUGAUAUUUGGUCUAAGAAAUUAGAAAACAGAGCAUCUAGAUCAAAAUGCCCCCUAAAUUAUUUGGUGGUUAAGAGCCCUAAAUGAGCUCCUCACUAAAACUUAGAGAGGGUUUGAAAAAUUCCAUCUCGAAUCAGAGCCAAGUUACAUGUACAUGUCUAACAAAAGUUUAGUCCAUUUUUACCACACAAAAAAAGGAAAUAAAAUAACCAAUAAUAUUCUUGCAUGACGAUAUGACGAAUUUAUUCUUACUAGACACCAAUUAGUCUUCUUUUUUUUUUUUUUUUCCUCCUGAGUGCUACUCGAGACUCCAACUUAUUAGUUUUUGCAUCAAUUUUUUAGAUCCCAAAUGGCAUGCCAAUGUUCCAACUUAUUAUGUUGAUCAUAUCCUACAUAUUUCCAAAAUUAGACCUGUAAUAUGAUUUGCAUAUCAGUGGUAAAUCAGAUGUGUUUGGUAGCUGGAGAAUAUAUUCUCAAUUUGCAUUCCAAUUUGUAUAUAAUAACUCUUCUUCAUGCAUUCACUGCUACAGAUAGACUCUAUUCAAUAGCUGCUAUGAGCACCGAGCAGCAGAAGAAUGCUUCUUCAUCCUCUUACCGGUGCACAUAUGAUGCCUUCUUGAGUUUCAGAGGCACAGAUACACGCAAGGGCUUUACAGAUCACCUCUACAGUGCUUUGGAGUCGGCAGGAAUCCACACUUUUAGAGAUGAUGAUGAAAUUGAGAGAGGAGCAAACAUUGAACAGGAGCUACAGACAGCAAUACAAGAGUCACGAGUAUCAGUCAUUGUUUUCUCCAAGGACUACGCCUCUUCCAGGUGGUGCCUGAAUGAACUUGCUGUCAUCAUGGAACGUAAAAGAACAGAUGGACACAUGGUUAUCCCAGUUUUCUAUGAUGUGGAACCAUCAGAUGUCAGGAAGCAGACGGGCAGUUUUGCAGAAUCAUUUACUAGACAUGAAGAGCGCUUCAAGGACGAGAUAGACAAGGUGGAGGAGUGGAGGCGAGCUCUUAGAGAUGUUGCAGACUUGGGAGGGAUGGUUUUAAGAGAACGGUGAUUUUUCAUUCCCUCCUAUAUUCAGUCAAGUAGAUCAGAUGCUAGUCUCAAGCUUGUGAAAGUUUUAGCUUUUUUUUUUUUUUUUUUUUCUGAAAAAAUAAAAACAAAAAAUAAAAAACUUGCUCGUGUUUUUUCUUUUGGCCUGAAAAGAAAGAACUUAUUGUCCCUUGUGUAUUUUGAUACCAAUAACAUAUAGGUACGAGUCGCAGUUUAUCCAAGAUAUUGUUGAAGCGAUUGGAAAUAAACUAGACUACAUGACGAAUAGGAGAUUAAGAGUUGAGCCCUAUGUGAUUGGAAGAGAUUAUCAUGUGAAAAGACUAAACAUGUGGCUGGAAGAUGGAUCAAAUGAUGUUGGAGUAGCUGUCAUCCAUGGAAUGGGUGGAAUAGGCAAGACCACCAUUGCAAAAAUUGCUUAUAACCAGAACUUGUAUAAAUUUCAAGCUAGCAGCUUUCUUUCAGAUAUUAGGGAAACUUCCAAACAAGCCAAUGGUUUUGUUCACUUGCAAAGGAACCUUCUUUCAGAUAUCCAAAAGAGGAAAUUGAACAAAAUAUACAGCAUUGAUGAAGGAAUAGUCAAGAUCGAACGGGCUGUACGUUGCAAAAGAGUUCUUAUUGUUCUUGAUGAUGUGGAGAACUCGGAACAGUUCAGUGCAAUAAUUGGAAUGCGAGACUGGUUCCAUCCUGGAUGUAAAAUUAUAAUAACAACUAGGCAUGAACAUUUGUUAAAGGCUCAUGAAGUUGUAAGGUUUAAGGUUGAAGGAUUGCAUGAGGAUGAAUCACUUGAGCUUUUCAGUUGGCAUGCCUUUCGACAACCCCAUCCUCAAGAAGGUUAUAUGGAGCUUUCAAGACCCGUGGUUGAACAUUGUGGAGGGGUUCCAUUAGCUCUUCAAGUUCUGGGAUCUUCUCUAUAUGGAAAAACAAUUGAUGUAUGGAAAAAUGCACUACACAACUUAGACGUGAUUUCUGAGGGGAAAAUUCAAAAGAUUCUUGCCAUAAGCUUUGAUUCUUUACAAGAUCAUGAUAAACGUUUAUUCCUGCAUAUAGCCUGUUUCUUCGUGGGAAAGGACAAGGAUUUUACAACUACAAUCCUUGACGAAUGUGAUUUUUCUACAGAGGUUGGACUUCAACAUCUGGUUGAUAGAUGUCUUGUGGAAAUUAAUGUCCACAACAAGUUAACCAUGCAUCAAUUACUUCAAGACAUGGGAAGGGCAAUAAUUCGUGAAGAAUCACCUGAGGACCCUGGAAGACGCACUAGACUGUGGCAUAAAGAUGCAUUUAACGUUUUGAGAAAAUUAGCGGUAAGAAACAUGAUCUUUAUCUGUAUAUAUUUGCAAUGGUAUUCUGCAUGUGACUAGUAACUUAUCCAAUGCUCUUAUUUGUUAGCAGGGUACGAGAACUAUCAAGGGCCUCGUGCUUAACUUUCCCUCAACAGAGUCAUCUCCAGUAUUAAAUGAGGUAGGUUUCGAAACAAAGGCAUUUACAGAGAUGCUCAAUCUUGAACUACUUCUGCUUGAUAAUGUAAAGUUGAGUGGAAGCUAUGAAGAUUUUCCAAAAAAUUUAAUAUGGCUAUCUUGGCGAGGAUUCUCUUUAAAAUCAAUACCAGCCAAUUUUUGUUUGGAAAAUCUAGUUGUUCUUGACUUACGGAAGAGCAGUCUGCAACAUGUUUGGAAAGGAACCAGGGUAUGUUCUAAUCUCUCUCUCUCUCUCUCUCAAAAUACACACAAUCAAAAAUAAUUUUCAGUGAAAUUUAACUGUGUAUUCAUAGCAACUAAUGACUUCUCUUUGACACAGUUUCUUACAAGAUUGAAAAUUCUUAAUCUCAGUCAUUCGCAUGGCCUUAGGACAACAUCUGACUUGUCCGGACUCCCUAACCUUGAGAAACUAAUUCUUAAGGAUUGCAUUAAUUUGAUUGAUGUUGAUGAAUCCAUUGGAAACUUGGGGAAACUUAUUUUCUUGAAUCUAAAAGACUGCAAAAGUCUUAUGAAGCUUCCAAAAAGAAUGAACAUGUUGAGGUCUCUUGAGGAACUUAUUCUUACUGGUUGCCCAAAGCUUGUUCUUCAUGACAGUGCCACAGUUAUUCAUUUACACUCUACAUCUAGGGAUAUGAAUAAACUUAGACUGUUAUCAAUUAUAUCAUGGACACCAAUCAGGUAUUGGUGGAUGUGGGCAUGGCCGGGAAAGACUCUUCAAUCAAUGAGUUUCUCUCUGGCAAGUUUACCCCGUUUUUUGGGAAGCUUAAGUUUGUCUUACUGCAACAUGUCAGAGGUUCCCAACGAUCUGUGUACACUAUCUUCGUUGAAGCAUUUGAAUCUAAUUGGUAACCCAAUUUUGUGCUUACCACAAAAAAUGAAGAGUCUUAUUAUGCUCGAGACUCUUUUGUUAGAUAAUUGCACAAACCUCGAAAUUCUUCCAGAGCUCCCACCAAGGUUGAAGAGGUUAGAAGCAAAAUAUUGUACAUCAUUGAAAAGAUUAACAAAUUUACCAAACUUAUUCAGAUCAUUGCAAUCACUUUUUUGGGGUUGUGAGCAUUUAGUUGAAGUUGAAAGCUUGUUGAAUAAAAAACCGCUGAGAAGCGCUGACAUAGAAAUGACAAGAUAUAUGGACCUGUUCAAUUUGAAAUCCAUAUCAAGCACUGAUGUCGAAAUGAUCAACUACUUGACCGGUACAACCAGGAAGGCUCCUGUCCAGGUCUUUCUCUGUCUCCUCUCUCAUGUAUAGUUCUAAUUAUUAUAUCUAUGAACUAGUUGGGCCUAACUGUUUGAAUAGUUAAAUUUGAAUUGUAGAUUCUUGAUGAAACAGGUACUCUAUGAAUGUGGCAUAUAUAGCAUUUUCUUUCAUGGAAGCAAGAUUCCAGAUGGAUUUAGCUUCACAACAAGAUACAGAUCUGUGCUGUCAGUUAUUGCACCUUCACAUCCUAAUCCCAAAAUCCGAGGCUUGAAUUCAUGUGUUUUAUAUGCAAGAGAACCAGGCUUGGUUAUUGAUGACUAUCUUGUUAGUGCUAUGCAUUUGAUUAAGGUCAGUAAUCAGACCAAGGGUCUUAUGUGGACCUAUUCUCCAGUCACAGUAGGUUUUCCAACUGAGACGGAAGAUAUGCUAUGGCUAAGCCAUUUUCGAUUUGUAAACAAUGAAUUGGAGUAUGGGGACGAAAUACGUGUUUCGGUGGAGAUGCAUGAUUUUCGGAUAAAGGAGUUCGGAAUCCAGCUUGUGUACGAGCAGGAAAUGUCUCCUAGUAGCCAGAAUAAUGUUGUUGCUGGAGAUGUGUCAAUGUCAACAUCAGAGUACCAAAUGUGGACAGGAAAAUACUUUCUCAGUAAUCAUAGGCACCGUACUCAUCAGGCUCAAUUCCGAAUGAGACAGGAGAAUCCAGCACAUAAUGAAUUUUCAUUUGGGCCAGAGCAUCAGGUUCAUAACUUAUUCAAGGCCCAAGGACCAUUGGAAAAUAUUGUGAGAGGAUGUCCAGCAGAUUCCCCAUCUGCUUCUCGUCACCUGUUUUGGCGAAAAUGAAGAGAAACAUUCUCAAUUCUUUAUCCAACAUCAGUCAUUUAUGGUUGGAAAGAAGGAUCAGCAUCAUUUUCCUUGGUGAGUACCGUCUUUUUGUUCUUUGUUGUUCUCUCGUUCUGAUAAUAUACUCGUGGCUUUGUUGGAUUUGUUGCUUUUUGCUUAUUGUCAUAAAGACCAAUCAAGGAAACAAAACCGGAACAUUCCUCAUGAGUCUGCAGAUGAAGUUUUAAACCCCCUAUAGAGCAAAACCAAUCUGAGCGUAUUUCUCAUCUGUUAUGGCUCGGUCCUUUUAUAGCUGAUAUUGGUGCACAAACUCCCUUUUUCUAUAUUUUCAGAGAAAGUCUGCAAAACUUAAAUCCUAUAGUUCCUUUUCUGCCUUUUUCUACUAUAGUACUACUCCUUCCGAUAAUAAUCCUAGCGGCCCAAAAUUAUAUAUUCCAACUUUAAAUCCCAAUUAAGGUGCUAUAGUUGGUUUUUUAUGUUUAUGCUCACUAGAAACCUCAUUGAUCUACAACGAACAAACAACUACCGUAUAGAUCAUGCUUUCUUAAUUUUUGGCUCCACUUACAGCUGGUGCGAGGGACCUCUGCGCGUUAACUAUGUGCCAGUCUGGGUCCAUUUAGUGUGCGUUAACUAUGGGCACGACCUAACGAGGGACCUGAGAUAUUCAAGAACCCUUACCGAGUACCAGAAAAUAUGAAUUUUGCAAGUCAUAAUGUAUUACUGUAAACUUUUCUUAUUUUACAACCUAAAUCCAUUCAUAUUAGCAACCUUUUCUUAUUCUUUUAUGCCUUCAGUUUUGAAAUCGCGCAAUCAACAAAUUAUUAAAAAUGUGUACAUGACACUAAUUUCUUAAGGAUUGCCAAAGCAAUCAGAUUCGAAAAAACUAAAACGGACAAAAAACGCACAAAUAACUUAAAAAUCCAUAUUGACAAAAUCUAGAAUAAACUGAAACAACUAAAAUCCUAAAUUAAUCCAUAAACCUAAAUCAUGACUGCCACCGUGAAUUGAAGUUGUGUCAUGACAGAACCGAUCGCGUUCAAGUGAUAAUAGUCCGUAGAAACAAUCAGCGAAUCUGUAGAAGAUUUGUUCACCACAAAUACUUAUUAUUUUCCCGUGACCAAAAUAAAAAAGAACGAGAGUAGAGGCCAGUGUGAGAUCCUAAGAAUUUAUUAUCGAAGAAGCGAAAUUUAUUUUCUACUCCAUUUCAUUUAUUUUUGUUUUUAUUUAAUUUUACUUGAUCACCGUGUGCAGAGUUAAUUUUUUCACCGACUCAGAGUCUGGGACGUGACAGAAUGGUAUCAAAGCAUAUGUAUUAGACAACCUUGGACAACCUGUGGUGUCAUUUGAAUAUUAGCUUUAAAGGAACCAGAGCCUGGCUACUUAGAACUUUGUAUUUUAGUGGAAUGUUGAUUGAUUUAUGGAAUAAGAAAUACAAUAUAGUAUGCUAAGAAACUUGUACAAAGAUACCCACAAUUUUCUUGGGAGUUUAUGUGUGUUCGACUAAGUACUAGAUAUGAACACACGUAAUUAGCCGCUUAAGAUUUCGAAAUCGACUUGUCAAAUUACAUGAAUCCUUACUCUACAUACAACCAUGAAUUGACUUGGAAAUUAAAGUCCGAUCAAAGGUGAAAAAUCUGGACUUGUCAAGUAAUUCAAUGUUUAAAGUAAAUCUCGAGUAUGAGAUUUAUUUUAAGAAUGAUGAAUUGUGAGAUCUUAAGAAUUUAUUAUCAAAUAAGAGAAAUUUAUUUUCCAUCCCGUUUCAUUUAUUUUUGUUUUAUUUAAUUUUACUUGCGUAUCGGGUGCGGGUUAUUUUUUCCACUGAGUCCGGGUCCAAGCGUGACAAGGACUCAAACAGAUGUUCCUUUCAUUCUCAAAUUGUGAGUUAUAUUCACUGUGACAAAAACAAGAAAGGAUGAGAGAAUAUGACUCAAGGUAAUUUUCAUUUCAUGCUGAGUAAAUUGUAGCUAUGGUCCCUUAACUUUAACUCAAUUGGAGCAAUGGUCCCACAACUAAAAAUCCAUUAUCAUUGGUCCCUCAACUCAUCAAAAUGUGCAGCUAUGGUCCCUUAACUAAAAAUCCAUUACCAUUGGUCCCUCAACUUUAAUUCAACUGGAGAAAUGAUUCCUAAACUUUAACCCAAUUGUAACAAUGGUCAUUCCAAUAUAACUCGUUUUGACAAAAAUUUUGACGUAGUUGAGGAAAAAGACCAUAAUUACAUACUUUGAUGAGUUGAGGGACCCUAAUUAUAUAAAUGGUUAUUCCAACAUAACUUAUUUUGACAAAAUUUUAAUGAAAUUGAUGAAAAUGACUAUAGCUACACAUUUUGAUAAGUUGAAGGACCAAUGGUAAUGAAUUUUUAAUUGAGGAACCAUUACUCCAAUUUGAUUAAAGUUGAGAGAUCAUUGCUAUAAUUUACUCUUUCAUGCUCAAAAUGACACAUUUGUGCACUUUUCUUUUAAACUAGUCAUUAUAGUCCAAUUAGCAGCUGUAAAGUAUCAGCUUUACAUCCAAUUUAACAAAACAAAAUUAUCUUUUUACCCUCAAUUGCCAUGUGUUGUCAUGGUUGAAAAAUUAGAUGAAGAUUUUCAAAAUCCAACUCCCGAGGGAAGAUUGGCUAUUUAUAAAAGUCCAGGGUAAAUCAACUAAAAUUAAAGUUCAAGGCGAAAUUUUUCCAACAAUAGAGUUUACAAUUUUCUUUUUCUCAAUUCGUGCAGGCUAAACGCUUUUAAUUAACAUUACUCAAGUUAUAAGCACCUUACAAAAUUUGCAAUUUUUUUUCAUAGUACUAUAAACUAGAAAAUAUGCCUGCGCUUUGCUGCGGGACUUGAAUGCACCAGCCUUAACUGCAUGAAUAAGACACAUUUAACCUAAAUAAAUUAAACAUAUUCCUGAAUGAACAAAAGAAUAGAUGAGUGAAUGAGGUCGGUACGAUAAGCAACUUGGUUUUUAUAUACAUUCAACAGAGCUGAUAUGAAAAGACAUUGUACAGUUAUCAGAAUGAAGUUCCUGAUUACAAAAGAUGUGGCUGCAAAAAAUGCUCUAUUUCCAUAAGAAACAGCAACAACAUGCAGUUCUCACACAUUGGUUAUUCUAAUGUCCAUUUCAUUGUAGGGUAGACAUGAAUCAUUUUGACAGAAAGAGACAAAUUGUUGAUGAUGGUAAGUCUUAAUGAAUCAUAUUGAAACGGCAGCAGCCUUAGAAUAAGAUUCGACUGUGCAUAGAGUAUGGAUUGCAAGUUGAAUUCCAACAAAUAUGUGUAAUUAUGAAUCACCACGACCGAAAUUAGAGAAUCCACAAAAAAAUGAGGUCUAACUCUCUAUUUCGGAGGAGAAUAUCCAAAAAUAAUGAUGUCCCCUUGUUUUUGUUUUUCAUUCAUUUCUCACAAACCAAUCAUACAUUUAAAAUAGGCUUUGAAUAAAAACAGGGCAUAUAAUUAUAUACCUCAAAAUGCCAAGAAACCAACUUCUCCCUCCAACGAUCCAAACUCCUGAAAUUCCCAAGCAUAAUAAAUCCAUUAGCAAUUUCUUGAUGUUUCUUUGCUUUAUUUAGUCUAAAGAUUGAAAUAUAUAGGAUGUGCAUAUAUAUAUAUGGAGUAAAGAAGUGGUGCAUUUGUGAGAUAAAGCAUUAACAUCCACCGUGACAUCUGUGUAUAUUUUACAAUAUGUGUGUCUGAGUUUGCAUUUGUGCUGAAUAUUAACUUGAAAAGUUGAAAGCAAAGAUAUUACACACUUCAAAAGAUGCUUGCAUCAGGUUGGACACCAACGGACAGCUAAAAAACUAAUCCACUAGUGUACACAUUAUCUUGAUUUUUCUUGUUAAUGCACCUUCAUUUCCUUCUACUAAGGGGCAUUUCAUCUACAAUUAAUCAUCUACUGAUAAAAGACAAUCUCUAGAUACUCGAUAUGCAACUAAAUCAACAAACAAUCCUUACUUAUUCAGCAUAUCUACAGAACCAGAUUGAAUCAGAUAUCAGACUUCAUAUUGUCAAACAUUAUGUUCUCUCUAACCAGAUAGGACACUGGAUUGCACACUAAGUAAAUAAAGACCCCAAAUUGGAAAACACCCAACACCAAUUAGACACAAAUAAUAGACACACACUGAUCAAAUUAAUUAGUGCACAUAUAAAGACAUAGAAAACAUACGGAAAUAUAGGGGAAACGCCAAUCAGACAAAAAUAACACAUACACUGUAAAGAGAUAAAAGACAUAGGAAAACUUAUAAUAGAUGGCCUUAGUUUACUUAGUGCACAUAUAAGCUAAUGUUUCUUAUAAAGAUAUAAUAAUUAAAGGCAACCUACAAUUGAGCCUGAUAUCGGACUUAACUUGUUAAGCUAUCUCAGUUUGUUUAAUAAUUGGGAAACAUAUCGUAACCUCCUUAAGGUCUAAUCAGUGCAUAUAUAUUGGGAGAUAUGUGCAUAAAUAUGGAGUAAAGAAGUGGUGCAUUUAUGGCCAGAUUUUUAUUCAUUUGGUAUUCAAUUUUGUUGUGACUUAUGAAAUCAAAAGGCUUUCACACUGAAGGUCUCAUCAGGGUUCUGCUCCUAAACCCCCUGAACAAACAAAAUUGAUAAAUCAUUAUCAUUACCUUUAACAAAACAGAUUACAGUAAAAAAAAAUUCCUGUUUAAAAAACAAUUAAGCAGUUUCAUAUAGCCUCCUAAGUCCUAAGCACAAAAUUAUAGUUUAAUAAAGGAAAAUCCCAAUCCAAAGCUCCAACCUUUUAACCCAAAAUGAAAACGAAAAGCAUGGUACAUAUAAUUCAGUUUUAUUAUUAGAUUUUCUAAAUCCCCACUUUAAAUCCAUUGCAAAGAUACUACCACCAACUAAGGGUGGCAAUUUGACUGUGGUUGUGUAUGUUAGUGGACUUUAUGCAACUCAAUAUAUAAAAUUUAAGCAGUUUCAGAUACUCUCCUAAGCAUCUGCAAACUAUUAACAUUAUCUUCCCAAGUUUCUUUCCCAAUUUCAUCGAUAGCAAUUUUAUUGACAGCAAUUUCAUUGAUAGUCUGCUAAGCAUCUGCAAACCAUUAACAUUAUACCAACUUAAGAGAUAGCAAUUACACAUUCCACCGUUAUCAUAGUCAUAAAUAGUCAAAGGAUGCCACAAUUAUAUAGCCAAAUCCAGUCCCAACGUGCAUGAAUAAAAUGUAACAACAUAGUCACAAAAUCACCGUAAAUAAAUAUACCUUAAAAGCCAAAGGGCCAAGUGCUCCCUUCAACGAUCCAAAUUUCUGAAAAUCGCAAACAUAGCAAAUCCAUUAGCACUAACUUACAGAACAGUAAUGAAAAUAAUAGCUUAGAAACAGCGUUGAAAAGCACCUUGAGUGAAGAAAACAAAGUGAAAUCUGUUUUUCAUGCAAAUUGUUGAUGAUAGCACGUUUUAACGAAUCAUAUUCAAACGGCAGCAGCUUUGUAUAAAAACAGGGUAUAUAAAAUAGGCUUGCGAGAAAAUCCAAAUAAGGAUGUCUCCUUGAACAAAUAACACACACACACCGAUCAUUCAUGUCUCUCUUUUUCAAAUAACACACACAGUGAUCCAAAACAGGGUAUUCUAACUCUCUUUUUCAUUCAUUUCACACAAACCAAUCAUACAUUUAAAAUAGUGCUUGAAUAAAAACAGGGUACAUAAUUAUAUACCUCAAAAUGCCAAGGAACCAACUUCUCCCUCCAACAAUCGAAAUUCCUGAAAUUCCAAAACAUAGCAAAUCCAUUAGCAAUAUCAUGAUGUUUCUUUGCUUUAUAUAGUCUAAAGAUUAUAAGGAUGUGCAUAUAUUUGGAGUAAAGAAGUAGUGCAACCUUUCAACCUCAUUUCUAGAAAACUACCAAAGAAACAAUGAGAUAAAGAGAACCUUUUUUUUUUUUUUUUGGUAUUCUAAUGAUAUUUUAGCCUAAUUUAUACCAUGCGAAAAAAGAUUUUGAACUUUGUUCGGUGGCUGAAAAGAAUUUUUGCCUCCAAAUAAUAAUGCUUACCCAUAACCUAGAAUUUAAAAUUACCAUUUUGUGCUUUUGUGCCAUUAGGAUGUGAAAACUCAAGUGGCAGGUGGCAGCAGUGGUACCAAAUUAUAAUUCUAAAUCUGGUAACAGAAACCGGUUGAUAAUUAACCCAGAAUAUAAAAUCCAAAGAACUUAGAGCAAAAAUUAUCUCAAAUCUUCGCUUUUCUUGUACUUUGGCAUUGUGCGGUUGACUUGUAAACGGUAAAUGAAAUCCUGAAAACCGAAGAAUGAAAAGCAUUCUUUUAGUUAACUAAAAAGCACUCGUAAACGGAGUAAGAUAUCUAGUAACCAAAAAAUAAAUCUUGGAAAGCAGACAUAAACAAACUUCAAUCACAAUUACUUUAAUACAUUUGGAUACAAAGGAAAAUUAAAUUUAUUCAAUUUUGAUAUAAAGAAAAUUAACUAAUGUAGAAAGAACAUUUGUGCCUCAAUGGCGCGAAAAGUACUCAAAACAAACAUUGUGAUGUGCAAACAGAAAAUGAUCAUGCUCUCCAACCUAUAUUUGGUGACGGAAAAUUUAUACAGAAAAUGAAUGUGCUCCCCAACCUACAUGUUGGCAUUCUCCUUUCCAGUUCUCAAUAUGUGAUGUGUAAACCACAUUGGUUGUCCUAGUAAGACAUAUAGGACAAAAUAUUCGGUGCUUAAUUAAAUAAUUUUUGCAUGAGUUGUUAAUUAUAGUAGGUCUAAAUCUAAUUUUAAAAAUCUCUACCCCAAUUAUAAAUAACAGUAGUGGAAAAUUAGGUACAUGGGGAAUCAUGUAGUUAAAUAAAUUAUUAAUGCCUCUAAGUUAGAGAGCAUUUGAAAUAAUGGUAGAAAAGAAUUUGUGCCUCCAAAUACUAAUGCUUCCCCAUAACCUAGAAUUUGCACUCACACUCCUCAUUCAUCACUACAACAACAACAACAAAGUCUUUUCCCACUAAGUGGGGUCGGCUAUAUGAAUCCUAGAACGCCAUUGCGCUCAGUUCUGUGUCAUGUCCUCCGUUAGAUCCAAGUAUUCUAAGUUUUUUCUUAGGGUCUCUUCCAAAGUUUUCCUAGGUCUUCCUCUACCCCUUCGGCCCUGAACCUCUGUCCCGUAGUCACAUCUUCGAACCGGAGCGUCAAUAGGCCUUCUUUGCACAUGUCCAAACCACCGUAACCGGUUUUCUCUCAUCUUUCCUUCAAUUUCGGCUACUCCUACUUUACCUCGGAUAUCCUCAUUCCUAAUCUUAUCAUUUCUCGUGUGCCACACAUCCAACGAAGCAUCCUCAUCUCCGCUACACCCAUUUUAUGUAUAUAUACUAAAAAAUUAGAAGAAAAAUAAACAUGAUCUUAUUUGUCAACAAACGGGAAAAAGAAUACAAAGAAGCCCUGGAAAGCUUCAACGGAAAAAAACAAAGAAAAGGCUCAACUUGUAACCACACUUAUGGAGGCAAUUACAAACAAUAAAUAAAUUAUAAUUAAUUAAUUGUCCAGUCCCCAACUUUAACUAUUGUUACAUGCAGGCGAUCGAAUUAGACCUGGGAAGUGGGAAACAUACUUAAUCCUUAAACACUGAGUUGAUUGCAGGGCAAGUAAGCAUCAAAUUAGUAUCACUACAUAACAUCGUUAAUUUAACCCAAUUCUAAGUGACUAAAACCUUUCCUCCAUACAUCUUAAUAAAAAUAAAUCCACUUUUUUUUUUAUUUAUGGUGUAUUUGAUUUUCCGUCUCUUUGUUUGAUUUGAGCUCUAGUAGAACAUGCUUUGUUAUAUAUUAGAUAAGUCUGCUAAAAAAGAGGAGGCUGGAGCCUAGAAACGCUUAUAAAGAAGAUAUUCCAUAAUGUUUCCAUGUUGAGCUAUGACCAAGGCAGAGUUAGACUCAUAUCAGGAUUACUACAUGUUCUGGGAAAGGAUUGCCAAAAGACUGCAUGCAUAACUUCUCCUACAAUUACCUAAGCAUCCUAUUAAUAUAUGUGACAUGGAACAGAGACUUUACAAUCAAGAAAACGAAGAAUGCAACAGUUGUAAGGUCUUGUUUCUUAUCAAAAUAGAUUCCUCUUAAGAAAGGGACUUAUAUGCACUAAAUUUGAACACUAAUUAGGAGAUGAACACACAAAUUCCUAAUCAAUCAAGUUACGAAGGUCCUAAAUCCUAAUCCCAUGAUCCCAUUUUCUUUCCCAAAUUUCCAGGCAACCAAACAGACCCCAACCCAACCCUAAUCCGCAAAUUUCUCAAUCAAACACCACUCAAUCACCCAUCAAAAACCAAAGAAAUUCAAGAAAAUGAAGAAUGCAACAAUUGCAAGGUCUUGUUUGUUAUCAAAAUAGAUCCCUCUUAAGAAAGGGACUUAUAUGAAUUAAAUUUGAAUACUGAUCAGGAGAUAAACACACAAAUUCCUAAUCAAUCAAGUUACCAAGGUCCUAAAUCCUAACCACAAAAAAUCACACUGAUCAAAUUAAAACAUAUCCAAUUAUAAAACUAUCAUUAAAAAUGAAUAUUUCAUCAUUUUGGUACAGUAGCAUAAAGCCUCAUUAAAAAGAGAAAAAGAGAAAAUACAGUAGCAUAAUCAAUCAAGUUGAUGCAUGUUUCAAUCAAAUUGAUGCAUAUUUCAAUCGAGCCUCAUUAAAAACAGAAAAUACAGCAGCACAAAGCAUAACAGAAGCUUGGAAAUGGAGAAGGAACCUGCAAUUAGGUAUCUUCAGAAGCAAAAAUGGCAGAACGUACAGAACCCAGAAUCACAGAGAGAGAGAGAGAGUGGAGUAAGUCGGUCUGGAGCUAAAAUAAAGAAAAUGAGCUUUAGAAAGUAGUAAAGGAUGUUCACAAACUGAACAGUCAAGAAACCAUUUUUAAAUUUGCGUCGGAGGAUACACCAAGAAUGGACUUUUCCACCAGGCAAAACAAUAAAUUGCUGAUGAACUAAACAAUCUAAAAAAAUCUAUGACAACUUUAAUGAAGGAAAAAAAAAUCUAUGACAAUUUGAAGCAGAUGGCAAAUCAAACAUUAAAUAAUGAAUUAAAAACAAUAAACUGAAAAAUAAAGUUGAAUUGGCACUAAACAAUGGCUUAAAAACAGUGCAUCACCUUUUGAAUUAAGGGAGGAAACCGAAAAAUCAAACUCUCUCAUACCUCCCUCAGUCACCCCUUCCUGACCGGCUAACCCCACAAACUGCACACAACCAUGCCUUCCCCCCUCCCUCUCUCUCUAAAAUUGGAGGAAAUCCCAUAGGUUAUGGCAGAGGACCUAGCUAAAUCUCUCUCACUGAGUCGAAACCCCUAGCUCCCAUCUCUCUCCAAUCUGUCAGUCCCUCUGUCCUCCUCCCUCCAAUGACGCUUCGACCGAAGCACAACCAUCUCUCCAAACAAAGAAGAAAAAAAUCUGAAUAGAACCUUAUUAAAAAAAAGAAUACCACCUAAUGAGGUUAAGACACGUGGACAAAGCGAUGCUCCUGGGGGAAAGGAGGAAGUGUGGUGUAUAUUGCCUGGGUGGUAGAACCACGAACUCGAUGGGUUGUUUCUGGAAACGAGCGCGCUGACCAGUUUUCAGGUUGUAGAUAAUGAUGAGGGAGAAAUCCUGUUGGUCGAGACGAGGGUAUGUCGAGACCCUUGUCUGAAGCUAAAUGACGAUUUUUAGCUUGCAACAGCUGCACAUGCAUUGGCUGUAUAUUGUGAAUCCAGACAUAACUGAUUCAGGGUGUGCAUGCUGGUAUGUGUUUGAAGGCGUAUUUUGGGAUGGAUGCAAGGAUUUUUGCAUGGUACAUUCGCCAAGGUGGAAAAUCGUUGAGAUUUGGCUCAUAUAUUUGUCAUUAGUUAAAAACAGCUUAAAAAUGUAUUUGGUACUGAGGUGCUUUUAUAAAAAGUGGAUAUAAAAAAAAAACUAAACUCAAAAAAUGGUGUUUGGUAAACACUUAAAAACAGCCUAUUUUCACAGUUUUGGAUAAAAAAAAAGCUGAAAAUGUGAAAUAGCAAAAAUGAGUUUAUUCUCACAUCACAACAAAAACAGUUUUUUUUUUCAAAGCACAGCAAUAUCAAACCAGCCUAUGUGUCAUGUGCAUUGAACAAUUGAAGACCAACUUGUGUUGGUGUACGCGUAAGCCUUCAAUGAGAAGACAUGAUUGUAUGCCUUCAAACAAAAGGUAGCAGCUGCGUUUGACUUGCAUACGAAAAUGCAUGCCGUGGAUUUAUUAUUAGAGCUAUGUAAUAAUGGGAGCUGUUGUGUGUUAAAGUGGUUAGUUCGUAACUUCAUUUAAUCUUAUAGGAAGGGGAGUCUUCACUUUGUAGUAAAUGCAUGUCGGCUUGGUGGGUGCAUCGAAGGUGAAUAACUCAAGGCUUCUAUUUAUACAACUGUAGGCCAUGCAUAACAGUAUGUUUGGUUGAGUUAGAGAAACAUUUAGGGGAUUGGGUCUAGGUGGUUAAAUGAGGUCAAUAUCGACACAUGACAGUUUUAGUAAUGGACACUUACAAAGACCGUGACACAACACACUAUAUCUCCUCAAUCGCUCUCUCACUUUGUCCGGUAGAGCCAUAUAAAUCAAACAAAAAUAAGAAAAAUUAAACUCCCCCGCAACUUUCCAAUGAAAUUUUUACACGAAACGCGAUCGACUCGAACCAAGUGGUGUGAGAUUUGUCCAAAUGUUUGAUGAUUUGGGUGGGGUCGCUUCUCAUCUAUCAUUCACCCCUCCAUAUAUAUUCAUACCCCCCAAUUUAGAUGAUUUGGGAUCUUGGAUUAGCAAUAGUUUCCAAAUGGGUGGCGCUAUACACACUAUUUUUUUACUUUCUACAUAGCAUUUGUUCAUUUAUUUUUUUUCAAUUCAUUUGAUUCGAUGUUCAAAAAUUAAGAAGGAUGUGUAAGAAGUAAAAACGAGUAUGUGAACGACAUCACCAUUUCAAAUAAAGAGAAUUGAUUGGAGAGAGAGACGGAAGGAUGUUGGAAGAGCGAGGGAGAAAGGGACGGUUAGAUUUUGGAAUUAUGACAUAAAAAUAUUAAUAAUAGUAAAAGUUAAUUAGAGUCAUGUGGACUACGGAGAACAGGUGUCAAGCUGAAGGUGUGUAGGUUACAAACAUCAUGUUUAAGUUCGGGGCAUUUUUACUCACCUUUCUCGAGUAAUAGUAAUGCUCACCACUUCAUUAUACAUAUUUUUUCUAUAUAAAAGAAAAAAAAAAGGUUAUGAACAUAACCAUUACUUGAUAGCAUUGAAUAAAAAUAUUCUCAAGCAAAAAUGCUCCUGAGAAAAAGAGAAGCCCAUCAUCUUUAACUGAUACCCCCAAAACGUCAAAUUUGUAAAUGAAGAGGUUUUUUCAAUUUUACUUUGUUCAUGCAGAUUGAUUUUUCCUCUAUUCAAAUCUGAAUUAAAUAAUUUCAUUUUUAAACAAUCGAUGUUAGGAGAGGGGGCUCGGCAUGCUUUUAGCACUUAGAGUUACAAGUCCUUUUAAUAAUUGAAUUGUCUUUUUUCUUAAUUAUUAUUUUUUUAUAAUGAUAUUAUCGGCGUAAGAUCAAGGUUAUAUCAUAUAUAAUUAGCCAGCCAUAACUGACAUAGAAUUAGAGUCAAAUUUAAAAUUUUUUACUUAUAAGUAGAGAAAAUAUCACUAGUACAAAAACAUGUUUGCGCGACGAAAACUUGCGCGACGCAUAAAAUUACGUCGCGCAAAGCCGUUUUGCGCGACGUAGGUGUACUUACGUCGCGCAAAACGACUUUGCGCGACGUUAGUUUGCGCGACGAAGGACUACGUCGCGCAAAGCCGUUUUGCGCGACGUAGUCCUUCGUCGCGCAAACUUUUGGCGCCAAACCCUAAGAAAUUACCGCUUUUUCCCAUCUUUGCGCGAUGUAGGUUUACGUCUUAGAAAGUGAGCCAAAAUCUCGCAAGAAUCAGGCUGCACACGAGCGGAUCCAAAGGCCAAACCUCCGAUCUUGAAGUCGACACACCCAGAGGUAAAAAUUUCUCAUCCUCUCUCUUCGAUUUCAGAAUACUGUUAUAGUUGGAGCCCCGACCCUCAUUUUGAAAUUAAUCAGUGAGAUUUGAUGAAAAAAGGAAUAUUAAUCACUGAGAUUAGAUGAAAAGGUUACUUCUGAAUGCAAUAAUGUUACUUGUUUCUCAAAAUAGAAUCACUGAGAUUAGAUGAAAAGGUGGUUUAGUUAGAAGAGUUGGAUUAUAGAAGCGAAUAUGCUUUCUUUGCUGAAAAGCUGGUCACUGAGAUUAGAUGAAAAGGUGGUUUAGUUAGAAGAGUUCGAUUUCAGAAUACUGUUAUGAGGGUAGCUAUCGUAUUGUUCUGCACUCUAGUAGUUUUAACUUUUAACUUUUAAUUCCUUUAUUUUCUCCAAUUAAUCCAUGGAUUUGCAUAAAGGAUUCAAAAUUUUGUAUCCGAAGUUUGUUUAGUUUUUGUUAGUCUUAUUAUUGCAGGCACUAUUAUGGUCUUGCCUAACUAUUGAAUUUUAGUAUUCAAAGUGGAGCAGUUGGUUCAUUAUGCCUCUUCCAUGUCAUUGCUUGGAUCCUAAAUCUUCCAAUUUGUUGUAGCGUCCUUCUACCAGAAUAGUUUUCCCGGUGUUCUCAAUUACUGACCUUUUUUUUGGCUUUGCAGGAUCAUAUCAUAUGGACGUCUGGCUUUUGGUUGGUCUUGAUCCUAACUUUCUUUGGCAAGCUAGGAGUAACUUUUUCUUUUUUUUUUCCUAUUCCGUUUUCAAUGACCCUAAUUUUUGCCUACUUUGCUUAAAGAAGACUAUACAAUUGUUUGUCCUAAAUCCUGAAAGGUCGCUAAAAUUUAAAUACUCGUCUACAUUUCUUAAAACAUGAUUUAAUGGAUGGAAGGUUAGAGGUGGUAAAAGGUGCAAAAUAGUAGUUUUAAUUCAUUCUUGUGUUUCCAGAUUGCAGCAGUCUCCUAAUCUAUUGGCUUUCGGUUCGCUGGUAAUGUGAUGUUGUCUCUGUCUUGGCUUGAAGUAUCUCACUCGUAUGUAUUCAAUCUGAAAAGGUAAUCCUAACUCUUGUUAUUGUUUUCAACAACCCAACUUUUGCCAAUUUUUGCUUUAGAGUGCUGCUUCUGUAUUGUAUUGGUAUUAAGCUGUUAAAGUUUAUUUAUUUGAACUGAGGUAUUCUAUUUUGUUCUUUGGUUUUGUGCAGGGAGAGCUUGUGCGUGCUUUAGGAGGAGCUGUGGCAUCCACAUCUCUUCUUGGAGUUCCUCUUGGACAUAACUCCUCGUUUCUUCAAGGGCCGACCUUUGCACCUCCAAGGAUUAGAGAGGCUAUCUGGUGUGGGAGCACCAACUCAACAACUGAAGAAGGUAUCUAAUUAUCUCAAUUAGUAGCAAACUUUUGCUUCUCAAAACAUUCAGUUUCGAGAAGAUUGGCUGCCCUGCUCGUGUUCUCAUUAGAACCCCACUCUUGAGAUCUUUCAGAAUAUAAACAUUAUGUUUGCUUCCUAACAAAUUAAGAUUCUAGUUAUUAUUGUAAACCGACAAACUUUAUCAAUAUCUUAUAAACUAGUUGUCAAUUAUUCUGAUAGCAAGAAAGCUCGGAACUCAAAGACACUUCUCCACCAUUCCGGUUCGAAGCCCUUUUCGUAUAGGGUUGAGGCACGACGUGAGGUAAAAGUAUAUUAAUUUUGAAAUUUUAUACAAUUUAUUUUUUAUUAUUGAUUAAUAAAUUUUUCUUAAUGUUUUUUUUUUCUUUAGGAGGGUUCUAAGUUCCCACAGAUUGACCUGUUCAAGCAGGUUUACGUUCAUCCCAACAAUGAGAACAGUGACCAGCUUUAUGUAAGUAUAUGUAAUUGUUAUUUUUCUUAUUUUUAUGAAUCAUUCAAAUAUUAUUUAUAUUUUGUUAUUAAACAUUAUAUGUUUUUUCUUUAUUAUUACAGGGUGAUAUGGUGGAAAAGAGCACUGCUAUUCUCCAAGAAGCAACAUCACAGCUUCCCCCGGAGACCCCGAUUGAGGACAUCAUUGUACCCAAGGAUGCAGAUGUUCAGAUCGUGACUGAGGUCCUGGAUCAGAAGUUCGGUCGUCGUCAUGGUAAGGUUGUUCGGUGUACGGGGAAGGCGGGGGUUCGUGAAACGGGUGCCUCUUCUUCCAGAUUGUCCACAGGAGAGGUCAAAUUCCUUGAAGGAGGAAGUGACAACCCUAAGAGGUCAGGUUGCGGCCCAGGGCGAGAGGAUGAAUAUGAUUCUUCAGGCCUUAGCGAUGUCCGGCCUCCAAAUCCCGACGAUGCCAGCACCUAAUGUUGCUCCACCUUGGACUUCCCAGCCAUUUCGCCCAGACGAUACCGAGUAGCAUGAUGUAUUAAACUUAGAAGACUUGUAGUUUUUUAUUUUUUUGUUCGGACAAACGUACAUUUUCAUAUAUUCUAUAAUUAAUUACUUUUUCUUGGUUUAUUAAUUAUUGUUUAGCAUUUAAUUAUAAUAUUCAAUAAUUUAAUUAUAAUAUUUAUUAAAAAUUAAAUAAAAAAAUAUAAAUGACACAAAAAAAAAAAACUUUACGCGACGCAGGACCUCCUUACGUCGCGCAAAGUAGCUUUGCGCGACGUAGGGAGGUCCUGCGUCGCGCAAACCCUUCCUUCACUGCCUUCGCGCGACAGUUCUUGCGCGACGAAGGUUCGUUUCGCUAAUUUUUGGGCGACGUAUUUUUGACUUUGCGCGACGAAGGUCCUACGUCGCGCAAAGUCUUUUUGUACUAGUGUAUUAUUAGAAGGAAGCAAGGUUCUAAAAGUCGCUAGGCGCUAGUCGGGCGGCGGGCUGGGGCUUAGCGCCUAGGCGGCUAGGCGGACUAGGUGAAUUUAAGUAAAUCUAUCAUAUUUCAGGUAAAUAAGUGUCUGCUUCUACUUGAAAUAUAUAUAAUUUCAUCAUACAAAAUAGAAUGCAUAUAUAUCAUGAAGUAUUAGAACAUAAUGAAUACAUGUGAAAUAAGGAUAUAAUGUUUGUUCAUUCAAGUAUGCAACAAGUCUCUUACAAUUUAUUGGAAAAAAAACAAAAUGCAAAAUGAAAGUUAUGUAUUUUCUGUCUAAGUGAGUUGCAACCUAGGCGGAUCUAGGCGGGUGCCUAGGUGGGUUAGGCGGGUGUCUAGGUGGUCUAGGUGGUGGGCUGGGGCUUAUGCAUUAAUCGGGGUGGUGGGCUGGGGCCUAGCGCCUAGGCGGGGCCUAGGCGGAGCUAGGCGGGGAUUUUUAGAACAGUGGAAGGAUGGGCUAAUGAAAUUUAUGAUUGAAUCUUUACAUUUGCAUUAUAGUCAGUCACCCUUUUGUGAGUAUGACCUGAGUAGGAAAAUGAUUGAUGAAUUUUCGUGAAAAACGCAUACUAUACACGUGCGUACUUUUCAAAAAGCUAUGCAUUAUUGUUUGCUGAAUUUUAUCAGUAAAUGUUGGUUUGUUAGGGCUUCCCCACCCGCUUUUACCAAAAACAGAAAAGAGAAACAAAAAUAUAUCGUCCUUCUUCUUGAUCUUCUCUGGUAGCAUGAUUAUAUCCCACCUCCUCUUCUUCAUCAACACUUAAGACUAACACCCGUUCAGAUCCUUAUAAAUUUGAUCAUGGUGGAGAGGAACUAUAAUUAUCAAGUUGAGGUUGCGAGUGAGCAAAAUUUGAUUUGUGAAAUCGUCCAUUUCACAGUGUCUUUUUGAAGAAACUAGUUUGGGACUUUCGUCCAACGGCUUGCCGGCAGAAAGAAAACUCAGCAGCUUUCGGCAUCUUACAGUACACAACACUGGUAUGUGCGAGGUACCUCCAAGCUCUCCUGUUGUUAAAACAUAGCUCUGCUUGUACCAUUGACUUUGUAUCCUUUUGGCUUUUUUUAUUUUUAAUUUUCCGUUCUGUGUUUUCCUAUGAAAUUUGUGUUGGGUCUUUAAGGCCAUCUAUAACCGAGGGCUAGCCAGAGGGCUCGUUUUAGCCCUCUGGCCCUCCAAGAUUCCCCAAGAUAUUAAUAUUUUAAUGAACAGUACAUGGCUAUAUUUGCCUCCGUCUCCAACCAAGGGCCAAAGGCCACAUGGCUCGUUUUAGCCCUGUCACAAAAAACCGUCUCCAACCGAGAGCCAAAGGGCCAUAGGGCUAAACAUAAUUUAUUAUUUAAAAACUACAAUUUAAAUUCAAAUCCAACGGCUUAGUGACGUCAACAUGACGUCAGCUAGCCGUUGGAUUUGAAUUUUUUUUUUGCUAUAAAUAGGGUGGAUAUUGGGCUAUAAUUCACAUAACUUUGAAUUCAAUCUAUUUCAAUUCAAUCUCUUGCAAUUCAAUCUCUUUCAAUUCAAGUUUGCAAUAAAUUCCAACUUUGGAUCCUCAUCCAAUUCCAAUUGGGGGUCCUCAUCCAAUUCCAAAUUGGAAGCAAAAUGGGCGCAAAUGAGACAAGAAGAUGAGGAGUCUGAUGAAGAAGUUCAAGUAAGGCGCAACAAACAAAACAUGGCAGCAGCUAUGGCUGCGGCCAUGGUGUGUCAGUCAACUGAGGAACAACCUCAAUGGGGUGGCUCUGUUGCUGGUCACUCUUACAAACCACGAAACAGAGCGAUGGCGCAUGCCAAUUUGAUGAACAAUUACUUCAACCCUAACUCGGUGUACACAGAAGAGGAUUUCAGACGUCGCUUCCGGAUGAGGCGUCAUGUCUUCGAGCGUUUACUUCGUGAUGUCCAGCAAGUCAAUCCAUACUUUCGACAGAAGCGGGAUAGAGCAGGCUGCCCUGGUUUCUCACCUCAUCAGAAGGUUACUGUUGCACUCCGAAUGAUAGCCUAUGGCUCCUUAGCUGAUUUGAUGGAUGAAACCCAUGGUAUGUCUGAGUCUACAUACCUUAAUACUCUUGAAGAAUUUUGUGACACAAUUGUUCAAGUUUACAAAGACAAGUACCUCCGAGAACCAAAUGAAGAAGAUCUGAAUCGGCUUCUUCGCAAAGCUGAAGACCGUGGGUUUCCAGGCAUAAUAGGGUCAUUAGACUGCAUGCAUUGGGAUUGGAAGAACUGUCCCACUGGAUGGCAAGGAGGCUUUAGCGGAAGGUCGAGAAAGCCAACUGUUGUGUUAGAGGCAGUUGCCUCAUAUGACACAUGGAUGUGGCAUGCUUUCUUUGGAGUCCCUGAAUCCCAAAAUGACAUUACAGUUCUUGGGCGUUCACCCCUCUUCAAUAACUUGACGGAAGGUAAAGCACCUCAACUUGACUACUACAUCAACGGCCGUGAAUACAGUAUGGGGUAUUACUUGGCAGAUAACAUCUACCCAAAGUGGGCGACACUUGUCCAAGCAAUUCCAAACCCUAGGAAUGACGCAGAAAAGUUGUUUACCUUACACCAAGAGGCAUACCGGAAAGAUGUUGAGAGAGCUUUCAGUAUUCUACAAGCACGGUGGAAGAUCAUCAGCGAACCGGCAAGAGGGUGGAGUCAAGAAAAUUUGAACUCCAUCAUGAUGUCUUGCAUCAUAUUACACAAUAUGAUAGUGGAGGAUGAGCGAGAUGGGUAUAUUGAUGGAGAGUCCGAUGUCGACCAAGAAGAUCCAAAUAGGUCAAGAAGGGCUCUAGCAAAAAUAUAUGAUGGGCCUAAUUUGUCUUUCAAUCCAAGAACUGAUAGUAUCUCUAUAAAUGAGUACAUGAGGCGAUAUAGAAUGAUACGUUCUCGUGCCACAAAUAAGUACCUACAACAAGAUCUUGUUGCACAUCUUUGGGCCAAAAGAAGCAUGGAGUAGGCUCUUAAGUUUUAUGUUGUUAAAUGUUUUUAAAAAUGUUGCUUAAGUUUCAUGUUGUAUAAUUUGUAUGUUGGUUAAUGUUAUUUAAUGUUGUUUCAUAUUGUUUAAUGUUGUUUCAUGUUACUUAAUUUAAUUUAAUGUUGUAUAAUGGCCUAGGAAGUUAUAGGAAAAAAAUAGAAUUAAAAAAAGAUGUGAAACAAAUUUUGUGAAAUAGAAGUUAUAGGAAAAAAAUGGAAUUUAAAAAAAUAUGAAACAAAUUUUGUAAAAUAGAAGUUAUAUGAAAAAAAAAAGUAUGAAUCAAAUUUUGUAAAAUAGAAGUUCUAGGAAAAAAAAUAGAGUUUAAAAAAAAAUUGAAACAAAUUUUGUGAAAUAGAAGUUAUAGGAAAAAAAUGGAAUUUAAAAAAAAAUAUGAAACAAAUUUUGUAAAAUAGAAGUUAUAGGAAAAAAAAUAGAAUUUUAAAAAAAAUUGAAACAAAUUUUGUAAAAUAGAAUUGAAAAAAUAUAUGAAACAAAAUUUGAUUCAUAUGAAAAGGAAAAAAAAGGGAAAAAAAGAAGUUUAAAUUCAUAUAAAAAAACAAGUUAAUACAAUAGCUACUAGCCGUUAUAUUAAAAAAAAUUCAAACUAUUAGUGUCGGUUAUAACCGACACUAAUAGUAAUUCAAAAAAAAAAAGCCUUUGAAUAAUUAUUACUGUCGGUUAUAACCGACAGUAUUAAAAAAUCCUUCUUUAAUGAUGUCGAUUAUAACCGACAGCAAUGAGAAAACUAUAAAAAAAAAAAAAUAGCCAGCUCGGGGCUGGCUGGCUGACCGAAAGCAACCAGCCCUUUGGCCCUUUGAAAUUCUGUGGGGCCUUCCCAGAUUCCCGAGCCCUCUGGCCUAGCCCUAGGUUGGAGACGGUUUUAGGGCUAUUUUCAGCCCUCUGGCCCUCUGGACCCUUCGGUUAGAGAUGGCCUAACUCACACUCACCACCGCCAUGCUGUGACCUGAUCGUCACACUCAAAAAUUCCUUUGAGCCACUUGGUCAUUUUCUUUUGUUUAUGAAAUUUAGAGAGACAAGCAAAAAUGUCAUAAAUUAUUUGGUGGUUAAGAGUCCCUAAAUGAGCUCCUCACUAAAAUUUAGAGAAACAAGCAAAAAUGUAUGCGUUCCAUUGUGGUUUUAGAAAUCGUAACGCACAAUUUAACACAUGCAUUUUAAAAUUAUUUAGAAAUCAAUUAAAACGACUAAAUCCGCAUGGUAAAAUAAGUCUUUCAGUUCCAUCUAUGUUCUAUUAAAUUUAUAUUAAUAGCUUAUGUACCAUCGCAAUCGCAAAUUUCUAAGUCCUAACUAUUACAAGUUACAUGAUUUUUUAAUAUGGAUUUGAGAAUGUGGUUGUUUAAUUGUCCCUAAGGUGUAGUAGUAGUUGUUAAUUGGAAAACAACAACAAAAAAAACCCCCUAAAAGACCUAAAUUACUGCAGAUUAACAUGAGUACAAAAAAAAGGAAUUUUUUUUUUUAUAUAUAUAUACACACAUGUUGUAAACAUUCCUAGUUUAAGUAUGAUUGUGUAAAUCCUAGAUAAGAUUUGAUUCUAGUUAUCCUUUCCUAUUACAACUUGUAUUACUUGGAGAAGAAGGAAUAUCUUCUCUCCCUUUACUACUAUAAAUAAAGGCACAAUGUAGGAGGGAUAACAACACACACAUUCCCCUACAAUUCUACAAACACACAUCUCUCUCCUCUUUCUCUCUGCCGCCGGCCCUAGUCCAUCUGUCAGAUAAAAUAGACCACAACACGUUAUCAGCACGCUCCUACCGCUGCGCUUAGGAAUCUGACGUUGGAGAUUUUUUCUGCAUCAAACCAGUUCAUCCAUAUCAUCACGCAAUCAGGUUCUUUCCAAACAACGGCUUUUAACUCGAUAUUUUGCAAGCCCUGAUAGCAUGAACAUUCACCAUGAUGCAUGACCCAACUUUACAUUUUACGUAUUUUAGAUUCUACAUAAAUUGUGUAUGCUUCAUAAUCAAAAUUGCUACAAUUAUGUGAAUUUGAUAUUUGCCAUGAAUUGAAUCCUACAUAUGUACAUGCAUUGAAACUAUUAUUUGCAUAUCCAUCAACGUAAAUAUGUGAUUCAUUGAAUUAUAUAUGCAUCUAAUUAAAAAAAAAAAAAAUUAUGGGCUCGCCUGGAAAGGCCCGAAAAAAAAAAAAAAAAAAAAUUUAGGGCUGCACACAGCAGCCCAUUCCCCUCUUCUCACCCCGUGGGCCUGUAAUCCCACCCGAGGGUUCUUGGCUUAUACUUUUAGGCCCCGAGAUUUUAUUAUUUAAUAUUUUUUUAAAUAUGGGUUUUUAUAUUUUCACCCACAUUUUAAUUUGGCCCCGAAGACCAAAAAUAAAUUAAUCAUUAUACAAUAUUUCUGCAUAUAUUAUUUGUUUGCAUAUAUAUUUGUGUUUGCCUGCAGGAAUAUAUGAACCUGAAGUUCAUAAUUACUUUGAAACCCGAAGUUUUCACUUAAAUAUAUCACCCAUGAAAACCCGAAGUUUUUCAUGCAAAAUUAAACCAAUACAUGUCUAUUAGAACCUGUAUGUUCUACUCCUAUGUGAAUGGAUUGAUUUUUCUCCAUUACACUAACCACAUCUUGUUCAUCCAUUUUGUGAUAGGAACAUGUCGAAUUUGAACAAACUCGACUUCACCGCUUUGGAGGUUUCUGGAAGGAACUACCUCAAGUGGGUUCAAGAUGUGAAGCUCCACCUCACUGCAAAGAACUUGCGUCCUGCUAUUGAAGAAGCAACAGAUAAACCUGUUGGCGAGGCUGAAAAAGCCACUGCUAUGAUCUUCAUCCGAAGACAUAUCCAUGACGCUCUGCAAACUGAGUACCUUGCUGAGGAGGAUCCACGUGCAUUAUGGGUCGCUUUGGCUGAUCGUUUCGAUCACCAAAAGGACAUAUUCUUGCCUGAAGCAAGACACGACUGGCAGCACUUGCGCUUCCAAGACUUUAAGUCUGUGAAUGAAUAUAAUUCUGAAGUUUGUCGAAUCCGAUCACUUCUCAAGUUUUGCAAUGAAACUUUGACUGAAGAGGAUCUCCUGGAGAAGACCUACUCGACCUUCUCUGCUUCUAAUAUUGUCCUGCAGCAACAAUAUAGAGCUCAGAUGUUCACUAAGUUCUCGGAUUUGAUCUCUGUUUUACUUCUUGCUGAAAAGCAGAACCAGCUGUUGAUGAAGAAUCAUCAAGCUCGACCUACUGGGGCUACUGUUGUGCCUGAAGCACAUUAUAGCACUAAUCAGCACCCAAAACGCCAAAAGAGGCGUGGUAAGGGCGGCCAGAAGCCAUCCCACCAAGGUCAACAGAGCCAAGGCCCAUCCAAGGGAGGAAACAAAGCCCAGAAGCGCCCAAACCUCGCUCCCAAGGCCCCGAACUUCAAGAAUAAGGGCAAAGCACCUACCACAAUGAAUGACGAUAUGUGCUAUCGUUGUGGUUCCAAGGACCAUUGGUCCCGUAUUUUCCGUGCUCCCAAGAAGGUUGUGGAUGCAUAUCAUUCUCGUCGUACGAAGUUUGAAUCAAACUUCCUGCAAGUGGACGAACCGGAGACUACAAAGAUGGAGGUUUCUGAUUUUCAGGAGGAUACCACUCCUAUGGAAGAUUAGAAUCUUAGACAUAGACUUAUUUUUCAGUUAAAAUAAGACAAUUGGGGCCGAAUUCCACCUUGUGGCCGAACCCCACCUUGUUUUUUUUGGUUGAUUUUGAACAAUUUUCCUUUAUGUUUUGGAUUACUAGUUGGCGAUUUAUUUUGGAUAUUAAGUUUUUAAUCCUUGAAAAAAUGAAAUUAUUUUGAAUUGAUACUUGUUUUUAUAAACUUUUAUGCAUGUGACCGAUUCAAAUUAAUUUUUCAUUCUAGGUAUGACUAGUGGGAAAGUUAGUUGUCUGGCAGAUAGUGCAACCACGCAUACUGUUUUGCGUGAACGCAUCUAUUUCACUAACUUCGUACCUAAAAAUGCACCUCUGACAACCCUCUCAGGCCCAUCCAACCUGAUCGAAGGAUACGGUAAGGCACGUAUAAUGUUGUCCAAUGGUACAAUCUUGACCAUUGCUGAGGCACUCUAUUCUCCACGUUCCGGAAGAACGUUACUAAGUUUCAAGGACAUUAGAGAUAACAAUUACCACGCUGAAACCCACGUAGAAAACGCAGUUGAAUUUCUGUGCGUAACUUCCUACGAAUAUGGCCAGAAGCGUAUUCUAGAGAAGAUGGAGCGUAACCCGAGUGGUCUGUAUACUACGACCAUACGCCCCAUAGAAUGCCACUAUGUGGCCGGCCCUACCAUAGGGACCGCGCACGAAAUUACACUUUGGCAUGAUCGUUUGGGACAUCCUGGACGAAUAGCGAUGCGCCGUAUCCUCAAAACUUCACACGGGCAUCCACUAACCCGAAGCUUAGGUUCGAUCCAUGAAAUUGCAUGCCAAACAUGUUCUAUGGGAAAGCUUAUUACUAAGCCUUCUUAUGACAAGAUUCGUUCGAAUCCUCCAAUUUUUCUACAACGGAUUCAGGGGGACAUUUGUGGACCGAUUCAACCUCCUUGCGGACCAUUUAGAUAUUUUAUGGUUUUGGUUGACGCUUCUACACGUUGGUCACACGUGUGCUUGUUGUCCACAAGGAACGCUGCAUUCUCCAAACUGUUGGCUCAGGUUAUCAAGCUCAGGGCUCACCACCCUGAUUAUCCGAUCAAAUCUAUUCGAUUGGAUAAUGCUGGAGAAUUCACAUCUAAAACUUUUGAUGACUAUUGCAUGUCGGUUGGGGUUGAAGUUGAACAUCCUGUACCCCAUGUUCACACCCAGAACGGCCUGGCAGAGGCUUUCAUUAAGCGUUUACAAAUGAUUGCUCGAUCGUUGGUCAUACGUACCAAGCUCCCGAUCGCUGCUUGGGGCCAUGCAAUAUUGCACGCAGCAAAGUUGGUCCGCCUGAGGCCUGUUGCGACACAAACCAUUUAGUGCCCUUCAGUUGGUCACCGGAUGCGAACCCGACAUAUCGCAUCUGCGCGUUUUUGGUUGUGCGGUCUAUGUGCCGAUCUCGCCGCCCUUACGUACAAAAAUGGGGCCUCAGCGAAGGAUGGGAAUCUAUGUCGGAUAUGAUUCUCCUUUGAUUAUUCGUUACUUAGAACCUUUGACAGGCGAUCUGUUUACCGCUCGUUUCGCGGAUUGUCACUUCUAUGAGACAGUCUUCCCGUCGUUAGGGGGAGAUAAGAACGUCAACGUUCCUAAUGAACGACGCGAAUUAUCGUGGACGACUCCCACUUUGUCUCAUUUAGAUCCCCGCACCGCUUAGUCUAAAGCUGAAAUGCAGCGCAUAUUAGAUCUCCAGAGCAUAGCUCAAAGCAUGCCAGAUGCUUUCACCGAUCUAGCGCGCGUGACAAGAUCACAUAUUCCAGCUGCGAAUACGCCUGCAAAGAUGGAUGUACCAAAUGUACGACGGACUACCCUCCUGGAAGCCCGGGACGCCAAUUCUGGUGAUCCACGUACAUUAGCGGCUAGCCAAUCAUCUGCCCCUACACAAAAGCGUGGCAGACCUCUUGGUUCAAAGGAUUCACACCCCCGGAAGAGGAAAACCACGGCACAAGGUCCUGAAGAGCCUACCGUGAAUCCGACUAUCGCUUACUCAUUUUACCCAACUCAUGAGGAAAUUCUAGAUUAUGGAAGCGUCCUUGAAGAGACGAAUCCUCCUCCCGAGAAUCGUGAGAUUUCGGUCUAUUAUGCUAGCUUAGAUGAUGUGUGGCGUAGAAAUGAGAUGAUUGUCGACGAUGCAUUAGCAUUUGCAGUAGCUACUGAGAUCAUGUUGAGCGAUGACAUUGAACCGCGUUCCGUUGAUGAAUGUCGACGUAGAGCUGAUUGGUCAAACUGGAAACAAGCAAUCCAAGUCGAACUUGAUUCACUUGCGAAACGUAAGGUGUUUGGACCUGUAGUUCCUACUCCUCCACAUGUGAAGCCCGUUGGCUACAAGUGGGUUUUCGUUCGGAAGCGUAAUGAGAAGAACGAAAUUGUGCGUUACAAAGCUCGUCUUGUAGCACAAGGUUUCUCACAACGCCCCGGGAUUGACUAUGACGAAACUUACUCACCCGUUAUGGAUGUGAUUACUUUUCGAUACCUUAUCAGUUUGGUAGUUUCCGAAAAACUGGAUAUGCAGCUGAUGGACGUAGUAACCGCGUAUCUCUAUGGGGAUCUUGAUACGGAAAUUUAUAUGAAAGUUCCCGAAGGACUUACAUUGACUAGUUCAAAUAUUUCCAAACCCCGGAACACGCUCUCAAUUCGGCUGAGGCGUUCACUAUACGGUUUGAAACAAUCCGGAAGAAUGUGGUAUAACCGUUUAAGUGAGUAUUUGACUAGUCAGGGAUAUGUGAAUAACGAACUAUGCCCUUGUGUGUUCAUUAAGAAGUCACAUUCCGGAUUUGCGAUUGUUGCAGUAUAUGUCGAUGACAUGAAUCUCAUCGGAACUCCUGAAGAGCUCGCGAGAACUGCUUCGCACCUGAAGUCGGAAUUUGAGAUGAAAGAUCUAGGUAAGACUCGAUACUGUCUCGGCCUCGAGAUAGAGCAUUGUUCGGAUGGAAUCCUAGUACAUCAAUCGAACUACACCAGAAGGUGUUGCGCCGUUUUAAUGAGGAUAAAGCGAAGUCUUCGAGUACUCCUAUGGUCGUUCGUACGCUAGAUGCAAAGCGAGAUCCCUUCCGUCCGAAGGAGGAUGAUGAAGAGAUUUUGGAGCCUGAAGUUCCUUAUCUAAGUGCGAUAGGCGCUUUAUUGUACUUAGCUCAAUGCACUAGACCCGACAUCUCCUUCGCUGUUAAUCUUUUGGCAAGAUUCAGCAAUGCACCAACACGCAGACAUUGGACUGGCGUGAAAGACAUCUUCCGUUACCUUAGGGGUACUACGGAUUUGGGCUUAUUCUAUCCCUACGAAUCCUCGAGUGAUGCCGCACCCUAUGCUCAUCGGGUUGAUUCUCGCCUUGUUGGUUAUGCUGACGCUGGAUACUUAUCUGAUCCGCACAAGGCGCGUUCUCAAACGGGUUAUGUCUUUACCGUUGGAGGCACCGCAAUAUCUUAGAGGUCAACUAAACAGACCUUAGUUGCCACUUCGUCUAACCAUGCUGAAAUUCUCGCCUUACAUGAAGCAACUCGGGAAUGCUUUUGGUUGAGAGCAGUAGUGGGCCAUAUUCGAAGCUCCUGUGAUCUUCAUCCCGCCGUUAUUGCCCCGACGACGAUUUUUGAAGACAACGCAGCUUGCAUCGAACAGCUCAAGAAGGGUUAUAUCAAAGGAGACAACACCAAGCAUAUUGCGCCGAAGUUCUUCUUUACACAUCAACAACAAGAGCAUCAGAAGAUUGAAGUCACGCAAAUCCGAUCACAAGACAAUCUGGCCGACCUCUUCACCAAAUCACUACCGAUGGCGACGUUUCAGAAGCUUGUUCAUGGAAUUGGUAUGCGUAAACUUUCUGAGUUGUAACUUUGCUAUUUCUCUUUGGAAUUAUGUCAAACUCAGGGGGAGUAUCUUCUGGAUACUUGCUUGAUCUUAAUGUACUCUUUUUCCCUACGAUUAGGAGCAUUUUUCCCACUGGGUUUUUGCUACCUAACUAGGUUUUAACGAGGCACCCACCUUGGGCUGGUCAUAUCCCUGAUGACGUCCUGUAGACGUUUCUUUUGACUUUGCAUUUCUCACGCAUUUUUCCUUAGACUAUGGAUUUUGUCCCUACUUGGGUUUUUGCCAUAGCCUUAGGGUUUUUAGUGAGACUUACUACUUAUGCAAGUUCCUACCUUAUUGAGAAUAAGCGUUGUUCCUUGGAAUCAGUGCCAACGAGUCGACUUCCUCAACUUCUGCAUGAUGGUGAAUCUACCUUGAGUAUUUACACACUCAAGGGGGAGUGUUGUAAACAUUUCUAGUUUAAGUAUGAUUGUGUAAAUCCUAGAUAAGAUUUGAUUCUAGUUAUCCUUUCCUAUUACAACUUGUAUUACUUGGAGAAGAAGGAAUAUCUUCUCUCCCUUUACUACUAUAAAUAAAGGCACAAUGUAGGAGGGAUAACAACACACACAUUCCCCUACAAUUCUACAAACACACAUCUCUCUCCUCUCUCUCUCUGACGCCGGCCCUAGUCCAUCUGUCAGAUAAAAUAGACCACAACAACACACACAUAAUUUGAUCAGACGAGAGCCCAACCUUCAUAAAUCUAUCAAACACAUGGUGCUAUAUACCGAUUGCUAUUGGUGGAAAUCGAUAUAUCUAGAUUUAGAAUGGAUACACUGAAAUAGAAUUGAAGCUUCAACUCAAUGAGCAAAAUUGAGAUAUGGUAAUCAAAUUUUUUAAGUUCAAAUUCCUCCCGAGGUGCCAGCAUAACUAAGAAGCUACUUUUUCACAAAUAAAGUAUUCUUCAGCACAAUCUGCAGGGUAAUACAGUUUUCCAUACCAUAUGCUAAUUUCCUUAAUGUAAAAAAAAAUUAUAAGAAUAUUAAGUAACAUAAACCUAAUCUCUACCAAAGAUUAUAAGAAUAUUUGAAUAAAAUAAAACUAAAUUAUAGCUACAUUGAAGUAUACAGUGAAAAUGCAUAGGACAUAGACAGACUAAAACACCCAUGUUCCCACCUCGAGGUUAACGAUUCUUUGUUCAAGUAGAGAAACAAUCAAAACAAACUACUCUGCAGCAAGAUGCUACGUUAGUAAGCAUAAUGCACUCGAGAUAAAAUCUAGAGUUUUGAUUGGCAUUUCAGAAAACUAAGUCGUAGUAUUGUUAUUCGAAAGAGUAAUGUAUACCAUGUUUUUAUACCACAUUUCUAUACUAUCUUAAGUGGCAUCUGAUGUGGACAGAUACAUCAUUUGAAAAAUUUGCAAAACCUAAAGAAAAGAAGGAGAAAGACUCCUUGUAUACCACAAUCAUCAUUUAAUUAACGAGCUUUUCUUAAUUAUUAGUUUAUUAAAUAAUGAACUAAAUUUAAAAAUCUGAUUAUUUCAAAUGAUAUGGUUGUUCACAUCAAAUGUCAUCUAAGGUGAUAUGAAAAUGUGGUACAAAAUCCUGGUAUGAAUAACAUUACUCUAUUCGAAAACCACCCCAGUGUUAUUCAAAAACUAUGUCCUAAUACUGUUGAAACAAUGAAAUUUAUACAAUUUCACUUUCCAACCAUGCUACUCCAAAUGCUACACAAAAAUGAACCAUCUCAAUCAUCAAUUACACCAACAAUUUCAUGACUUCCCAUUCUUUUUUUGCUAUUCAAUUUCAGUAUACUCUUAUUUCAUCUUAGCUUUGUAAUCGUAAGAGAGUUGUACACAUUCUUACACAGAACAAAAAAAAAGAACAAUUUGCGGAGCUAAAUUCAAGUCGUAGAAAAAAAAAAACAAUUUAUUCACGUAUCAAAAUAAAAAAUAUAAUUCAAAAGACAUAUUUUGGAAAAGUGGUGGAAUCGAUCGAAGAAUUUAAAUAGUCGUAUAUUUCUUCUUAAGUUUAGUCGGAAACUGUAGAGUAAUUGAAAUGUACUAGAAAAAAAAUCAAUAACCCAAAUAAUCAUCAAUCAAACACGCUACAAAACCCAAAAUUACCCAAUUGAAAUAACGACACCAAUUGAACUAUAACUCAGCCAAAUCCCACCACACUCCCUUUACUCCUGAAAAGGGCUGCAGGACAAAUCUAACUGCUUUAUACAAUUAUAUCAGCUCAGACCCUAAAUAUUUAUUUCUUCCAAUGAGAUAUAAAUAAUUUGGAUGCAAAAAACUGGGUAACCAAUUGAAGAUGGGCCUACCUACAAUACAUCGGAGUUCUCGGGCAUUUAGAGCUGUUAGAUCCAAUCUGGUUGAGUGUAAUGGCUCUAAGUGCCCAAAUAUGCAAUACUCCAGUGUACUGUAGAAGAAUUCCAAAAAUGAACGAAAAGAAAGAAAGAAAGAAGUGUUGUAAACAUUCCUAGUUUAAGUAUGAUUGUGUAAAUCCUAAAUAAGAUUUGAUUCUAGUUAUCCUUUCCUAUUACAACUUGUAUUACUUGGAGAAGAAGGAAUAUCUUCUCUCCCUUUACUACUAUAAAUAAAGGCACAAUGUAGGAGGGAUAACAACACACACAUUCCCCUACAAUUCUACAAACACACAUCUCUCUCCUCUCUCUCUCUGCCGCCGGCCCUAGUCCAUCUGUCAGAUAAAAUAGACCACAACACGUUAUCAGCACGCUCCUACCGCUGCGCUUAGGAAUCUGACGUUGGAGAUUUUUUCUGCAUCAAACCAGUUCAUCCAUAUCAUCACGCAAUUAGGUUCUUUCCAAACAACGGCUUUUAACUCGAUAUUUUGCAAGCCCUGAUAGCAUGAACAUUCACCAUGAUGCAUGACCCAACUUUACGUUUAACGUAUUUUAGAUUCUACAUAAAUUGUGUAUGCUUCAUCAUCAAAAUUGCUACAAUUAUGUGAAUUUGAUAUUUGUCAUGAAUUGAAUCUUACAUAUGUACAUGCAUUGAAACUAUUAUUUGCAUAUGCAUCAACGUAAAUAUGUGAUUCAUUAAAAUUAUACAUGCAUAUAAUAUAAUUGAAUUGAGAAAAAAAACAAAAACACAAAACAUUUUUUUGCGAUUGGGAUAUGAGUUCUUUUGAACCCGUGACCACCAUCCUGCAGAUGGGGUAUCACACGCAAAUCAGAGAGCAUUCAGCUCUCCUUGUUCCCAGAAACCCACGGAGCCAAGCCCCAAAAAAACCCAAAAUCCCGACACCCUUCAUGGUGUCCCCCGAUCAUGGAGUGGCCUACAGCCACAACCACGAACCUAUUGGUUCUUGCUAUAAACGACCUGCAGUCGUCCCAUGUCGGUAAUUGAACCGAGAUUCACCGGAAUCUCGUCGGAAUUUUUUUUUUGAAAAAUUCGAUUUCAAUUUUUUUUAGGGUUUUAUAGUUGUUGAAACGUUGAGAUUUUCUUAUCUCCGUGAUUGUCCACGACAACCAUGACUCACCCCAAGUCCCAACAACCCCGACGCCGUCAAAAUUUUCCGGCUUUCUUCUUCGGCAUUGCACACCCAGCACGGCUGGGAUUUCUUUUGGGUCUCUUUCCCGAGCCCUACUCGGGCUUUGUCUCUCGGCCCGUGUAACAAAAUAAAAAAAUUAAAAAAAAAAACACAAUUUUUUUUGCUGGGCUCGCUUGCAGCGGCCCAGCCCACAAAGAAAACAAUUUGUUUUUUUAUUUUCCUGGGCUCGCCUGCAGCGGCCCAUACCGAAAAAAAAGAGAAAUUUUUUUUUAGGGCUGCACACAGCAGCCCAUUCCUUUCUCACCCCGUGGGCCUGCAGCCUACACCCGGGGGUACUCGGCCUAUAUUUUUAGGCCCCGAGAUUUUAUUAUUUAAUUUUUUUUAAAAUAAUAUGGGUUUUUAUAUUUUCACCCACAUUUUAAUUUGGCCCCGAAGACCAAAAAUAAAUUAAUUCACUUAUCAUUAUACAAUAUUUCUGCAUAAAUUCUUUGCAUAUUUGUUUGCAUAUAUAUUUGUGUUUGCCUGCAGGAAUAUAUGAACCUGAAGUUCAUAAUUACUUUGAAACCCGAAGUUUCUUAUACACAUGCCUUGUUUGAAAACCCGAAGUUUUCACUUAAAUAUAUCACCCAUGAAAACCCGAAGUUUUUCAUGCAAAAUUAAACCAAUACAUGUCUAUUAGAACCUGUAUGUUCUACUCCUAUGUGAAUGGAUUGAUUUUUCUCCAUUACACUAACCACAUCUUGUUCAUCCAUUUUGUGAUAGGAACAUGUCGAAUUUGAACAAACUCGACUUCACCGCUUUGGAGGUUUCUGGAAGGAACUACCUCAAGUGGGUUCAAGAUGUGAAGCUCCACCUCACUGCAAAGAACUUACGUCCUGCUAUUGAAGAAGCAACAGAUAAACCUGUUGGCGAGGUGAAAAAGCCACUGCUAUGAUCUUCAUCCGAAGACAUAUCCAUGACGCUCUACAAACUGAGUACCUUGCUGAGGAGGAUCCACGUGCAUUAUGGGUCGCUUUGGCUGAUCGUUUCGAUCACCAAAAGGACAUAUUCUUGCCUGAAGCAAGACACGACUGGCAGCACUUGCGCUUCCAAGACUUUAAGUCUGUGAAUGAAUAUAAUUCUGAAGUUUGUCGAAUCCGAUCACUUCUCAAGUUUUGUAAUGAAACUUUGACUGAAGAGGAUCUCCUGGAGAAGACCUACUCGACAUUCUCUGCUUCUAAUAUUGUCCUGCAGCAACAAUAUAGAGCUCAGAAGUUCACUAAGUUCUCGGAUUUGAUCUCUGUUUUACUUCUUGCUGAAAAGCAGAACCAGCUGUUGAUGAAGAAUCAUCAAGCUCGACCUACUGGGGCUACUGCUGUGCCUGAAGCACAUUAUAGCACUAAUCAGCACCCAAAACGCCAAAAGAUGCGUGGUAAGGGCGGCCAGAAGCCAUCCCACCAAGGUCAACAGAGCCAAGGCCCAUCCAAGGGAGGAAACAAAGCCCAAAAGCGCCCAAACCUCGCUCCCAAGGCCCCGAACUUCAAGAAUAAGGGCAAAGCACCUGCCACAAUGAAUGACGAUAUGUGCUAUCGUUGUGGUUCCAAGGACCAUUGGUCCCGUAUUUGCCGUGCUCCCAAGAAGGUUGUGGAUGCAUAUCAUUCUCGUCGUACGAAGUUUGAAUCAAACUUCCUGCAAGUGGACGAACCGGAGACUACAAAGAUGGAGGUUUUCUGAUUUUCAGGAGGAUACCACUCCUAUGGAAGAUUAGAAUCUUAGACAUAGACUUAUUUUUCAGUUAAAAUAAGACAAUUGGGGCCGAAUUCCACCUAGUGGCCGAACCCCACCUUGUUUUUUGGUUGAUUUUGAACAAUUUUCCUUUAUGUUUUGGAUUAUUAGUUGGCGAUUUAUUUUGGAUAUUAAUUUUUUUCCUUGAAUAAAUGAAAUUAUUUUGAAUUGAUACUUGUUUUUAUAAACUUUUAUGCAUGUGACCGAUUCAAAUUAAUUUUUCAUUCUAGGUAUGACUAGUGGGAAAGUUAGUUGUCUGGCAGAUAGUGCAACCACGCAUACUGUUUUGCGUGAACGCAUCUAUUUCACUAACUUCGUACCUAAGAAUGCACCUCUGACAACCCUCUCAGGCCCAUCCAACCUGAUCGAAGGAUACGGUAAGGCACGUAUAAUGUUGUCCAAUGGUACAAUCUUGACCAUUGCCGAGGCACUCUAUUCUCCACGUUCCGGAAGAACGUUACUAAGUUUCAAGGACAUUAGAGAUAACAAUUACCACGCUGAAACCCACGUAGAAAACGGUGUUGAAUUUCUGUGCGUAACUUCCUACGAAUAUGGCCAGAAGCGUAUUCUAGAGAAGAUGGAGCGUAACCCGAGUGGUCUGUAUACUACGACCAUACGCCCCAUAGAAUGCCACUAUGUGGCCGGCCCUACCACAGGGACCGCGCACGAAAUUACACUUUGGCAUGAUCGUUUGGGACAUCCUGGACGAAUAGCGAUGCGCCGUAUCCUCAAAACUUCACACGGGCAUCCACUAACCCGAAGCUUAGGUUCGAUCCAUGAAAUUGCAUGCCAAACAUGUUCUAUGGGAAAGCUUAUUACUAAGCCUUCUUAUGACAAGAUUCGUUCGAAUCCUCCCAUUUUUCUACAACGGAUUCAGGGGGACAUUUGUGGACCGAUUCAACCUCCCUGCGGACCAUUUAGAUAUUUUAUGGUUUUGGUUGACGCUUCUACACGUUGGUCACACGUGUGCUUGUUGUCCACAAGGAACGCUGCAUUCUCCAAACUGUUGGCUCAGGUUAUCAAGCUCAGGGCUCACCACCCUGAUUAUCCGAUCAAAUCUAUUCGAUUGGAUAAUGCUGGAGAAUUCACAUCUAAAACUUUUGAUGACUAUUGCAUGUCGGUUGGGGUUGAAGUUGAACAUCCUGUACCCCAUGUUCACACCCAGAACGGCCUGGCAGAGGCUUUCAUUAAGCGUUUACAAAUGAUUGCUCGAUCGUUGGUCAUACGUACCAAGCUCCCGAUCGCUGCUUGGGGCCAUGCAAUAUUGCACUCAGCAAAGUUGGUCCGCCUGAGGCCUGUUGCGACAUAACCAUUUAGUGCCCUUCAGUUGGUCACCGGAUGCGAACCCGACAUAUCGCAUCUGCGCGUUUUUGGUUGUGCGGUCUAUGUGCCGAUCUCGCCGACCUUACGUACAAAAAUGGGGCCUCAGCGAAGGAUGGGAAUCUAUGUCGGAUAUGAUUCUCCUUCGAUUAUUCGUUACUUAGAACCUUUGACAGGCGAUCUGUUUACCGCUCGUUUCGCGGAUUGUCACUUCUAUGAGACAGUCUUCCCGUCGUUAGGGGGAGAUAAGAACGUCAACGUUCCUAAUGAACGACGCGAAUUAUCGUGGACGACUCCCACUUUGUCUCAUUUAGAUCCCCGCACCGCUCAGUCUGAAGCUGAAAUGCAGCGCAUAUUAGAUCUCCAGAGCAUAGCUCAGAGCAUGCCAGAUGCUUUCACCGAUCUAGCGCGCGUGACAAGAUCACAUAUUCCAGCUGCGAAUACGCCUGCAAAGAUGGAUGUACCAAAUGUACGACGGACUACCCUCCUGGAAGCCCGGGACGCCAAUUCUGGUGAUCCACGUACAUUAGCGGCUAGCCAAUCAUCUGCCCCUACACAAAAGCGUGGCAGACCCCUUGGUUUAAAGGAUUCACACCCCCGGAAGAGGAAAACCACGGCACAAGGUCCUGAAGAGCCUACCGUGAAUCCGACUAUCGCUUACUCAUUUUACCCAACUCAUGAGGAAAUUCUAGAUUAUGGAAGCGUCCUUGAAGAGACGAAUCCUCCUCCCGAGAAUCGUGAGAUUUCGGUCUAUUAUGCUAGCUUAGAUGAUGUGUGGCGUAGAAAUGAGAUGAUUGUCGACGAUGCAUUAGCAUUUGCAGUAGCUACUGAGAUCAUGUUGAGCGAUGACAUUGAACCGCGUUCCGUUGAUGAAUGUCGACGUAGAGCUGAUUGGUCAAACUGGAAACAAGCAAUCCAAGUCGAACUUGAUUCACUUGAGAAACGUAAGGUGUUUGGACCUGUAGUUCCUACUCCUCCACAUGUGAAGCCCAUUGGCUACAAGUGGGUUUUCGUUCGGAAGCGUAAUGAGAAGAACGAAAUUGUGCGUUACAAAGCUCGUCUUGUAGCACAAGGUUUCUCACAACGCCCCGGGAUUGACUAUGACGAAACUUACUCACCCGUUAUGGAUGUGAUUACUUUUCGAUACCUUAUCAGUUUGGUAGUUUCCGAAAAACUGGAUAUGCAGCUGAUGGACGUAGUAACCGCGUAUCUCUAUGGGGAUCUUGAUACGGAAAUUUAUAUGAAAGUUCCCGAAGGACUUACAUUGACUGGUUCAAAUAUUUCCAAACCCCGGAACACGCUCUCAAUUCGGCUGAGGCGUUCACUAUACGGUUUGAAACAAUCCAGAAGAAUGUGGUAUAACCGUUUAAGUGAGUAUUUGACUAGUCAGGGAUAUGUGAAUAACGAACUAUGCCCUUGUGUGUUCAUUAAGAAGUCACAUUCCGGAUUUGCGAUUGUUGCAGUAUAUGUCGAUGACAUGAAUCUCAUCGGAACUCCUGAAAAGCUCGCGAGAACUGCUUCGCACCUGAAGUCGGAAUUUGAGAUGAAAGAUCUAGGUAAGACUCGAUACUGUCUCGGUCUCGAGAUAGAGCAUUGUUCGGAUGGAAUCCUAGUACAUCAAUCGAACUACACCCAGAAGGUGUUGCGCCGUUUUAAUGAGGAUAAAGCGAAGUCUUCGAGUACUCCUAUGGUCGUUCGUACGCUAGAUGCAAAGCGAGAUCCCUUCCGUCCGAAGGAGGAUGAUGAAGAGAUUUUGGAGCUUGGAGUUCCUUAUCUAAGUGCGAUAGGCGCUUUAUUGUACUUAGCUCAAUGCACUAGACCCGACAUCUCCUUCGCUGUUAAUCUUUUGGCAAGAUACAGCAAUGCACCGACACGCAGACAUUGGACUGGCGUGAAAGACAUCUUCCGUUACCUUAAGGGUACUACGGAUUUGGGCUUAUUCUAUCCCUACGAAUCCUCGAGUGAUGCCGCACCCUAUGCUCAUCGGGUUGAUUCUCGCCUUGUUGGUUAUGCCGACGCUGGAUACUUAUCUGAUCCGCACAAGGCGCGUUCUCAAACGGGUUAUGUCUUUACCGUUGGAGGCACCGCAAUAUCUUGGAGGUCAACUAAACAGACCUUAGUUGCCACUUCGUCUAACCAUGCUGAAAUUCUCGCCUUACAUGAAGCAACUCGGGAAUGCUUUUGGUUGAGAGCAGUAGUGGGCCAUAUUCGAAGCUCCUGUGAUCUUCAUCCCGCCGUUAAUACCCCGACGACGAUUUUUGAAGACAACGCAGCUUGCAUCGAACAGCUCAAGAAGGGUUACAUCAAAGGAGACAACACCAAGCAUAUUGCGCCGAAGUUCUUCUUUACAUAUCAACUACAAGAGCAUCAGAAGAUUGAAGUCACGCAAAUCCGAUCACAAGACAAUCUGGCCGACCUCUUCACCAAAUCACUACCGAAGGCGACGUUUCAGAAGCUUGUUCAUGGAAUUGGUAUGCGUAAACUUUCUGAGUUGUAACUUUGCUAUUUCUCUUUGGAAUUAUGUCAAACUCAGGGGGAGUAUCUUCUGGAUACUUGCUUGAUCUUAAUGUACUCUUUUUCCCUACGAUUAGGAGCAUUUUUCCCACUGGGUUUUUGCUACCUAACUAGGUUUUAACGAGGCACCCACCUUGGGCUGGUCAUAUCCCUGAUGACGUCCUGUAGACGUUUCUUUUGACUUUGCAUUUCUCACGCAUUUUUCCUUAGACUAUGGAUUUUGUCCCUACUUGGGUUUUUGCCAUAGCCUUAGGGUUUUUAGUGAGACUUACUACUUAUGCAAGUUCCUACCUUAUUGAGAAUAAGCGUUGUUCCUUGGAAUCAAUGCCGACGAGUCGACUUCCUCAACUUCUGCAUGAUGCUGAAUCUACCUUGAGUAUUUACACACUCAAGGGGGAGUGUUGUAAACAUUUCUAGUUUAAGUAUGAUUGUGUAAAUCCUAGAUAAGAUUUGAUUCUAGUUAUCCUUUCCUAUUACAACUUGUAUUACUUGGAGAAGAAGGAAUAUCUUCUCUCCCUUUACUACUAUAAAUAAAGGCACAAUGUAGGAGGGAUAACAACACACACAUUCCCCUACAAUUCUACAAACACACAUCUCUCUCCUCUCUCUCUCUGCCGCCGGCCCUAGUCCAUCUGUCAGAUAAAAUAGACCACAACAAGAAGAGCUUUAUAAACCCUUUCUUUAAUCAUGCGAGCUUAGCAAAAUAUUUUUUAUUAUAACUUUAUUUUCUUUCAAGUAUUUUUAUAUUUCUUUGUGUUGCUCACAAUUGAUAUAAUGUGGAAAGUGUGGUGAUAGCUUCGUAUCUCUUUAGUACGAAUUGUCUCAAGUCUCUUUCUCUGUGUAAGUCCAAUGAUUUUGGUUUUGUUUUUACAAUUUGUAUAAAAACUUUCAAUCAUGUAACUACAAAACAAUUAACUUAAAGUCCCUCAAACCCAAAAAAUAAUUAACUUCAAGGAGAAACAAAUGGAAUUAGUAAAAAGCAAAGACAUCGUUUAUUCACAAUUCAUCUAUUCAAUUCUAAAAUUAGCUUAUAUUCCUCUAAUGUUGCACACAAAGCAAACUAAAAGGUCAUGGAAUGUUUAAAAUAGCUAGCAAUGUCUUAUGCUAGCAACAUACAAAACUAACCCUUCGUCCUACAUGUGCUCAAAAAAUGUAGUCUUAUUCUCUUCGAAAGCCACAUUGACGGUUUCUCAUAUUUAUUACUAUAGCCAACUUUAGAGUAUAGUAAUUUGAAAAUUUCCAUCUCUAAUCAGACUUUCAUUCCUAAUACAAGUAAGCAUACUAGAGCCAAGUCACAUGUACAUGCCUAACAAAAGUUUAGUCCAUUUUUACCACAAAAAAAUGAAAUAAAAUAACCAAUAAUAUUCUUGUUUGACGAUAUGACGAAUUUACUCUUACUAGAGACACCAAUUUGUUUUUUUUUUCUUUUAGGUAAAUCAAGACAUCAACUUAUUAGUUUUUGCAUCAAUUUUUUAGAUCCCAAAUUUCGUGGCAAUGUUUCAACACGUUUUCUGUUCACAUUUUACAACAAAUAAGAAUUUGCAUUGUGACUUGGUUAACAAUAACUGGUGUCUCUUGCACUAUUAUUAUGUUUAUCAUUUCUUACAUACAUCUAAUAUUGGACCUGUAAUCUGAUUGGCAUCUCAAUGUAAAAUCAGAUGUGUUUGGUAGCUGGAGAAUAUAUUCUCAAUUUGCAUUCCAAUUUGUAGAUAAUAACUCUUCUUCAUGCAUUCACUGCAACAGAUAGACUCCAUUCAAUAGCUGCAAUGAGCACCGAGCAGCAGAAUGCUUCUUCGUCUUCUUACCGGUGCACAUAUGAUGCAUUCUUGAGUUUCAGAGGCGCAGAUACACGCAAGGGCUUUACAGAUCACCUCUACAGUGCUUUGGAGUUGGCAGGAAUCCACACUUUUAGAGAUGAUGAUGAAACUGAGAGAGGAGCAAACAUUGAACAGGAGCUACAGACAGCGAUACAAGAGUCACGAGUAUCAGUCAUAGUUUUCUCCAAGGACUACGCCUCUUCCAGGUGGUGCCUGAAUGAACUUGCUAUCAUCAUGGAACGUAAAAGAACAGAUGGACACAUGGUUAUCCCGGUUUUCUAUGAUGUGGAACCAUCAGAUGUCAGGAAGCAGACGGGCAGUUUUGCAUAAUCAUUUACUAGACAUGAAGAGCGCUUCAAGGACGAGAUAGACAAGGUGGAGGAGUGGAGACGAGCUCUAGAAAUGUUGCAGACCUGGGAGGGAUGGUUUUAGGAGAACUGUAAUUUUUCAUUCCCUCCUAUAUUCAGUCAAGUAAAUCAGAUGCUAGUCUCAAGCUUGUGAAAGUUUUAGCUUUUCUUUAAAAAAUAAAAAUAAAAAAUAAAUAACUUGCUCAUGUUUUUUCUUUUGGUCUGAAAAGAAAGAACUUACUGUGCCUCAUAUUUUUUGAUAUCAAUAACAUAUAGGUACGAGUCACAGUCAAGGAUUUAAAUAUCGAUAUUAUCGGCGAUAUUUCGCCGAUAAUAUCGUUUUUUACAGAGACCGAUUUUUUUACACAUAUCCAGUCAUUUAUCGUCAAAAUAUCGCGAUAUUAUCGAUAAUAUCGCGAUAUUAUCGAUAUUACCGAUAAUAUCGCCGAGCUCCGUCGUCAGCGACCGGAGCUGCUAAGAUCUACGCGAUUUGGGGGGGGGAAAGAGUCGGGAAGAGGAGUCGCGGAGAAGAGGAGUCGCGGGGGCGCGAGAGUAGCGGAGAAGAGGAGUCGUGAGGGGGGGAAGGAAGAACGGUUGCGCAGCUGGGUGGUGGAUUUGAGCGGUGGGGGGGAAGAACAGUUGCGCAGCUGGGUGGUGGAUUUGAGCAGUUUGAAGAAAGUUUCUGCGGAGGGGCUGUGGGAAGCGGUUUGAAGAAAGUUUUUGUGAAGGGGUUGUGGGAAGAAGAGUCGCAGAGAAGAGGGGUCUGGGAAUCUGCAGAGAGGGGGGACGGUGGGCUUUGGGAAUCUGGAGAGAAUGGUUCGGGGGGGUGGCUGGGAAGAACAGUUGCGGAAGGGAGUUGUUUAUGUGGAUUUGAGUGGUUUGAAGAAAUUUUCUGUGGGUUUGAGUGGUUCGAAGAAAAAGGAAGGAGAGGACUGCAGGAGCUGCAGAGAAGAGAUGUGGAUUUGAGUGGUUUGAAGAAAUUUUCUGUGGGUUUGAGUGGUUCGAAGAAAAAGGAAGGAGAGGACUGCAGGAGCUGCAGAGAAGAGAUGGGGGGACCGGAGAGAAGAGAUGUGGGUUUAAAGUGUAAAAUAUUGUACUAAUUCAUUAUAUAUAAAUGAUUAUGAUGUGUUUAAAUUAGAUUAUUAUUCAUUAAAUUAGGUUUUUUUUAUUAUCAAAUUAGAUUAUUAUUCAUUAAAUUGGAUUAUUAUCAAAUUAGAUUAUUCAUUAAAUUGGAUUAUUAUCAAAUUAGAUUAUUAUUCAUCACCAUGUUUUAUAUUAGGAUUAUUUUUUUAUGAAAUUGGAUUAUUAUUCAUUAAAUUGGAUUAUUAUGAAAUUGGAUUAUUAUUCAUUAAAUUGGAUUAUUCAUUAAAUUGGAUAACUACUCUUCACAAUACACUCACUCUACACAUAGAGAUGAUGAAGAUAGUGAAAAUUUUGAACCUCAUAAGAACUCUAUGUGGUACUAAGUCACUUAUGUAUCUUACCAUGCAAUGUAUAAAGUGUAAAAUAUUGUACUAAUUCAUUAUAUAUAAAUGAUUAUGGUGUGUUUAGACUUCUUUCAUUAAUUACUACAUAUUUUCUACACUCACAAUGUUUGUCAGCUCGCUAUAUAAUCAACUUGAUAAUGUUAAAUCCAUCAUGCAAUGCAUUUCUUUCCAAUUUUUUGUGAUAAACUAAUAGAUAAUUGACUAAAUAAACAUCCUACAAAGUUUCAAUAAAAAUUUCCAAGUUUUUCUUACAAUUUCCGUGGUUUCCAUGUAAUUUUUAUCGAUAUCGAUAUUUUACCGAUAUUUCCAUCGAUAUUUCCGUGUUUUCGGACUACCGAUAUUUCCGAUAUUACCGAUAUUUAAAUCCUUGGUCACAGUUUAUCCAAGAUAUUGUCGAAGCGGUUGGAAAUAAACUGGACUACAUGAGGAAUAGGAGAUUAAGAGUUGAUCCCUAUGUUAUUGAAAGAGGUUAUUAUGUGGAAAGCCUAAACAUGUGAUUACUGAGGGAAAAUGCGGUACCCACCUUUGACGUGAUUACUGAGGGAAAAAUUCAAAAGAUUCUUUGCAUGAGUUUUGAUUCUUUACAAGAUCAUGAUAAACGUUUAUUCCUCCAUAUAGCCUGUUUCUUCAUAGGAAAAGACAAGGAUUUUGCAACUACAAUCCUUCAUGAAUGUGAUUUUGCGACAGAAGUUGGACUUCAACACCUAGUUGAUAGAUGCCUUGUGGAAAUUAAUGCCUGCAACAAGUUAACCAUGCAUCAAUUGCUUGAAAACAUGGGAAGGGCAAUAAUUCGCGAUGAAUCACCUGAGGACCCUGGAAAACGCACUAGACUGUGGCAUAAAAAAGAAGCAAGUGACGUUUUGAGAAAUUUAACGGUACGAAACAUGAUCUUUAACUGUAUUUAUUUGCAUUGGUGUUCUACAUGUGACUAGUAACUUAUCCAAUGCUCUUAUUUGGUGGCAGGGUACGAGAAGUAUUAAGGGCCUCAUGCUCCACUGUCCCUCAACAUUUGAAACAAAGGCAUUUACAAAGAUGCUCAAUCUUGAACUACUUCUGCUUGAUAAUGUAAAGUUGAGUGGAAGCUAUGAAGAUUUUCCAAAAAAAUUAAUAUGGCUGUCUUGGCGAGGAUUCUCUUUAAAAUCAAUUCCAGCCAAUUUUUGUAUGGAAAAUCUAGUUGUUCUUGACUUACGGAAGAGCAGUCUGCAACAUGUUUGGAACGGAACCAAGGUAUCUUCUAAUCUCUCUCUCUCUCUCUCUCUCUCUCUCUCUCUCUCUCUCAUUACGCACAAACAAAAAAAAAUCAGUGAAACUAAACUGUGCAUUCAUAGCAACUAAUGACUUCUAUUUGAUACAGAUUCUUACAAGAUUGAAAAUUCUUAAUCUCAGUCAUUCACAUGGCCUUAGGACAACAUCUGACUUGUCCGGACUCCCCAACCUUGAGAAACUAAUUCUUAAGGAUUGCAUUAAUUUGGUUGAUGUUGAUGAAUCCAUUGGAAAUUUGGGGAAACUUGUUUUCUUGAAUCUAAAAGAUUGCAAAAGUCUUAUGAAGCUUCCAAAAAGAAUGAACAUGUUGAGGUCUCUUGAGGAACUUAUUCUUAAUGGUUGCUCAAAGCUUGGUCCUCAUGACAGUGCCACGGUUAUUGAUUUACACGCUACAUCUAGGGAUAUGAAACAAAUUAGACUGUUAUCAGCAUUAUCAUGGACACCUAUCAGGUAUUGGUGGAUGUGGGCAUGGCCAGGAAAGACUCUUCAAUCAACGAGUUUCUCACUGGCAAGUCUACCCCGUUUUUUGGGAAGCUUAAGUAUGUCUUACUGCAACGUGUCAGAGGUUCCCAAUGAUCUGUGUACACUAUCUUUGUUGAAGGAUUUGAAUCUAAUUGGUAACCCAAUUUUGUGCCUACCACAAAAAAUGAAGAGUCUUAUUAUGCUCGAGACUCUUUUGUUAGAUAAUUGCACAAACCUUGAAAUUCUUCCAGAGCUCCCACCAUGGUUGAAGAGGUUAGAAGCAAAAUAUUGUACUUCAUUGAAAAGAUUAACAAAUUUACCAAACUUGUUCAGAUCAUUGGAAUCACUUUUUUGGGGUUGUGAGCAUUUAGUUGAAGUUGAAAGCUUGUUGAAUAUAAAACCGGUGAGAAGCGCUGACAUAGAAAUGACAAGAUAUAUGGGCCUGUUCAAUUUGAAAUCCAUAGCAAGCACUGAUGUCGAAAUGAUCAACUACUUGACCAGUACAACCAGGAAGGCUCCUGUCCAGGUCUUUCUCUGUCUCCUCUCUCAUGUAUAGUUGUUCUAAUUAUUAUAUCUAUGAACUAGUUGGGCCUAACUGUUUGAAUAGUUAAAUUUGAAUUGUAGAUUCUUGAUGAAACAGGUACUCUAUGAAUGUGGCAUAUAUAGCAUUUUCUUUCAUGGAAGCAAGAUUCCAGAUGGAUUUGGCUUCACAAUAAUAUAUAGAUCUGUGCUGUCAGUUAUUGUACCUUCACAUCCCUUUCUCAAAAUCCGAGGCUUGAAUUCAUGUGUGUUAUAUGCAAGAGAACCAGGCUUGGAAUAUCGUCUUACUGUUCAGCAUUUGAUUAAAGUCAGUAAUCAGACCAAGGGUCUUAUGUGGACCUAUUCCCCACUCACAGUAGGUUUGCCUACUGAGAAGGAAGAUGUUAUGGCUAAGCAAUUUUCGAUUUGGAAACAACGAAUUGGAGUAUGGGGACGAAUUACGUGUUUCGGUGGAGAUGCAUGAUUUUGUCCGGGUAAAGGAAUUCGGAAUUCAGCUUGUGUACGAGCCGGAAAGACCUCCUUCUAGCCAGAAUAAUGUUGUUGCUGGAGAUGUGUCACUGUCAGCAUCAGAGUACCAAAUGUGGACAGGAAAAUACUUUCUCAGUAAUCAUGGGCACCGUACUCAUCAAGCUCAAUUCCGAAAGAGACAGGAGAAUCCAGCACAUAUUGAGUUUUCAUUUGGGCCAGAGUGUCUAUUUCAUAAACUAUUCAAGGCCCGAGGACCAUUCGAAACUGUUGUGAAACUUAGAGCAUAUCCAGCAGAUUCCCCAUCUGCUUCUCCUCACCCAUUUUGGCUAAAAUAAAGAGAAACCUUCUCAGUUCUUUAUCCAGCAUCAUUCAUUUAUGGUUGGAAAGAAACAUCAGCAUCAGUUUUCUUGGUGAGUAUCGUCCCUUUAUUCUUUCUUGUCAUCUCUUUCUGAAUAUAUACUCAUGGCUUUGUUGGAUUUGUUGCUCUUUGCUUAUUGUCUUUGAUUUGUUAAUUGAAUGAAUAUAUUAAACAAAAAGAGGGGAAAGCUCUUUGAACUCAGAACAACAAGGUCAUAAGACCAAUCAAGGAAACAAAACCGGAACAGUCCUCAUGAGUUAGCAGAUGAGGUUUGAAAACCCCUAUAGAGCAAAACCAACUUGAGCGUAACAGCAGUGGGACUACAUGUAUUUCUGAAAAACCUACAAUUAGUUUCCCUCCAAAGCCUACUCCUUACAAACGAAUCUUGAGUUCCUGCGACGUAGUAUUUGGGGUAACUUCUAUUUGGACACAUUUAUAUGAGCAAACUUUUCUUAUUCUAUUAUUAUGCAUUCGGAUUAGAAAGCCCGCGAUCAAUAAGAUAUUGAAAACGUGUAUUUCCUGAUACAUUAUAUAAAAUUAAUAAUUCGCUAAAUUCAUAAGAUAAUACAUUAUAGAAAAUUCAUAUAGAUUCCACAUAAUAUGUAAAUUAAUAAUUUCCUAAUACAUUGUGCCUAUGAUUCGACAAUGAGGCCUUCCUAAAAUAUAACUCAAUCAUUGUUUGUUUUUUUUCUUGAAAUUGAUACCUUGGAUCUUAUCUUUUUCUUAACAUGAUAAGAAGUUGUGAUGUGGUAUUUUCAUACUGCAACAAAAAAUUAUUCAAUGUCAUCACCGCUUUGAGAACUUCUUUUCGGGAAAUGGGCUCCAUAGUAGAACCAUGUACAAACUAUUUUUGGAAAAUAAGUAGAUUCAAAAUUUUACUUGGUUAAACAAUAAAAUCGUUAGUUUGUAAAAUAAGAAACUAAAUUAAUAACUUAUUAAUUUAUUAAUUAUUUAAUAUUUUGCUAAAUUAAUAAAAAAAAAUUUGGUCGCGAGGUUAUUAAUUUAUAGAGGUCUAAUGGAUUUAGAUAGAGGACACUAGGUAGGUUUCCCUUUAAAGAGUCUGAUAUGGUUGCUUUAAGUCUCACUUCUGCCAUAUCUAAUUUACAUGCCGCAGUCAGAUUUUCCUUUCCCUGUUGAGUCAAGUUCUUAACAUUCAACCUAGAAAUGAUAAGAAUUUCCACCAUUAUUGUGUUUUGAGGUGUUGAGCAUCUCCCUUUCAUACAAUGGGAAUGCAUUUACUACGGUAUCCCAAAUCAAUUAUGCACUACCAUGCUUGGAUAAACUAUAGUAAUGUCCUCGCAUGGCAUGCAUGAUUGACUCGAGAUACUGCCAGAAUGUCAUCUUUGUUGUAGAUAAGUUUUUCUCCCCUAAAUAUAUGUUCACCAAGGAAUUUACAUGUGAAAUGAAACUCUAAGAAAAGAAAUUUAAAAAUGAGAAAGUGAUCCACCUAAUCACGUGUGUCGGUAUGUAAUUGGGCCGCGCAAGGACCAAUGAACAAAAAUUUUAAAUGUCACAAUACAAGCUAUAGUAAUUUGUUAACUGCAUUUGAUUUCAUAUUGUUUUAAGUUACGAGCAGUGAAGACAGGGAACAAAAAUGGAAUGAUAAUCUGUGUUAGAUCAUAUUCUAAAACAAAUUUCCAACACUCUGAAUCUUGCAGCUUUUGAGCUGCUCUGUGUUUGACCAAUUAGUAGAGACAAAAUUGGAAGAGAUCAUCCUGUAAUAUCUAGUUAAACAAAUCAAGGGCAAACAAUUUUACGCCGCCCUUACCUAGUUUACCCUUCCUUAAUGUCAACCUCUUCUCUUACAAAAUUUGUAUAAGCCUAACCUGCGCGCGCUAUAAAUUCCUAAUUCUAAUCUUGGGACAAUGUAAAAGGGGUGCAGCGGGAAGAAAUAUCUAUCCCAGCAACCUCCAUGGCAUCACAGACCACUCGGGCACAUGACAUUUUUUAAACUACAAGACAAUAAGAUUUAAAACACUUAAGAGUUAUGUGGCAGGUAUUGCACAGAGGGGAAACAAAAGCACAAGGCUGGCUAAGCAAACAAUAAGAGAGAAGAAUCGUCGUAUACACAAUUGUUUUCUACCGAUAGUGAAUGACAUAGCAGACAACUAGAAGAAUCGUUUUAUACUAAUAGCGAAUGACAUAGCAGACAACUAGAAGAGAGUAAUGAUUCUCAAGAUAUAGCUUAUUUACUUAUCCCUUAAGAUUAUUCACAAGAGCAUUCGAUUUUUGUUAGAAACGCUAUAUGGAGAUUACAAUAAUCAUGACAUUAUUGUGCGCCAUUGUGCUGAUCGUUAUGUUCCUGACAGGAACUAAUUACCUCUCUUUGAAACGGUGUCUUCCAAGACAGAAAAUCCUUAAUCUCAGUCACUCACAUGGCGUGAUGACAACCCCUAACUUGUCACAAGUCCCUAACCUUGAACAAUUGAUUCUCAAAUAUUGCUUAAAUUAGGUCGACGUAGAUGACUCCAUUGGAUACCUAGAGAAACUUGUUUUCCUGAAUCUAAGACUGCAAAAUGUGAGUGCUGGAGAUGUGUCAGCAUCAAAGUAUCAAAUAUGGAGAGGCAAAAUGCUUUGUGUGUAAUCACAGUCUAGACCAUACUUAUCAUCCUCAGUUCAUAUUUCAGAAAGGACCAGAAGAACCCGGCUCAUCUUGAUUUUUCAUACGAUCCAGAGGGCUGCUUUUUUUAAUAAUCAUUACUUACUUAAGCACAUCGAGUUUCCUCAGGAGGACGAUGAAUAUUGUUGUGUUUUGCCACCCGAAAGGGUAAGAUUUUACAAGAGAAUAAAAGAUAAAGAAGGCGAUGAUUAUCGACUGCGUCUAUUCAAAAGAAGGGUAGAUUUGGGCACUAUCCAGUUGCGGUGCUAAUCAUCGGGCGUUGAAGAAAAGAUCAUGGUUUGUUUUCUUUUGUGAGUCUUAUUUUCUGUUUCUCUUUGUAUAGUAUAUACUAUAUAUGCAUUUUGUUUGAAUAAUUGAAUCUUCUUAACUCGAUCUUUUCAAUAUUUUGUACAAAGGAUGCAAGGGUUCAAUACUAGAUGUAGAUUUCAUAUCUGAGCUCCAAAUAUUAAACUAAACAUGGUAAAUACCAAAAAUAUACAUGACAAUAUUUGGGAAUUUCUUCUAUAUUCAUUAAUCUCCAAAGUGAAGUAUAUAUAGGAGUUACAAUUGGUAUUACAUAUGUAUUUCACCAAUGUGGGACAAUAAACUACUAUUUACACUUUAACUAAUAUAUAACUCACAACACUCCCCCUCAAGUUGGUGCAAAGAUAUCAUGCAUGCCCAACUUGUCAAGCGAGUUGGAAAACACACUAUUAGACACAGCCUUAGUAAGAACAUCAGUAAGUUGAUCUUCAGAUCCCACAAACGGAAACAUAAUAAUUCCAGCAUCCAAUUUUUCCUUGAUGAAAUGUCGAUCAAUCUCCACAUGUUUUGUUCGGUCAUGUUGCAUUGGAUUAUGAGCAAUCUCAAUAGCAGCCUUGUUAUCACAAUGAAGUUUUAUAGCACCCUUGGGUUUAAACCCAAGAUCUCUCAACAAUUUUUUCAACCACAACAACUCACAUACACCAUGAGACAUACCACGAAACUCAGCUUCUGCACUUGACCUAGCCACCACUUUUUGUUUCUUGCUUCUCCAAGUAACUAAAUUACCACCCACAAAUGUAAAAUAUCUAAAUGUAGAUCGCCGAUCAAUAAUAGAACCUGCCCAAUCUACAUCUGUAUACCCUUCGACAUUCAAAUGAUCAUUCUUGGAGAAAACCUAGCCUCUGCCAGGAGCCAUCUUCAAGUACCUCAAAAUACGGGUUACUGCAUUCAUAUGAGCUUCACUAGGUGAGUGCAUAAACUGACUUACCACACUAACUGCAUAACCAAUGUCAGGGCGAGUGUGACACAAAUAAAUUAAUCUCCCCACAAACCUCUGAUACUGAUGAGCUAUAUAUUUUCACAAACAAAAUAUAUUAGCAAGUCUUAAUAAAAAUGGGGAGACUUCAAAAUAAUAAUAGUAAUAAUAAUAGAGUCCAAAAUAUGGACUGACCAGAAAUAAGGCUCACUUUAUGUGUGUAUGUGCAUAUAUUCUUAUAUAUACUAUAUUUAUAUAAUAUAUAUAAGAAAUAAAGAGAGGGAAAAACAACUCUACACCCGCACACGUAGACCUCAACGUACACCAAGUCUGAAGGAGUUUGUCAUCUACAUGGCAACCAGGUAUAGAGAACGUGUGUAUCUAGAACCCUCUAAAACUCCCACGUUCUCCACUCAAGAGAUGGUUUUCUCUCAGCAUCUCCACACCCCAGGAAAGUUGCAUCCCACUAACUUCAACUGCCAUGUCCACUGUUCCUAUAAAAAGGCAUCGAACCAAAGCAAAGAGGACAGAAGACACAGAAAGAAAAAGAUAGACUCUGCAGAAAUUGAGAGAAAAGAUUGCAACGAAUGAGAGAUACAGAAACGCUGCAGAAAUUGUGGGGCACAAAGAGAGAACAAACGGGAAGAGAAAAGGAACAUAAGAAUACAGAGCAGGAGUGGACGACAAAAAGGAAAGGCAAGGACUCAAAAAGGUAUAAAUCCAUUUUUUUUUUUGGGGUUAAUCUUUCCUUUGUAUUUCGUUGUUAUUUCUUCACUUUGUAGAAGAAAAAGCACUUUGCUUCUUCAUCCUCUCCCAUUCCACGAAACAAAGGUGGAACUCUAGAUAAGUAAAGCCCAAACCCUUUCCCAUAUUUCGUCUACUAUGCCUAGCAAAUGAUGUCGAAACUCGCCAACGACGCAAGAGAUGAGUUCGAACAAGGCAGCAACCAAACCGCCGGACACUACCACUUCAACAACACCGAUGGCCAUAGUGAUCACGCCGUCCUCAAGCCCAGCGUUGCUACUGCUCCGUUUUAGGAGCUCAGUCCAAAGUUGAAAUCAAUGUUGUUGCUCCGUUUUAGGAGCGCAGUCCGAAGUUAAAAUGAUUGCUGCUGCUCUGUUUUAAGAGCUCAGUUCGAAGAAAUAAAAAAUCGGCGUGUUGCUACUGCUCCGUUUUAGGGGCGCAGUUUGAAGACAUUGACGGUUGUUGCUGCUCCGUUUUAGGAGCUUAGUUCACAGAAUUUGGCGUUUGUUGAUGUUCUGUUUUAAGAGCUUAGUCCGAAGUUGAAAUGGUUGCUGCUGCUCCGUUUUAGGAGCUCAGUUCACAGAAUUUGGCGUUUGCUGCUGUUCCGUUUUAAGAGCUUAGUCCGAAAUUGAAAUGGUUGUUGCUGCUCCGUUUUAGGAGCUCAUUAGAAACUUCGAGUGAAGAGAAACACGACUCAAAGAAUUUGACAUGAUGCUGCUACUCUAUUCUUCGAAGACGUUCCAGAAAAAAGAGGAACAAAGAAAUAGUCUUGUUCAUCACGUGGGAGUCUGCUCACAUGAAGGAAAAGUAAGGUCGAUUGAAAUUAAAAGUCCCAUUGGAACUUGGAGACUUUUAAAAGUCAAACAAAGAAAAGUAUAAAGCUUGCUGUCAUAUUGGUCAUAAGUUUAAGGCCUAGUUUGGGAGUGAGGUGCUUAAAAAAAAAGCACCCAUGAAAAAAAGCUGUGAGGGUUUUAGGUGUUUGGUAAACUGAAAAAAAAAAGGGCUUAUUUUGGAAGCUGCUGUGAGAAUAAGCUGAAAUCAAAGGAAAAAGUUGAAGUUUCUAUUUGCAGCUUUGGAAAACUGGUUUUUUUUCAAACCACACGGAGCUACAGUGCUCCUUUAAUGAAAAGACCCACUAUUAGACUGCUUUUUUUUUUCAAAAGCACUUUUACAAAAAAGUUUACCAAACGCUCUGCUGAUUUAUUUCACAGCCGCUUAUUCUCACAACAGCUUUUUUUCAAAGCACAGCAAUACCAAAUGAGCCCUAAGUCAGAUGAGUUCGAAGUCCCAUGUUUAAAUGGGUUUUGAAAAGUUCAAGGAAGAAUAUAAAAAGGGGAGGGGAAAUGCUAACUGAAAUCAGCACCUCACAUGGAAAGUUGCUCACGUGGGGGUUAAUAAAGUUAUGGGAGUUCUUUAUGGUAAUUUAACUUGUGCCAUUUCAAAUUGGAUCCCAUCCUCUUCGAACCAUUAAGGAGACAUACGGCAGUGACAAAAGAAAAAUAAAGAAAGAAGAAAAACAAGGGACUUAAAGCCUGAGAAGGCAUUGGUAAAAGAAAAAGGAGCCCUGACACUUGCUUUUAUAUUUUCCAUAUGAAAGUAAGCAUUUUUUGUGCUGCCAUGCAAAAGAUAGAAGGCAACAAUAGAGUAACGGGCUUGUAGGAAAAAUAAAAUGGGUUCCAAGACAAAAUAAAUGAAAAGGAAGACAAAGUCAAAUACCAAAGUAAAAGUGGGUUCAUCACAAAUAUUCCCCUUAAAUUUUACAAGACACAAAUGGCACAAAGCUGCGAUCAAUCUAAAAAAUAAAUGAACUACGCCGGUUUGAUUCCGUUAAGGAUACGUAGGCAGUCUGAUAUCAAAAUUUUAGACGCAACCGUGAAGCUGAAACGAAUCUCUGGUUUAUAUAAACUAAAUUCACUCCUACUAUCAAAUACCAAAAUGGCACGAAGCCAAAGAAAAGUUUCAAAGGGCAUCAAAUCUCGAGUGGCACGACGCCGAAGAAAAGUCUCAAAUGGCAUGAAGCCAUAUCAAAUUUUCAAAUGCUUCUCGCCCGCAUGAGCUAAAACUGCAUAAGGCACCAUUUGCUCCAAUGGCUUAAAGUCCUCGCCCGCAUGAGCUAAAACUGCACAAGGCAUUAAUGCUCCAAUGGCUUAAAGUCCUUGCCUGAUGAGCUAAAACUGCAUAAGGCAUUAAUGCUCCAAUGGCUUAAAGUCCUUGCCUGCUCCAAUGGCUUAAAGUCCUUGCCUGCAUGAGCUAAAACUGCACAAGGCAUUAACACUCCAAUGGCUUAAAGUCCUCGCCUGCACGAGUUUAAACUGCAUGAGGCUUAAAGUCCUCGCCUGCACGAGUUUAAACUGCAUGAGGCAUUUAACACUCCAAUGGCUUACAGUCCUCGCCUGCACGAGUUUAAACUGCAUGAGGCAUUAAAUGCUCCAACGACUUAAAGUCCUCGUCUGCAUGAGCUAAAAUUGCACAAGGCAUCAAAUGCUCCAAUGGCUUAAAGUCCUUGCCUGCAUGAGCUAAAACUGCACAAGGCAUUAUUGCUCCAAUGGCUCAAAGUCCUCGCCCACACGAGCUAAAACUGCAACAAGGCAUCAAAACCAAACAAGUACUAAAUACCAAGGAACUACGAGUGACUUGAUCCCUCAACGAGGGUACCUAGGCAAUCUAGGGCUCUACCUAGGUUCUGUCACAAAAUCAAAUAAACAUCCAAAUCCCCAAGUUACGAUUUAUUCAUAUUAGAAUCAAAAGGGUAUUCUUUUCCCAAAUGAAGGAUUGUAAUUAAUAGGCGCGUAGCCUAGAAUGGGUCGAACUUGAAUUAAUAAAACCUUCUUCAAGAAAUGAACAAGGGUGAAAUUGUGUCGAGUGAAUUAUUUGUUUACAUAUUGUGUACAAUUUUUGCUCAACAGAUACCGUUCCUUAUGAGUAGGAACUUGAUAUGGAAAUAAGCCCAGAUGAUGAUUCUGCUCAAUCGUAGUAUCAACAGGUUUGCAAUCUAACAUACCUAUUUCAGCUAACAAAUCAAGAACAUAAUUCCGUUGAGGCAGAAAAAUGCUUGGAUCGUGCAACCUCGAUUCCAAGAAAAUACUUCAAUUCACCCAAUUCUUUCAUCUCAAAUUCAGUAGCUAGGUACUUUUGAAGGCAUUGUAUCUCCUUCUGAUCAUCACCAGUCACUAUCAUGUCAUCAACAUAAAUAAUCAAUACAGUUAGCAUACCAUUUUGUCGCUUUAGAAACAAAGUAUGAUAUGAAUGACUCUGGAUAUACCCAAACUUCUUCAUUGAACUUGUAAACCUCCCAAACCACGCUCUAGGAGAUUGUUUCAAACUAUACAAAGCCUUUCGUAACUUGCAUACAACACCUUUUCCAGGAGAUGUUCCAAUACCAGGUGGGAGAUCCAUAUAAACUUCCUCCUUAAGAUCACCAUGAAGGAAAUCAUUCUUAACAUCAAACUGCAACAGAGGCCAAUCCUGGUUUACUGCUAAGAACAGAAGAACACGCACAAUAUUUAGUUUGGCAACAUGAGCAAAAGUCUCCCAAUAGUCCACCCCAUAGGUUUGAGUAUAACCCUUAGCAACUAAUCUGGCUUUAUACCGGUCAAUAGAACCAUAUGCUUUGUGCUUAAUAGUAAACACUCAUAUACAUCCAACGAGUUUCUUCCCGUUUGGUAAAGGAACCAAAUCCCAAGUAGAAUUCUUUUCCCAAGCUUCCAUCUCAACUUUCAUGGCAUUAACCCACUUAGGGUCAGACAAAGCAUCUUGCAAUUUUGUUGGAAUUGAUACACUAGAUAGCUGACAUAUGUAAAAUGCAUAUGGUUUGGACAAACGAUGAGUAGACACAUAAUUGUUGAUAGGAUAUUUGGCUUUGGCAUGCAUAUCAGGCUCAUAUUGUACUUUAGGUUUUCCACGAUUAGCUCGUGGAGGCAACUGAUAAGUAGAAGAAUCGUCAGAAUUUACCUCAUGUAUGCCACCAUCUUGUACCAAACUGUUAGAAGAAUCAUCACUAGACGAACCAUCAUCAGGCAACUCGUUAGACAUACCAGCAGCAAGCAAUUGAUCAUCAGAAGGUAAUUCAUCAGACAUACUAACAGGCAACUUGCUGGGCACAUCUAAUCUGUCGUCAGUAGAAAUAGUUCCGGGAAUGACAGGUGACUAAUCACUAUCUGUAGCCGACUGAUCAGUAUCACGCAACAUAAUAGGUUCUGUUUCCAACUCUGCCUGUAACACAUCAUCCAUAUCAUCUCUUCGAAUUUGCACUUCACUCCCUUUUUCCCCCUGAAGUGGAGAGUUAGAAGAAGGCUUCACAAAAUACAAAACUUCCUUGUGGAAUGUAACAUCCAUGGUAAUAUAAGUUUUUUGAUUCGGAGGAUGAUAAAACUUAUAGUCUUUUUUAUUGUUAGCAUACUCAAUAAAGACACAUCGGAGAGCACAUGCAUCAAGUUUACUCUGUUGAUGAGAGUAGACAUGCACAUACGCAAUACACCCAAACACUUUUGGAGGAAGCUUUGAUACAUAAACAAGAGAAACAUGUUUUUGUAGCACAUCAAGCGGUGUCUGAAAAUCAAGAACCCUACUUAGAAUAGAUUGAUCAAAUACACAGCAGCCAAAACAGCAUGACCCCACAAAUGAUUGGGAACACAUUUAUCCAACAUCAAGGAGUGAGCAACCUCCAUUAUUUGACGAUUCUUCCGUUCGGACACACCAUUUUGUUAGGGUGUAAACAGAGUAGUCGUCUGGUGAAUAAUACCAUGAUCACGAAAAAAGCAUGCCAAAGUGUGAUUCACAUAUUCUUCUCCGUUAUCAGACCUGAAGACCUUAAUUUUGGUUUGAAACUGAGUAGACACCAUUGUACAAAAUUCUUGAAGAAGUAACGGAACAUCACUCUUAUUCUUCAUAAAAAACACUCAAGUUAACCGAGUACAAUCAUCAAUAAAAGUAACAAACCAACGGAAUCCAUUAGAAGUAAAUUUCGCAGGACCCCACACAUCAGAAUGUAUCAAAUCAAAUGGCAAAGUAGCUUCAGAAUCACUUACGGGAAAGGAAGCACGAUGACUUUUAGCCAUGACACAUGGUUUCACACUUGAACUUUGAAUCACUACAAGUGCGAAACAAAGGAGGAAAUAGAUGCUUCAUAUAACUGAAUGAUAGAUGUCUCAAUCGUUGAUGCCACAACCAAAUUUGAUGUCUGUCAUCCAUUUUAGCACUUAAAACUUGAUAAUUAUUUGAACCGGAAAUAAUAGUAUCCUCCAUAGUCAAGAUGUACAAACCCCUUAUUCUUUUACCAUAACCAAUUAUCUUCUGAGUUUGAAUGUCUUGAAAAUAACAAUACGUAGGGUAGAAAUGAGUAGAACAAUAUAAGGUAUCAAGAAGUUUUCCUACCGACAAAAGAUUGCACUUAACAUCAGGAACAAGUAAAGCACGGACCAGUGAUCAGGUCAAAGUCAGAGAGAUAGUGUCUUCACCCUUCACAGGGGAAGGUGCUCCAUUUGCACUAGUAAUAUACGGAUUACGAACAUAGUCACAUAACUCAUCAAACACUCUAGGGUCACUAGUCACAUGAUCAGUGGCCCCAGUAUCAAUUAUCCAUUUAUUUGUUCCACCAAGAUGCAUAACAACACUAUGAUUAUAUUGAGUCAUUGAACUAAAUCACGAACAAUAAAGGCACAAAAAAUACGCAGCGGAAUAAAAAUAAUUUACCAGAACACUGUAGCAAUCACUGUUCACUGCAAUGUAGUAGAUACUAUUCACGACUGUAGAGGAUCACUGUUUACGACACUGUAGAGGAUCACUGUUCACGCAAUGUAGCAAAGCGUUGUACUAUAACGCGACACUAUUCAAUUUUUUUUUUCAACGAAGGAAAUCGCGAAAAAAGUGGACACAAAAUUAAAGCACACAGGUCAUCAAGAGCGAACUGCUAUGAUGCCAUAUUAAAACUAAACACGGUAAAUACCAAAAAUAUACAUGACAAUAUUGGGAAUUUCUUCUAUAUUCAUUCAUCUCCAAAGUGGAGUAUAUAUAGAAGUUACAAUUAGUAUUACAUAUGUACUUCACCAAUGAGACAAUAAACUACUAUUUACACUUUAACUAAUAUAUAACUCGCAAAACCAUAUUGGUUCAUAUUUGAGCUCUUUCAGCGGAUUAACACUGUUGUCAGCGAAUAAAGGAGUUUAAUCCAACAGUUUACAAUAAGACGGGCAAAUCUUCCCGUUGUUUAUUUUCCCAUUUCUUCUUAAUUUUUUGUUUUUGCUCCAAUCUUUCUUUAUUUUUUUUUUUCUUAUGUUUUUGCUCCAAUCUUUCUUUAUCACAUAACCGUAGCUACUUUCUGGUUAAAUUCUUUUUUUUUUCUUAAAAAUAAAUUAAAAGCUACUUAAUACUAGGGUAUAGUAAUAUUCAUCUUUACUUAUAAGUGAAAUAUGUCUUAUAUUCGAUUUUCGUCACUUAGCCGUCUUCUCACUUCUUAAUAUAGAUAAUAUCGUCUGUUCAAAACAUAAAAAAGUAAAUUAAAACACUAAAAUUAAAUAAUAAAAAAAAUAAAUAGAAACCCAACCCUCGUCAAUUUCCUUACCCCAGUGUGAGAUUUGUCCAAACGUUAGAUAAUUUGGGUUGGGUGAGGUGGGUUGGGGUCGCUUCUCAUCUAUUCAUUCACCCCUUCACAUCUGUGCAUCCACCCCAAUUUAGAUGAUUUGGGAUCUUGGAUUAGCAAUAUUUUUCAAAUAACAGAGAGGAGACUGGAGAGAGAAAGAGGGGGGAGGAGUAAGGAAGAGCGAGAGACAAUGGGACGGUUAGAUUUUGGAAUUGCUAUGACAUAAAAAUAUUAAUAAUGAUAAAAGUUAAUUAGAGUUAUGUGAGAGGACACGUGUCAAGCUGAAGUUGUGUUGGUAACAUACACUAGGGUUAAGUUUGGGCAAUUUUGCUCAUCACCACUCUAUUUAUCAUUGUUAAAUGAGUUUAAAUUUUGAAAUUUGUAUCUAUCCAUAGUAGAAUAUCAGGGUACACAUAACAAACAUACGAACAAACAGAUUAUAAAUUACGAAUAUUAUUUGAUUAAUGAAAAAACAAAGAAAUAGGAUUGACAAGACGACUACACUUAAAGACUACAUUUUAAUCAACUUAUUAUCAUACUAAAUUACAAGCUAUAUGUAUAGAGAACAAAACCUAAGAAACCCUAAUUUGAAUGAGCUAAGCCCAAAUCUUAAAUUAACAAGCAAACCCAAAUAAUUAAAUAACUAAUUUUUCAACACCCCGGUCAAACUCAUGGUGGUACACGACAUGAGUUUGCCAACAAGAAAAUGUCGAUGCAGGCUUCGCUAGGUGGACAAGCAGGCAAGCAAGCAAGCUUGGCUACGCUGGACUUGACUUGACUUGCGAAUUAGCAAACUGAUUAUGUUUCAGACAUGCAUGAGGGUAUGGAAAGAAAGCAUAUGAGUGCUCCCCAUCAUUAAACGAACGAGAUUUUCAUAUCCCAAUUACAGCAAUGGACGGACAAAAAGAAUACUAUCACUUAAGUGGUCACAAGUCCAAAACAGUCGCAAAAUUCCCAUACAGGCCAACAACUCGUGUGGGCCUCAAAGACUUCAAACAAAAUCAAACAGCCCAUUUCUUUUUGCCCUUUCCUCAACCAAAUUCGUGGGCCUCAAACAUACCGCCACUUUUUCUCCUUUUUCUUUUCCUUUUUCUCUCUUUUUCUUUUUCUUUUUCUUUUUUACAGAUCUCUAUAAUUGUUGCCCCAACACGACAAUUUUGUUAAUUCUUAUUAAUGAAGAGGAUUUUUCAAUCUUUCUUUGUUUCGUGCAGUUUGAAUUUGCCUGUGUUCAAAUCUGAACUGAAUCAUUUCUUUUUUAAACAACUGGUGUCGGGAGAGGGGGCCUCUGCAGGCUUUUAUCAACUUUGAGUUACAAGUCCAUUGAAAAUUAAUAAUUGAUUUGUCUCUUUAAGGAAGAAAGGCCAUAGAAAAUUAAUAACUGAAUUAUCUGUUAAUUUAAUUAUUAUAAUAACUGAUUUGUCUUUUUUUUUUUAAAUUUUUUUAAAUGAUUUGCAAGAGUAGAAUUUGAGCUAAGUCACACGCUAUAAUUUCACACCGAACGAAAAUCGAAUCUAAGACCUUCUUUUUUAUAAGUGGAGAAAUUUAUAAUUGAAUCUUUAGAUUUUGCAUUAUAGUCACUCUAUAGUGACUCUUUUAUGACUACAAAAAAUGAUUACUCAAUUUUCGUGGGAAACGCGAAUUAUACACGUACCUUGAGUACUUUUUGGAAAAGCCAUGUAUAAUUUGUCUGCUGACUUUUAUUGGUAAAUAUCUCAUGUAAAUGUUGGUUUGUUUGGGCUUCCCCACCCUCAUUUACCCCAAAAAAAAGAAAAAAAAAAAAAAAAAAAACAAAAGACUAGUCCUUCUUGAGCUUCUCUGGUAGCAUGAUCAUCUCCCACAUCCUCUUCUUCAUCAACUCUUAAGACCGACGCCCAUUCAGAUCCUUGGAAGUUUGAACAUGGUGAAGAGGAACUAUAGUUAUCCACUUGAGUUUGCGAGUUAGCAAAAUUCGAUUUGUGAAAUCGUCCAUUUCAAGUGUCUUUUUGAAGAAACUAGUUGGGACUUUCAUCCAACAGCUUGCCGGCUGAAAGAAAACUCGCAGCUUUCGACAUCUUACAAUACACAACUCUGGUGUGUGCGAGGUACCUCCAAGCUCCCCUCUUGUGAAAACAUACAUCUGCUUGUAUUAUUAGCUUUCAAUUGAAAUCUUCAUGGCCGAUGAGUCAAUGCAUUGGCUUUGGAUCCUCUUGCUUUCUUAUCUUUAUUUUUCUUUUUAAUAUUGUCCUAUGAAAUUUGUUUUGAGUCUCUAACUCACACUUAAAGCACCGCCGUUACACUGAAAAUUUUCUCUAAACUAGUGGGUCAUUCUCUUUUGUUUAUGAAAAAAAAUCAUGAACUUAUCCAAUAAAUUCCACAUAUCAUCCCUUAUUGACAUAACUAGAUUCAAGUGCUACAUUUUAUAAUUACACAUUAGUUGGUUUUUAGUUUUUUAUUCCAGUUCUUUGAAUUUUGAUUAAACGCUUUAACUUUACAUGUGUUCUUUUCUUAAUUUUUAACUCAAUAUGUUAUAUAAAUUUAAAGAAUAUAAAUAUGAGUCUCUAAAUUCUUGGAAAUUGUUUUGCAAGACUUUAAUUUAUUUUUUUUUCAGAAACGUGAACUAAAUCCAUUCAUGAAAAAAGAUCCAGUCCUUUUCUUUUUUUCUUCUCAAAAUAAAUAUGAGUCAUUAUUUUAAUAAUUAAUUUAUUAAAAAUUGAUAAAAUAUAUUUUUGUAUAAAGUUUUAAUAUGAAUUUCUUUUAGGGUUGUCAUUAGCUUUUUACGUACCAACGCCUUCAAACUUAAGCCACAGCCCACUCCCAGUCCAAAUCCAUAAACCCAGCCACUUUAAUUGUUUUCAGAAGAGUGGCAGUUUCUUAAAUAAAGUGAAAUGCAGCAAAAGUCACUGUAGCUUAUGAACAAUGCCAAGGGAAAUUUCCCUAGUGCCAAUUCUUCCCCAAUUUAGACUAUAUAGUAAUAUGAAAAAUUCCAUCUCCAAUCAGACUUUCAUUCUUAAUACAAGUUAGCAUACUUACUAGAAACACCAAUUAUUAUUAUUUUUUUUUUUUUUUCUGGGUAAUACUAAAGACAUCAACUUAUUAGUUUUAGGAAAACUAAUGAAAAUGACUUGAAAACUUUGAGUUUUAAUAAUAAGGACAAAAUAAAGGGUAAAAUGAAUAGUACCAGGUUUGACUUUUUAGUGUAAAAAUGUGGUUUUUCGUUAAAGUAAACAGUACCAUGGAUUUUUCGUUAAAACUACCAUUAGUUUUUGCAUCAAUUUUUUAAAUCCCAAAUUUCGUGGCAAUGUUUCAACGCAUUUUCUGUUCACAUUUUACAACAAAUAAGAAUUUGCAUUGUGACUUGUUAACAAUUAACUGGUGUCUCUUGCACUAUUAUUAUGUUUAUCAUUUCUUACAUACUUCCAAAAUUAGACAUGUAAUAUGAUUUGCAUCUCAGUGUUAAAUCAGAUGUGUUUGGCAGCUGGAGAAUAUAUUCUCAAUUUGCAUUCCAAUUUGUAUAUAAUAACUUUUGUUCAUGCAUGCACUGCAACAGAUGGACACUAUUCAAUAGCUACGAUGAGCACCGAGCAGCAGAAUGCUUCUUCGUCCUCUUACCGGUGCACAUAUGAUGCAUUCUUAAGUUUCAGAGGUGCAGAUACACGCAAGGGUUUUGCAGAUCACCUCUACAGUGCUUUGGAGUUGGCAGGAAUCCACACUUUUAGAGAUGAUGAUGAAAUUGAGGGAGGAGCAAACAUCGAACAGGAGCUACAGACAGCAAUACAAGAGUCACGAGUAUCAGUCAUUGUUUUCUCCACGGACUACGCCUCUUCCACGUGGUGCCUGAAUGAACUUGCUAUCAUCAUGGAACGUACAAAAACAGAUGGACACAAGGUUGUGCCAGUUUUCUAUGACGUGGAACCAUCAGAUGUCAGGAAACAGACGGGCAGUUUUGCAGACUCAUUUACCAGACAUGAAGAGCGCUUCAAGGACAAGAUGGACAAGGUGGAGGAGUGGAGACGAGCUCUUAGAGAAGUAACAGACCUGGGAGGGAUGGUUUUAGGAGAACGGUAAUUUGUCAUUCCCUCCCUAUAUUCAGUCAAGUAGAUCAGAUGCUAGUCUCAAGCUUGUGAAAGUUUUAGCUUUUCUUUUUAAAUAAAAAAAAUUAAAUAAAUAACUUGUUCGUGUUUUUUCUUUUCGUCUGAUAUAUUUUUAUAUCAAUAACAUAUAGGUACGAGUCGCAGUUUAUCCAAGAUAUUGUUGAAGCUGUUGGAAAUAAACUGGACUACAUGAACAUGUGGAAAAGGAGAUUAAGAGUUGAUCCCUAUGUAAUUGGAAGAGAUUAUUAUGUGGAAAGCCUGAACACCUGGCUAGAAGAUGGAUCAAAUGAUGUUGGAGUAGCUGUCAUCCAUGGAAUGGGUGGAAUAGGCAAGACCACCAUUGCUAAAAUUGCUUAUAACCAGAACUUCUCUAAAUUUCAAGCUAGCAGCUUUCUUUCAGAUAUCAGGGAAACUUCCAAACAAGCGAAUGGUUUUGUUCACUUGCAGAGGAACCUUCUUUCAGAUAUCCAAAAGAGGAAAGUGAACAACAUAUACAGCCAUGAUGAAGGUAUAAUAAAGAUCAAACGGGCUGUACGUUGCAAAAGAGUUCUUAUUGUUCUCGAUGAUGUUGAGAACUUGGAACAGUUCAAUGUGAUUCUUGGAAUGCGAGACUGGCUCCAUCCUGGAAGUAAAAUUAUCAUAACAACUAGACAUGAACAUUUGUUAAGGGCUGAAGUUUGUGUAAGGUUUAAGGUUGAAGGAUUACCUGAGCAUCAAUCACUUAAGCUUUUCAGUUGGCAUGCCUUUGGACAACCCCAUCCUCAAGAAGGUUACAUGGAGCUUUCAAGACCUGUAGUAGAACAUUGUGGAGGGGUUCCAUUAGCUCUUCAAGUUCUGGGAUCUUCUCUAUUUGGAAAAACAGUAGAUGUAUGGAAAAAUGCAUUACACAACCUAGACGUGAUUACUGAGGGAAAAAUUCAAAAGAUUCUUGGCAUAAGUUUUCAUUCUUUACAAGAUCAUGAUAAACGUUUAUUCCUCCACAUAGCCUGUUUCUUCGUAGGGAAGGACAAGGAUUUUACAACUACAAUCCUUGACGAAUGUGAUUUUGCCACAGAGGUUGGACUUCAACAUCUGGUUGAUAGAUGCCUUGUGGAAAUUAAUGUCCACAACAAGUUAAUCGUGCAUCAAUUACUUCAAGACAUGGGAAGGGCAAUAAUUCAUGAAGAAUCACCUGAGGACCCUGGAAAACGCACUAGACUGUGGCAUAAAGAUGCAUUUAACGUUUUGACAAAAUUAACGCACUACAAGAAAAAGGCCUUUUUGCGACACAUUUUUUGCGUCAAAUUACACUAUCGUCGCAAAUAAAAGGAAAUUAGCGCGGUAUUUGUUAGCGCGAAAAUAUUUGCGACACCACUAUAAGUAACGUCGCUAAUAAUGUCGCAAAUAGAAAUAUAUGUCGUCUUAAACAGAUUGUUUGCGACGCCCCUAACGACGGAUAGAGUUUGAGCGGGAACAAAUUGGCGCUUAGGGUUUGAGCGCGCGCACUCCUUUUUUCUUUUUCCCAACGCAGCCUUAGUGCUCUCCCUCAACCGUUUCUGUUUCCUUUUCCUUUUCUCUCAGAGAUUCAAUCGAAAAUUCUGGAGUUGUAUCAGAGUUACGGAGCACAAUCAGAGUUCAGGUAAGCCACUACAACCAUCUCCAUCUUCUUUCUUUUUUGAUUCCAUAAGUCUUGCUAAGUGAUUUAUAGGGUUUCUGUCAAAGGCGCACAUAUCUGCUAAAUGUCUUCCAAAACCUAGGGUCUUUGGCAUCCGGGAUUGGGAUGUCUUUCUUUUUUCCACCCAUUCUGCUCAGAAUCGGUUUGAUCAUCUUCCUCAGUACCUUGUUAAACCCCAACCCACGUCUUUGAUUGCUAAGUGAUUCCAUAAGUCUUGCUUAGUUCUCUCCCUCAGCCUUAGUUUUCUCCCUCAACCGUUUCCGGUUCCAAUUAUUAGUUUGGACUGGACAACGCCUGCGUUUUGGGCUGCAGGUUUUCUUAAUAUGUUUACAGCACAAACAGAAAAUUUUAGUUAAAAACAAACCCUGUUUUCUUAAUAUGUUUACAGCACAAAUAGUAAUUGAUUUUUAGGGGGAUUGUGCUUCUUGAUUUUCUAUGUGCCUUUAUUUUUAAUUCGUGGACAUCUUGCCCAAUUUUUUUUUUUUUUUUUUUUUUUGUAAUUUUGUUGGCAUUUGCAACAAUAUAUUUGGCUUCUUCUUCUUCCUUAAAAAUAUGGUGAAUGAUUAGAGUGUACCUUUUACAGGCGUUGCUUUUCCAUAGAUUGGGAAGAUCUUGGAGAAGGCCCUCGCACAAGGUAAAGUGGAUGAUGUAGGAUUGUUUUUUUGUGUGCUGACUAAAAGUUUACCUUGGAGUAAUCUCUUAUUUGUGACACUCCUUGAAAUUCUGGAUAUAUUUUCUUUGAGUAUCAUAUGCAAAAGUCAAAGUUGCCCAAAGUUCAGAGGAUACAUUGAAUGAAGAAUUGGAUAUGUAUUUCGUAUUUGCUACCCAAGAAUAUGACCGUUUGGAUUGUUAAUUACCCAUUCCUAGCUAGUUCAUGUGUUAGGUAGGUGAAUGAUGGGGAUUAGUAGUGAGUUUAUCUAAUUUUUAAGUGAUAGUUGAUGGCAGACCUAGAGUUUGUCUAAUUACCCAUUCAACUCAUAUUAUAUAAGCCCACCUUUUAAAACUCAAUUGCUUCCCUUUAUUAUUUAUAUUUUUAAUAACUAGUAUUAUCAUUAUGAAUGUUGAGAUAACUCUGUAUGUGUAUCGCCUAUUCCGAGCUCACACAUUAUCAUGCGUUAAUGCAUAUUCUUUUGUGUUAAAGUAGAAUACUGUUUUUGGAAUAGUUUGGAUUGACAACUUAUCUCAUAUUGCUUAGUGUUUAACAUUCUUUUGUAGUUCAAAUAUUUUGGAUUAACUAUAGAGAUCAGAUCAAGGGUGCUUAAUUCUUAGUUCGGUAUGUUUUAUAUCCACCUUUUAAAUAAAUUUUUGAUUAAUUUUACUUACUUUCUUUGUAUUAUUUUCGGAUGACAUUAGGUAUGGACAAGAGUUGGAUAGAUUUAAAUGACAGAUGUCCCUGAUGCAUAUAAAUUUCAUUGCUUAAAGGUUAUUGGCAAUAGAUGGAGGGAUUGGAAGUGUCGGGUUAAGCAAAGAUGGUAUGACGCAUACUUGACCGAUGAACAACGUUUAUCCUUCACUCCUCCUCAAGUCACUACAGAUCAAUGGAAGACACUAGUAAAGUAUUGGGGCCUCCCUAAUAUAAAGGUAAAUUAGGAAAAAUUACAUUUUAAGUUUAUAAUAGUGAUGAAUUAUGGUUGCUUUAAACAUGUGUAGGAAUAUUCUGAGGCAAAUAAGGCUAAUCGUGCACAUGGAGGUGCUCCUCAUCGGACUGGUCGUACUUCAUUUGCUCAAUUGAAACAUGAGGUCAGAACACUAGUUUUGCAGUGAGUAAUAAGUGAUAAUAAUUAACAAUAGGACUAAUACUAAUACAAGCAGGGGAUGUAUAUAUAUAAACCAUGCUGGAAAACUGGAAUGGUAUCAUUUGUACCAGGUCCAAUUUGAAUACGGCAUGAUGGAAAUGCUGGAAAGUUUUUAUUUUCUCCAUUUAACAAUUUUCAUUACUAACUUGAUUAAACAUUGUGUGCUCUUAAGAUGAGAGAGAAGGGAGAGAAAACGGAUCAGUUGAGCAUGUUUAUAAAAACAAGAACAAAGAAAACAAAGAAUGAUGACAGAGACCUUUUCGAUGAGGAAAGUGGCCAAAUUAUUGUAAGUAUCAGUUAGGUUAUAUAUUUUUCACUCAAAGUAAAACUUUGCAUAUUCACAUCGUUUUGAUUAGUUGGGUUGUGCAUUAUUUUUAUCUUUUGGUCAUUUGAAUUGGUUGGGUCAUGUUUUGUAGAAUCAAUUUAAUCAAUGCUUGGAAGAAAGGGAAGAGCAUGAGCAAGACGAGGAUUAUCGAGAGGAGGUGUUUACUAGAGUUAUGGGACCUGAUGCAUAUGGACGUGUUCGCAUGUAUAGAACAGGUAUAACUCCAUCUCAAGUGUUUUGUCAAAGUUCAAGAUCUUCCAAUGUUAAUGAGGACACCAUACGAGAAGAGGUAGAAAGACAAUACAAGACUAAGAUAGAUGAUCUUAAGGCUAAGCAUGAAUCUGAAAUUGAAGAUCUCCGAUCCAAGUAUAGUGAAGUCAGUUCGAAACUCCAUCUUGUGACGACUCAUAUUGGUUUCCAUGUUAACACAUCACCAAGUGGAAGUGGACAGGUAUAUACAUUCGAAUGUGAUUUUGUUCUCUUUUCAAUUUAUUAGAAUAAAUUAGUGUGAAAAUUUGAGCAAUUUUGAUUUCUAUUUGUCGUGUUGGUGUUAAAUAUAGGCUCCAAAUACAUCAAGCCAUCUACAAGAAACAUAUGGGAGUAAUGAGCAACAACCUCAGUUAGACCCAGAACCAUAGAAACAAUUGCUUCAUAAAAGGUUUGUAAAGAAAACAUUAUACUAAAGAUUAAACUUUUAAUUGACACAUGUUAUUGAUGGCUGUGUAAUUCUUAUUUUUCAGGUUUGCAUGGAGAUUGUGAUGAAGAGUCUUGAUCAUAAUUAAACUCUUGAAUAUGUUGGAGCAUAUUUGAAAAAAAAAAUUAUGUUCAUAACUUUUGAGACGAGAUUAUUUAUAUUUGACUCUAGUAGGAUUAUAUGUAUUGGGAUAUGCGGAUGGUGUACUUUCAAUGUUAUUAGGAAUUCUAAAAGCAUAGUUCUUUGAUUCAUAUAUUAUUUUACUUUUGAACUUGGGAUGAUUGUGAAUAAGAUUAUAAAUUGCAACCUAAUCUUUCAUUGAACAAAUAUCAUUUCCAACCAUUUUGUAUUUAUAACAAAAAAAAUUGUAGGGAUAAAAGCAUUUACGACGUGUCAAACAUGUCCCAAAUAUUUUGUUUAAUUCCACCAUCAAAGCCGUUGCGACGCUAACUAUUGUGUCGCAAAGCUGUCGUAAAAGAACUUCGCGGCGCUUGAAAUGUGUCGCAAUAAGUUGUGAAAACUUUUGCGACAUGGGUUUGUUGCGACGCAAUCACAAGUGUCGCAUGAGCGUCGUUAAAACGCAUAAACGACGCUUUCAUGACUUAACACGACGAGUUUUUAGCGUCGUAUUUAGCAAGUUUUUUUGUAGUGACGGUAAGAAACAUGAAUUUUAUGUGUAUAUAUUUGCAAUGGUGUUCUACAUGGUAACUUAUCCAAUGUUAUUAUUUGUUAGCAGGGUACGAGAACUAUCAAGGGCCUCAUGCUCCACUUUCUCCCAUCAGAUUCAUCUCCGGUAAAUGAGGUAGGUUUCAAAACAAAGGCAUUCACAGAGAUGCUCCAUCUUGAACUACUUCUGCUUGAUAAUGUAAAGUUGAGUGGUGUGGAGCCAAAAAUAUUCACAAAGCGACACGUGGGUUUUUGGACAAAAAGGACAAAAAUACCCUCGAGGCAUACCGGGUCUCCUACACGCGAGCAGUGGAGAAUCAUCCAUCAACCAAGUCAGAAGUACCCAAAAUGGGUAACAAUUCAAAACCUAUUUCAUAUAUGUUUUUACCUCAUUGUUUCCUUAUUCAAUUAGCCAUUUAUUUCAAACAUUCCAUAACAUCCUCAACCAAUUAAUAUAAUCAAUAUAUUAAAGGCUAAUUACAUCACCAAAUCACCCCAAAAUCACACCAAGGGCCGGCCAUUCCCAUCCAAAAAGAGCCUAUCAUAUUCUCUACCUUUUCCACUAUUUUCCCUUUUUAAUUACACUAAUUAGCUAGCCAAUUAAACCCAUAACCAUCAAAACAUUCCUUUAUGUUUAAAUUAGCCAAUUAAUCAUAAUAAAUUGGCUAAUUAAACCUAAAUUAAACCUAAAAACCCUAGCCACCUCUUAACUCUAUAAAUAGGCACCUAUUCUCACCAAAAAAUCAAGUCCAACACUUUGGCAAAAAUCCCAAAAUUCUCUAAACACUCUUUCUCUCUAAAUUCUAACUUUGGCAUCGGAGGUUCUUCGGCCAAAGCCCCCCCCCCAUUCAUCGUGGGCGCGUGAGGCUCUUGGCCUUAACCUAAGGUGUUAAUUAUUUUGUAGGUGCAAAAUCGUCCAAAAUCGAGGAGGAAGAAAUUUGCAUCCACAAGUGGAAGCUAUGAAGAUUUUCCAAAAAAAUUAAUAUGGUUGUCUUGGAGAGGAUUGUCUUUAAAAUCAAUACCAGCCAAUUUUUGUUUGGAAAAUCUAGUUGCUCUUGACUUACGGAAGAGCAGUCUGCAACGUGUUUGGAAAGGAACAGGGUAUGUUCUAAUCUCUCUCACUCUCGCUCUCUCUCUAUCUUUCUCUCUCUAUCUCUCUCUCUCUCUCUCACUCCCAGUGUAUUAAAAGCGUGAGGCGUGGGCGAGGCGUCCGAGGGGAAGCCCGGCCUAGGCGUGAGGCAAAGCCUCACGGGACCUAAAUUUUUUAAUAUAUACACUGAGCGUACACAUAUAUUAUAUUAAAAAUAAGAAAAUUAUUAAUCAAUAAUCACCCUGAGCACACACAUAUAUUAUAAAUAUAUAUAUAUACACACAUAUAUAUACAUAUAUUAUAUUAUAUAUGCAUAAAAUAGAGGAUGAAAAGCACAAUGAGCACAUAUAUAACAAUGCACGCAAACAACACACAUCCAUUAUAUAAAAAAUAAAAAUCAGAAAAAAGGCAUAGAGACAAAAGUGCAAGGAAGAGGUAUGAGGCAGUUAAAAUCCUACCCAAAAUUUGGGUUUGGGAGUAAAGACAAGACAAAAAAAAAAAAAAAAAAAACUCACUGAGGCGUGCCUAGGCGGCUCCGGCGAAGCCUUUCGCCCACUCCAACAAAACUGAGGCGUUAGCCAUGGCGCCCAGCCUCAAGGGCGCCCUAGGCGCGCCUCGAGGCGAGUUUUUUAAAACAUUGCUCAAUACACACAAAUAAAAAUAAAUUUUAGUGAAAUUAGACUCUGUAUUCAUAGCAACUAAUGACUUCUCUUUGAUACAGUUUCUUACAAGAUUGAAAAUUCUUAAUCUCAGUCAUUCACAUGGCCUUUGGACAACAUCUGACUUGUCCGGACUCCCUAACCUUGAGAAACUAAUUCUUAAGGAUUGCAUUAAUUUGGUUGAUGUUGAUGAAUCCAUUGGAAACUUGGGGAAACUUGUUUUCUUGAAUCUAAAAGACUGCAAAAGUCUUAUGAAGCUUCCAAAAAGAAUGAACAUGAUGAGGUCUCUUGGGGAACUUAUUCUUACUGGUUGCUCAAAGCUUGUGCUUCAUGAUAGUGCCAUGGUUAUUUAUAUACACACUACAUCAAGGGACAUGAAUAAACUUAGACUGUUGUCAACUAUAUCAUGGACACCAAUCAGGUCUUGGUGGAUGUGGGCAUGGCCAAGAAAGACUCUUCAAUCAACCAGUUUCUCACUAGCAAGUUUACCACAUUGUUUGGGAAGCUUAAGUCUGUCUUACUGCAACGUGUCGGAGGUUCCCAAUGAUUUAUGUACACUAUCUUCCUUGAAAUAUUUGAAUCUAAUUGGUAACUCAAUUUUGUGCCUACCACCAAACAUGAAGAGUCUUAUUAUGCUCGAGACUCUUUUGUUAGAUAAAUCCAUAAACCUUGAAAUACUUCCAGAGCUGCCCCCAAGGUUGAAGAGGUUGGAAGCAAAAUAUUGUACAUCAUUGAAAAGAUUAACAAAUUUACCAUUGUUCGGAUCAUUAGAAUCACUGUUUUGGGGUUGCGAGCAAUUAGUUGAAGUUGAAAGCUUGUUGAAUAUAAAACCGUCGAGAAGCACUGACAUAGAAAUGAGAAGAUAUAUGGGCCCGUUCAAUUUGAAAUCCAUAACAAGCACUGAUGUUGAAAUGAUCAACUACUUGACCAGUACAACUAGGAAGGUUCCUGUCCAGGUCUUUCUCUCUGUCUCCUCUCUCAUGUAUAGUUGUUCUAAUUAUUAUAUCUAUGAACUAGUUGGGUCUAACUGUUUGAAUAAUUAAAUUUGAAUUGUGCAAUCUUGAUGAAGCAGGGAGUCUAUGAAUGUGGCGUAUAUAGCAUUUUCCUUCCUGGAAGCAAGAUUCCAGAUGGAUUUGGCUUCACAACAAUAUAUGGAUCAGCGCUGUCGGCUAUUGCAUCUUCACAUCCUAAUCUCAAAAUCCAAGCCUUGAAUGUAUGUGUUUUAUAUGCAAUAGAACCGGGCUUGGCAAUUGAUGACUAUCUUGUUAGUGCUCAGCAUUUAAUUAAAGUCAGUAAUCAGACCAAGGGUCUUAUGUGGACCUAUUCCUCAGUCACAGUAGGUUUUCCAACUGAGAAGGAAGAUAUGUUAUGGCUAAGCCAUUUUCAAAUUGGGAACAAUGAAUUGGAGUAUGGGGACCAAAUACGUGUUUCGGUGGAGAUGCAUGAUUUUUGGAUAAAGGAGUUCGGAAUCCAGCUUGUGUACGAGCAGGAAAAAGACCUCCUUCUAGCCAGAAUAAUGUUGUUGCUGGAGAUGUGUCAAUGUCAGCAUCAGAGUACCAAACGUGGACAGGAUCAUACUUUCUCAGUAAUCAUAGGCGCCGUACUCAUCAAACUCAAUUCCGAAAGAGACAGAAGAAUCCAGCACAUAUUGAAUUUUCGUUUGAGCCAAAGCAUUAGCUUCAUACUUAUUCAAGGCCCAAAGACAACAACAACAACAACAACAACAACAACAAAGCCUUUUCCCACCAAGUGGGGUCGGCUAUAUGAAUCCUAGAACGCCAUUGCGCUCGGUUUUGUGUCAUGUCCUCCGUUAGAUCCAAGUACUAAAAGUCUUUUCUUAGAGUCUCUUCCAAAGUUUUCCUAGGUCUUCCUCUACCCCUUCGGCCCUGAACCUCUGUCCCGUAGUCACAUCUUCGAACCGGAGCGUCAGUCGGCCUUCUUUGCACAUGUCCAAAUCACCGGAGCCGAUUUUCUCUCAUCUUUCCUACAAUUUCGGCUACUCCUACUUUACCUCGGAUAUCCUCAUUCCCAAUCUUAUCAUUUCUCGUGUGCCCACAAAUCCCACGAAGCAUCCUCAUCUCCGCUACACCCAUUUUGUGUACGUGUUGAUGCUUCACCACCCAACAUUCUGUGCCAUACAACAUCGCUGGCCUUAUUGUCGUCCUAUAAAAUUUUCCCUUGAGCUUCAAUGGCCUACGACGGUCACACAACACGCCGGAUGCACUCUUUCCAUCCAGCUCGUAUUCUAUGGUUGAGAUCUCCAUCUAAUUCUCCGUUCUCUUGCAAGAUAAAUCCUAGGUAGCGAAAACGAUCGCUUUUUGUGAUCUUCGCUAGAUUGCUCCGGUCAUUAGUGUGGAUAAGUAUAUAAAUGGAUAGAGAUAGGAAAGCAAAUACAAGAUGUACGUGGUUCACCCAGAUUGGCUACGUCCACGGAAUAGAAGAGUUCUCAUUAAUUGUGAAAGGUUUACACAAGUACAUAGGUUCAAGCUCUCCUUUAGUGAGUACAAGUGAAUGAUUUAGUACAAAUGACAUUAGGAAAUAUUGUGGGAGAAAGAUCUCGUAAUCACGAAACUUCUAAGUAUCGGAGUGUGGUGUCGUCUUGACUUGCCUUAUCUGUCUCAUAGGUAGAUGUGGCAUCUUCUCUGGAAGUACUCUUCCUCCAUCCAGGGGUGGUAUCUUUAACUGGUGGAGAUGCACAAGGUAAUGUAUCAAUUUCACUUGAAGCUUACUUGUAGUUUCAGGCUUGGUCAAGCGCGAUACAAACCAUGUAGUAGGAGUCCCCCAAGUCGCCGAGCUGGUGGAGAUGCCCUAUCUGUUCCUCAAGCAGAUGCGGAAUCUUCCCUGGAAACAUAAGAUGUUGAAGAUGAGUACUCGAGAGCAAUGCCAGGUAAGUAAUCAGGUAAGGGGUUCCAGGCAGUCAGUUCCUGGCUGGAAGCUUGAUUCCAAGUGCUGACUGAUUGCUCUCUUUCUCCUUGUCUUGCAGGUAAAAACAAGGCCAAAAGAAAAAACAGGGAAAAAGCAUGAUAUGGGAUACUCUUGCUUUUAACCCUGAUGAUAUGAGAUAUUCUUGCUCUAGUAUAGCUUGUUUGCAGAGGUAUUAUCGGGGGGAAAGAAAGCUGAAUAUUUCGAAAGGCUUCGUUGGGAGUGCCCUCUCAGAUAUGAUGAAGGGUUGAGCAUUUUUGCAGGUCUGCCUGUCCGUUGGGGAUGGAGGUCGACAUAUAUAGGAGUCUCCCUAACAACAAGUAGUAAUGCUAUUCCUUUACCCUGCUUGGUCAUAGCACGGUAGUGGGAGCUGCUAGUUUCACAUGUUUUAACUCUGUCAGAGCACUUUGAAAAAGUGGUCUGUGGUAUCUGGCUCUCGAGAUUCGGAGAACGAUGCCUCUUCGAGUUUUGAGAAAGCAAUCAUGAUGGGGGUCUGACUCUCGAGAUUCGGAGAGCAGUGUCUCUUAGAUUUUUGAGGAAGUAAUCAUGUUGGGAGUCUGGCUCUCGAGAUUCGGAGGGCGGUGCCUCUUCGAUUUUGGAGCAAGCAAUCUUGUUGGGAGUGUUGUCUCGAAUGUGAGUAAAGGUUGGACAUGUUUGCUAGUCUACCUUGCCACGAAGCACAAAGGUUGACACACAGGGACUUUCCAAUUAUCCAGCAAUGGUACUGUUCCUUUACCCUAUCUUCGAUUUUGAGAAAGUAGUUAUGUUGGGAGUCUGGCUCUCGAGAUUCGGAGGACGGUGCCUCUUCGAUUUUGGAGCAAGCAAUCUUGUUGGGAGUGUUUUCUCGAAUGUGAGUAAAGGUUGGGCAUGUUUGCUAGUCUACCUUGCCACGAAGCACAGAGGUUGACACACAGGGACUUUCCAAUUAUCCAGCAGUGGUACUGUUCCUUUACCCUUGUGGGUAAUAAUAUGGUAGCUAGACCUUCAAAAUUUAUGUGUCUAAACUUUGUUAGUGCUGUUUCUUUGCUAUUCUUUUACCUUUCUUGGUCAGAGCGAUGUAGUGGGAGCUGCAAGCUUCACGUGCUCAACUUUGGCAGAGAACUUUGGCAAAGUUAUCUGUGGUACCCAUGAGUUAUUGUUGUGUGUGGGAAGUGGGUGAUUGAACAGUAAGAUUCAUGUGCUUUCUACUUCACCAGAAGUCUUCGACAGAAUGCCCAUAAUUUCUGCAAAGCUGAGUGUGCGUGUGACAGGUGCUGACAAGGCUAGAAAAGUAGGUGCCUCUUCGAUUUCUGAGAUCGGCCCUCGUGGUCUCUGAGCAGCCCAGCUUUUGAGAAAGCGAACGCCUCUUCGAUUGAUUCGGAGAACGAUGCCUCAUCGAUUUUUGAGAAAGCAAUCAUGCUGGGGGUCUGGCUCUCGAGAUUCGGGGAGCAGUCUCUUCGAUUUUUGAGAAAGUAAUCAUGUUGGGAGAGUGGCUCUCGAGAUUCGGAAGGCGGUGCCUCUUCGAUUUUGGAGCAAGCAAUCUUGUUGGGGGUGUUUUCUCGAAUGUGAGUAAAGGUUGGGCAUGUUUGCUAGUCUACCUUGCCACGAAGCACAGAGGUUGACACACAGGGACUUUCCAAUUAUCCAGCAAUGGUACUGUUCCUUUACCCUCUCUUCGAUUUUUAAGAAAGUAAUCAUGUUGGGAGUCUGGCUCUUUAGAUUCGGAGGACGGUGCCUCUUCGAUUUUGGAGCAAGCAAUCUUAUUGGGAGUGUUUUCUCGAAUGUGAGUAAAGGUUGGGCAUGUUUGCUAGUCUACCUUGCCACGAAGCACAGAGGUUGACACACAGGGACUUUCCAAUUAUCCAGCAGUGGUACUGUUCCUUUACCCUUGUGGGUAAUAAUAUGGUAGCUAGACCUUCAAAAAAUUUAUGGGUCUAAACUUUGUUAGUGUUGUUUCUUUGCUAUUCUUUUACCUUUGUUGGUCAAAGCGAUGUAGUGGGAGCUGCAAGCUUCACGUGCUCAACUUUGGCAGAGAACUUUGGCAAAGUUAUAUGUGGUACCCAUGAGCUAUUGUUGCGUGUGGGAAGUGGGUGAUUGAACAGUAAGAUUCAUGUGUUUUCUACUUCCCCAGAAGUCUUUGACAGAAUGCCCAUAAUUUCCGCAAAGCUGAGUGUGCGUGUGACAGGUGCUGACAAGGCUGGAAAAGUAGAUGCCUCUUCGAUUUCUGAGAUCGGCCCUCGUGGUCUCUGGGGAGCCCAGCUUUUGAGAAAGCGAGCGCCUCUUCGAUUUCUGAGAUCGGCCUUCGUGGUCUUUAAGCAGCCCAACUUUUGAGAAAUCAAACGCCUCUUCGAUUUCUGAGAUCAACCCUCGUGAUCUCUAAGCAGCCCAACUUUUGAGAAAGCAAACGCCUCUUCGAUUUCUGAAGCUCCGUCGAGUGCAGAUUUUUAUAGGGGCUGGCAUUAAGUUCCAAAGCACACUUGAAUCUCCACCAGUAGAAGCUUCAUUCUUGCACUUCUAAGAUCUUGAUUUGUCCGACCUCUUCUCUCUUCAACACCUUUGAAAAUGUCUGGCCCCUCCGACCGUCGUUUUGACUUAAACCUUGUUGAAGAGGCAGCCCCGCCUUCUCCAGACAACAUAUGGCGCCCAUCCUUCGUCUCCCCAACUGGUCCUCUUACCGUUGGGGAUUCCGUGAUGAAGAAUGAUAUGACCGCUGCGGUGGUGGCCAGGAACCUUCUCACUCCCAAAGAUAACAGACUACUUUCCAAACGGUCUGAUGAGUUAGCUGUUAAGGAUUCGUUGGCUCUCAGUGUUCAGUGUGCAGGUUCUGUGUCUAAUAUGGCCCAACGCCUAUUUGCUCGAACCCGCCAAGUUGAAUCAUUGGCGGCUGAAGUGAUGAGUCUCAAACAGGAGAUUAGAGGGCUCAAGCAUGAGAAUAAACAGUUGCACCGGCUCGCACAUGACUAUGCUACAAACAUGAAGAGGAAGCUUGAUCAGAUGAAGGAAACUGAUGGUCAGGUUUUACUUGAUCAUCAGAGAUUUGUGGGUUUGUUCCAAAGGCAUUUAUUGCCUUCGUCUUCUGGGGCUGUACCACGUAAUGAAGCUCCAAAUGAUCAACCUCUGAUGCCUCCUCCUUCUAGGGUUCUGUCCAGUACUGAGGCUCCAAAUGAUCCCCCUCUGAUGCCUUCUCUUUCUGGGGCUCUCUACCGACUGCUGAGACUUCUCCUAAGCAACCUUUGUGAAGGCUCCCUCUUGUGUGUUUAUUUUGACUCAUGUAUAUGUACAUAUUUGUAGCUUAUCGGGGAUAUCAAUAAAUAAGCUUUCCUUCAUUUCAACGUAUUGUGUUAAAUACACCAAAUCCUUCUUCGCUAAGUUCUUUGAAUUUUCUUUUGUUGAAGCUUGUAUGUUGAAGCUUGUAUGAUUCAAGGCCCAAAGACCAUUGAAAAUAUUUUGAAACUUAGAGCAUGUCCAGCAGAUUCCCCAUCUACAUCUACUCACCUAUUUUGGAGAAAAUGAAGAGAAACCUCCUUAGUACUUUUUCCAACAUCAUUCGUUCAUGGUUGGAAGGAAAGAUCAGCAUCAAUUAUCCUGGUGAGUGUCGUCUUUUUGUUCUUUCUUGUUGAAUUUUUGAUGUGUAUUUCAUAUCAAAACAAUUACAAGAUGAAACAUUAUAUAGGAAAAGAAAGAGAACAUAAGCCUAACUUGCCUAACUUGCCUAACUUGCCUAAUUUCCUAACUUGCCUAACUUGCCUAAUUUACACAAAGAAGGUUGACUAGCCUAACUUCACUAGUCAUCCAACAUGUUUAUUUCAUGCAUGCAUUUUAACAAAAGAUAUGACUUGCAUGAAUUCCAACAUUUCUUGUUAUAUCUUUCUCAAUAUAAACUCAUGGGUUUGUUGGAUUUGUUGCUCUUUGUUUAUUGCUUUGAUUUGUUAAUUGAAUGAAUAUAUUAAACAAAAGGAGGGGAAAGCUCUACGAACUCGUGUAGUUGAUGCAUGUAGUACUCAGUACUACUCUUUCAGACAAUAAUCCUAACUUUUAAUCCCACUUAACGUAAUACAAUUUGGUGUCUGUAGUAUGUUUGGUGGUCUAGAUCACUCAUUUGAGAUAUACAUGUGAACCAGAAAGCUGUUUAACUUGGAAAAAGGCGAAAUUUAGCAUGCCCAUGAACUUUUAAAAUGUUGGGAGCAGCUCAGGUUUGAGUCCCAGCAAAGGAAUGCUUUUCUUAAUUUUUGCACGACUUACAGCUGGUGCGAGGGACCUCUGCGCGUUAACUAUGUGUCAGUCUGGGUCCAUUUAUUCCCUAGCCAUCAGUGUGCUGUCUAACUUUGUCUUUUAUAUUCACAAAAAAGCAUUGGCAGUCUUGACAGUGUCGAAACUGUUUACCGUGUUCAAACCGUGUGCAGGGCGUGUCAGCAUGUCAGAGUGUCUGACACUUUGAGGUUUGGGAGUGUCCGUGCAACCUAGGCUUCAAGGACGAGAUGGACAAGGUGGAGAAGUGGAGAAGAGCGCUUACUGAUGUUGCAAAUCUGGGAGGGAUGGUUCUAGAAGAUCGGUAAUUUCGUAAAACAUUUUCUUUAAUUUGAAAGUAUUAUCUAUAUAUGACCUUUUAGAGGUCGCACUUGGUGCGAUGGCAAGUGCCUUCGCCUAUGAGCGGUAGGUCUCAGGUUUGAGACUUGGGAGCAGCCUCUCCAUAAAUGGGGUAAGGCUAGCCGACAUUCACCUCUCCCAGACCCUGCGUAAAGCGGGAGCCUUGUGCACUGGGUACGACCUUUUUUUAUCUAUAUAUGACCUUUUAUAACUUGUUUAUUAGGCACAUUAUUGUUAGCUUAUUGGAGACUAAGGCCACCCCUCUUUCUUUUAGGGUAGAUAAUAUCGUUUGUUGACAAAAAAAAAAAAAAAAAAACUUGUUUAUUAGGUUGAUGAUAGUAAAGCCAUAUGGAGUUGACGGAUUUUGGGUUUAUAACUUUAUACUAUCUUUCAUGUACCUGUGCAGCAAUAUUUUUUAGAAGAUUCAAAUUUUCAAGUCAAUUUUUCAAUGUCUUAUAUAUAAUCUACCUGCAUUACUCAUGUCAAUCAUCAAUUACUCUUUUCUUUAGAUAAAAAUUACAUAGUCUUCAUAUGAUUUGAUGUCUAAUGACCAUAUGUUGUAGGGUAUGAGUGGCAGUUUAUCCAAGAUAUUGUUCAAGAGGUUGGAAGUAAGCUGGAUCGCGUGGCAGUAAAUGUUGCUCCCUAUGCUGUUGGAAUCGAUAAUUGUGUGCACGGAAUCAACAGAUGGUUAAAAGAUGAUUCGGGUGAUGCUGGUGCAGCGGUUAUCUAUGGGAUGGGUGGAAUUGGCAAAACCACCAUUGCCAAAGCUGCUAAUAAGACGAACCUUGCAAAAUUUUAAGGAAACGACAGCUUUCUUGCAGAUAUUGGCUUGCAAAUAAAUCUUCUUUCCGAUAUCCAAAGGGUGAAAGUAAAGAAAAUAAGCAAACAUGAAGGACUGAUCAAGAUUAAGCAUGCUGUAGGUUGCAAUAGAGUUCUUAUAGUUCUUGAUGAUGUGAACCAUUUGGACCAAUUCAAUGCAAUUCUUGGAAUGCGAUAGUGUUUUCACCCGGGAAGUAAAGUUACCGUAACAACUAGACAUAAAAGGCUCAUGAUAUUUAUCCAGUAUUUGAGAUUAAAGAACUGAGUGAAUAUGAAACACUGAAGCUUUUCAAGCGACAUGCCUUCGGGCAAGCCAAUCCCAUUGAAAGUUACUUGGAGUCAUGAACCUCGACCAAAUUGAAGCAAUCUUUGAGAAUCAAUUGCUAAUGGUUUGGGACUUCUGACAAGUUGGGGGUUGUCAUAAGGCCAUGUGAGUGACUGAGAUUAACGGUUCAGUCUUGGAAGGGAACCAGGGUAUGUUCUAAUCUCUCUCUCUCUCUCU
Molecule: long non-coding RNA, 90807 nt
Filed under: Malus domestica (apple)
Lineage: Eukaryota; Viridiplantae; Streptophyta; Magnoliopsida; Rosales; Rosaceae
Description: long non-coding RNA (MDOM_LNC015751)
Source: RNAcentral